RNAcentral lists this long non-coding RNA (93715 nucleotides) under Sorghum bicolor (sorghum). RNAcentral's name for it is "long non-coding RNA (SBIC_LNC006855)". The stretch from base 85066 to 85171 matches the Rfam family "Plant small nucleolar RNA R71". The record is from RNAcentral. Lineage: Eukaryota; Viridiplantae; Streptophyta; Magnoliopsida; Poales; Poaceae.
GAAGAACUUAGAAGAACUAACUCUAAUCUCACAUUGGAUGCUAAACCCUAUGAGGUUGGAUCCCUAGAGGGACCUCUAUCUCUGAAUCCUCUCUGGAAAAUAUACUAAUGAAUAAUGGGACUUCUCUCCUCUAGGGGCCAGGGGGCCUGCUUAUAUAGUCCCCUCAAGUGAACGUGGGCCGUCGGAUCAAACCGACAUUGAUUGAAUGGUUCUCCUUGAUCCUUUAGGUCGGUGGAGCAUAAUCCGAGAUUGAACGUGAUUGGUUGAAACACCAGGGUGGGUGCCCAAGGGGGGAGGGCGGGCGCCCUGCCCCCAGGCCCGCUCAGCCUCCCGUUCGUUUCCGUGGCUUCUGGAGUCUUCUAGAUGAUAGAAAAUUGCGCGGCACGUUAAUAUCUCUAUGUAAACCCGAUGUGUGGGCCUUUCCUCCAUAUUUCCUAAUAACCCCCUGCAUAAAUAGACAAACACCAAAACUCGUGGAAUUCUGUCAGAUAAAACCCUAAGUCCGGGUGUUGGUUGCAUUUGGAUCCUUUUCUUUAUUUAUUUGAUGAUUAUAUUUGGUACUUAAGGACCGUCAACAACUCCCCCAAGCUUACCUCUUGCUCGUCCCUGAGCAAGGAUGGACUCAAGAGUUUCUGCAGUGGUUUCAUGCCUAAAAAGUACACAUGCGUUCAUGCAAGAUCUCAUCUCUGAGUUAGAGUAAACUGUUAAGAUUUAAAACUUACUCAUUUUACCUUUCACCAUGGGGCUCGCAACCAUCACUUGUGUCUUGAGCUGUUAAAAGAUAGAAAGGUCAAGUCAAGCGCCAUGUCUCUUAUUCUUGAUCAGCUAUAACUUUGGAGUUUUUGCAGAUUUUCAAAUAAAACUCAGAGAUUCCUUGUAUGACUCUCUCAAAUCUCUCUUCAGUGGUAUUUCUGGAUCCUUUCCAUGGCAGUAAUGGUAUAUGCCUUCUCUCAAAGUAUGUGGUAUUUUUGGUAUGAGUCAUAGUGAUAUUGCCUUCUCUCUCACCCUACUCUAAUAAGGUUUUGAUAUCUGUAGCUCAUAGGUGGGAGACAGAUAAUACAUACUUACAAGACAUUUAUUGCAUAGUCAAACCAUGGAUCCUGAAGGACAAGUCAAUAAGUCAAAUCAAGAUGUGCAUGUGUGGUGAGUGAAUGGUGUAUGGUGAUGAUGGUGAUAACAAUGGUGAAAGUCUAAUUCUACUUUUGCUCUUUCAAGGGGAUACAUACCUUUCUUGCACUUUGAAGCUUUUUGAGGGGAAUGAGAUGCUCUAUAUUUUCUUUUUCUUUCCUCUCAGGUGGGUAUCUUGUACCCCUAAUUCUACUGUCGGACACUUGUCCAUUUUUACCUCUCAUCUCACUUUUUCUUUUCUUCGAGGUUCCGAGCACUUGCCCCUUUUUAUUUCCUCGUAUCUUUUUAUUUUCCUUUUUUUCUUUUUUUAGAGCACUCAUCUCCUGAAAUAGAAAUAGGAGAAUGUUUUUGGCUAUUCUCUCCUGGAUUAAGAGUAGAAUACUUUUGGGUGGCUCUGGAGAUGGAAAUGAGUGGAUAUAUGUGGAUGCGUACUUCCGGAGUAGAAGUAGCAUGUGUGAGUGAACGUGCAAGUGAAUCUUGAUUUUAACCGCAUGACAAGCUCCUAAGGGUCUACGCAGCUUGACCACACUCAACGCUCAUAAGCAGUAAAAAGUAAAUAUAUGGUUCAUAGUCUAAUAAGCAUGUAUAUAUGGCUGUGGUAGGAUUUUAAACUCUCAUCAUAUAGGAACUCAUCAUGUGUUAUUUUAAAGAUUUUCAAAGAUAAAAUUCUCCAGAAUUCUAGCAUCUCUAGGAACAGAUAAACAACAGCUCAACCUUCCCACAUCAUAUCCGUUAACAACUUAGACUUUAGAUGAAGUACUCUUCCCACAAGUUUAGGUUUAGAGCAGGUUUAAAUUAUAACAGUUAUGCCUAAACUUGAGAGAGAGCUCAAACUUGAAAACUAGGUACAUGGCAGAGCAACUAUUUAUCAUAUCAAUGUAAGAGUUUAUCAUUUAUGUUCAGUUUGGCCAAAACACUUUAUUUAUUUAUUUAGAAAACUAAGCAAGGAUAUAUAUAAGCACAAAAUUUUUAUUUGGGUUUUCAUGAUUAUGCAUCUUUUUAUUAUUUGAGUAAAGUAUAAAUGCGAGUAGAAACACUUAGCUGGAUAAAUGGGGGUGCUCUCCCCCAAGCUGGAUUUUGACGUAAUUUCUUCUGAUGUAGCUAGCAGGUGACACAGGUGUAUUUGAAUGUCGGCAGCACCUUGACAGCGAUUACUAUGUCCUCUGCCUGCUAGUCUUCUUUGAUCCUUAAAUUCUGUGUAGCUCAAGUAGACAACAAAGCUUUGUGGAACUGGUUAAGUGUUAGCAUAAAAUCUCUUAGCCUUUAUCAUAUUGAGAUUCCUCCUAAUAAAUUUUAUUUAUUUAGCAGGAUCAUGCACUUAUUAAUUUUAUAUUUUUAUUUUAAGAUGAAAAAUUAUUUAUUUUAUGCCACCACAGUCAAUAUACCUAUGGGUUUUAAGCCACAAGUCUACUCACAUGGGGUUUUAGAUUUUAUGAUGCAGUGCAACGAACAAAUAUUUUUGUUUUCUUUUCUAAUGCUAAUGUGGAAAAGUAAAUAUGCUAAUGCAAGUGAUGGAAUAAAAAGGAAAAGGAAUGCUGAAAACAUAAAUAUGGAUACAUACCGAUUUUACCUUCCGACAAGGAUCUAAUGUUUUAAGUCUUCUGGACAAGACUUCUCACCGUGUUCAUCCUUUAGGUGCAUCAUUUGAUUAGGUGUGAGCCUUGACAUCUACACCUCUUGAUAUGGUGUCACCCAUGUUCUUUGUUUGUCUAGCAGUUCGAGGUGCGGUAUUGGCAGUAUCUUGCUCAGUGUGUUUGUGCUCGUAGAUCCACGUCCUUCACUUGAUAGAGUCUGGGAGUUGAAAAAUCCUCCAUGUUUCUCAAAAUGUGUCCUGCUUGUAGAGACAAGGCAGAGAUCAAGUGCGUGGGUCCUAUUGGUGGAAAACACCAACAAAACCAAAAGUAUAUUUAUUCUUCUCUAACCUUAAGCAUAGGGAGCAAGACAAAGUUGAUGGGUGAUAAGUUCAUGAAUGUAGCAUUUAAUACAUUUGUCAGAUCAGAACGCUCAACCUUAUGGAAAGAUAAUCUAUCUAUGUAUAUGUCUUUUUCUUUAUAUCUGCCCAAAGAUUGAAUGUGCAACAUUUUAGCUCAUAUGAUUAGGAGUUUAGGAUCAUGGAGAUAGUACUAGGAACAAAGAUUAAAGGACUAAACAUGCUGAAUCAGUUGGGUUGGUUAAUGUGGAGUUAUAAAUCAUACAUGUUUGUCUCUUUAUUUAUGUGAACGCUGGAACCAAGGAGAAGCUUAUAAAAGUGGUAGUCACAUAUCUUAAGAUGUUACCUUUAAUGAAGAGUGAUGGUACCAUCUCACCUUGUGGAAGCUUCCCAUUCGUAAUGGUUGUGUAUCUUGUUUAUGUACUUUGUCACCUUCGAUGGAUCAUCUCUCUAUGAUGAAUGAGCUAUGUCUUCCUUGUGCAAAUCGUUUAGACUUCAUGUGUCUCCUUUGUCGCCAAUGUCAGUUUGUAUCUCAGGACUUCCCAGGUUGAUAUUGAAAGUUUUCCUGCAGGGGUUAGUCUGACAAAAUAUACCAAUGUCUACUCAAGCAGUUUUUAGUUCAGGAACCAAACUAGACUCCAUGUCUAAUCAGAUUAAGGAAGGCUAUUUAACCUACGCACCACACUUAAUUUAAAAGCCAAUAGUAGUAUGUGCAGUACUUCCAAACUAACACUUACUAGGAUAAACAAAGGUAGUGUGAUGGCUUUUAUAGAGAUCUACUCAAGUGGAGAUGAAGUAGUGUGAUUAGUAUUUAACAAAUUGAGCAUGUCUCAAUGGUAAGGACAACGAACAUAGCAACAUGGCAAAUUAUAUUUUUAUGUAAGGUAUUUCCCCAAAGCUUGAAUUUUGCAAAAUUCAAGAUUGGAUGAAUUUAAUUCAAUGUUGCAUGAUGAUUGGUUGGGCAUACCUUGCGCUUGUCAUUCUUCGGAUCUUCUUGCUCCAAUCCUAGAAAGGUUAGUGACACGAAUACCUGAAGGAAUAUUUCUACAAUUAUCUUUAUAUGCUCAAUACACAAGGCAAUGUUGCAAAUAAUUAAAAGUUCAUGUUACGAUCUGAUAAGUCCUUGUUUUAGGACACUAAGCUUGUCCUUGGGAAACCAUCAAAUUAUGUUGGUGAAGUGGUUUCCCCUCCAACACCAACCUAAGCGUGCCUAUAUCAAGAUCGACUCAACGAUAUCUGCAAUAUUUAUUAUAGACAUAUGCAUCAAUAACCACCACUUUAAAGUUUUUAUAAAAAGAAAGGAAGAGGGGGUUGGAGAUCUCAAAUGUGGUAAGGUUGGAGAGACCAUUUGAUUCGGGAGAUGUUUUAUAUGAGCAAGGACUUGGUGAGGUAUUUAUGAAAUAACUUCCAUGCUCAAUGUUGUUUCUCUCAUUCUCAAACUCCAAGGAUGAUUCUUCAUGAAUGCUUAAAAUUCCUCUAGGAUUGUCUCUCAAGUUUGUUUUAUCCAUCCAUUCAAUGGUGAUAGCACAUGGAUUUUUAAUGCCCUCUAGCCAUUGAUGUUGCUCUUCUCGAUCCUCCUUGUGGUCUUGGUGACUCUUAUGCAUGGGAUGUCUAGAGAGAUUCAUAGGAUCAUCGGGAGGUUCAAGAGAAAGAGCAUAGUGUAAAUUAUUAGGCUCAAGGAUGUGGUUAAAGAUAGGUUCGAAUGAGUUAUCAAAAGUGGGCGUAGAAGGGGAGAAGAUGAGAUUGUCGUCUAAAUGGCUUUGCUCUCCUUCUAUUGCAUCAGUUAAGAUGCCAUCCUUGAGUCUUUCUAGAUGUCCAUCAAAGGGAUUGGAUUUGAGAUGCUUUCUAAGAGAUCCCUUCUUAGGAAGGUUCAGACUAUAUGCACUCAAAGGUCUCUUAUGAAGCAGGAAGUUUACGCUCAUCCCAAAAUAAAUUUCCAAAGGUAGAAUUUCUUCUUCCCUUAGAUGAUUUUGGAGCACUACUAGUUUGGGUUGGAUAGCCGAAUCAUGGGAUUGAAAUGUUUGGAAAUCGGCUAUUGAAACUUCCUUUCCUCGUCUGGGAGAUGAUUCCUUCUCUAUCUCUAGGAUUUUUUUAUAAAGACUAGUGCAAGAAGGAUGUCCACGGAUGAAGACAUACCUUGCUUUACUAACAGAUAAAGAAAGAAAAACUCUACCAAAGGUUAUAUGAUCAAGACCAAUGUGAAAAUAUCGAGGAAAAACAUGGUCUUGUAGGGCUAGGUCUAAACUAGAAUUUAUAGAAAGAUUAAAAGUUUCCCCUGGUGUACCUAAAAGUUCAUUAUCUUUUUGAUUAAAAGAUUGGACCUCGGCUAUAUAAAAGGGUUGGUUUUGACCUAUUGCAAUCAACUCCAGACACAGAUCAUAAUUAGGGGCAAAGAAAGGACUUGUUGACUCCCAUGGUCUAUGGCUGGUCUCCGAAGGUGCAAAAAAUUCAAUAAUAGGUGUGGAAUUUGAGUUAUCCAUAAAGAUGGAAAAAUAAAAAGAUAAAAGAAUAAAAGUAUAAAAGUAUAAUACAAGAUAAUAGGAAGACUAAAAGUUAUCUCAGCAAACCGUCUUUCUCCCCGGCAACGGCGCCAUAAAUGCUUGUAGAUAUUUGUUAACCCCGUCACGAAAUGAUCCGCAAGCGCACGGAUAUUGGUGAGCACUUCACCCGGGAGGUUAUCCAGAGUAUCGUAUUUAUAUUUUUACCACUGGGAGAAAGUGUGCAUCUGACUAACCAAAUCUAUUGCUACUACCCUUUAGGCUACAAACAAUGUGAUUCGAUGUGAGCAAUGUAUAGAGAAGACUACAACCGCACUCUCGUUCUAACCUUGGUAAGGGUGAUCUACUGUUCUAUUGGGGAGGCUCACGGAAUCUAGACACCACAAAGGAUGUUCGACCCGCACCUAUAAACCCUAUCGAUCCUGCUAACAGGAUGUGGGCUAUAAAGGUAGCUCGAAAAUGUCACGUUCCGCGCUACUACCACGGUCUGGCUAGACAGGGGAUAUCUAUGAGUACCCUAGCCCAAACACCACGUUUACACUAGCAAUGAUUACUCUAAACUCAACUGGAAGAGAUUAAAGUAAACUCAUAAACCAAAGAACAAUAAGAACAAAAAACUUACUAGAAUUUGGAAGUUGAAAUACUGAAGAAUCCUAGGAGCAAGCCUCGGGUUAGGAGACGUGAUCCCGCAGAUACAACCUCGGAGUAGACACCGACAGGCCGAGAUUCCUCCAAUCUACACCUUCACUCUAUCUCUCUCAAUCUAGAAGAACUUAGAAGAACUAAUUCUAAUCUCACAUUGGAUGCUAAACCCUAUGAGGUUGGAUCCCUAGAGGGACCUCUCUCUUUGAAUCCUCUCUGGAAAAUAUGCUAAUGAAUAAUGGGAUUGCUCUCCUCCAGGGGCCAGGGGGCCUGCUUAUAUAGUCCCCUCAAGUGAACGUGGGCCGUCGGAUCAAACCGACAUUGAUUGAACGGUUCUCCUUGAUCCUUUAGGUCGGUGGAGCAUAAUCCGUGAGAUUGAACGUGAUUGGUUGAAACACUAGGGCGGGCGCCCUGCCCCCGGGCCCGCUCAGCCUCCCGUUCGUUCCCGUGGCUUUUGGAGUCUUCUAGAUGAUAGAAAAUUGUGCGGCAUGUUAAUAUCUCUAUGUAAACCAGACGUGUGGGCCUUUCCUCCAUAUUUCCUGAUAACCCCCUGCAUAAAUAGACAAAUACCAAAACUCGUGGAAUUCUAUCGGAUAAAACCUUAAGUCUGGGUGUUGGUUGCAUUUGAAUCCUUUUCUUUAUUUAUUUGAUGAUUAUAUUUGGUACUUAAGGACCGUCAACACUCCUUCCCUUCAAAUUCUUGAAUUAAAGCCGAACCGAUAACCAUCCCAUCGGUACGCAAGUAUAAUGUGACAGGCUUUCCUUGUUGAGGUGGAAUUAGAACUGGAGGAUUUAUCAAAUAUUUCUUGAUUUCAUCUAAGCUAACUAUUGCCCCUUCUCCCAUAAAAAAUCUUGAUCGGCUUUCAACUUGAAUAAAGGAAUAAAAGCACGAAUCUUACCAGAUAAGUUAGAUAUAAAUCGCCUGAUAAAAUUUAUCUUGCCAAUCAGAGAUUGGAGUUCAGUCUUGUUGGUCGGAGCAACUAUUUUGUUGAUAGCAUCAAUAGAUCUCCUACUAAUUUCAAUUCCUCUUUGAUGCACCAUGAAACCAAGAAAUUGUCCUGCCGAUACACCAAAUGCGCAUUUAUUAGGAUUCAUCUUCAAACCACGCUUCCUUGUGCAUUCCAACACUUUUCGUAGAUCACCAAGAUGCUUUGCGAAGUCUCCAAACUUAACCACCACAUCAUCAAUAUAGAUUUCCACCAACUUGCCGAUAAACUCAUGGAAGAUAAAAUUCAUAGCCCUCUAAUAAGUAGCACCAGCAUUUUUCAAGCCAAAGGUCAUGACUAUCCAUUCGAACAACCCAACAUGACCAGGACAUCUAAAUGCGGUCUUUGGAAUAUCUUCUUCAGCCAUUAAUAUUUGAUUGUAUCCUGCAUUGCCAUCCAUAAAGCUAAUGAUCCGAUGUCCGGCUGCAGCAUCAACUAGCAAAUCGGCAACUGGCAUUGGAUAACCAUCCACUGGUGUAGCCUUGUUAAGAUUCCUGAAAUCAAUGCAGACAUGAAGCUUCCCAUUUUGUAAACUGGAACGACAUUGGAAAUCCACUCGUCAUACCGACAUUGUCGAAUAUAUUUAGCUUCAAUGAGUUUAGUUAUUUCGGCCUUAAUAUCAGGAAGAAUAUUAGGAUUGCAUUGGCGAGCUGGCUGCUGAUGCGACCGAAAUCUAGAUUUGAUAGGUAACCGAUGCUCAACAAUCGAUCAAUCUAAACCAGGCAUCUUGGUGUAAUCCCAAGCAAGGCAAUCCUUAUAUUCUUUUAACAAAUCGGUUAACUGUUGCUUACACUCAUAAUCUAACUUAGCACUAAUAAAAGUAGGCCUCGGUCUAUCACCAUUACCUAUAUCUAUUUCUACCAAAUCAUCGGCCGAUGUAAACCCCUGGCCCAAUUUUCCAUCAUCGGCGAUGUCACAGAACCGACCAAAUUAUAAGAGUUCAAGUGUAGAAACGAUCGACUAGCAAUCAAGUUUCCAAACUUGAGCCCAUACAAUCCCGGUAGUCAACUGAAAUCACGAAGGACUUCAAACCAACUUGCAACAAACCAAGAUCGUAAUAGUUCAACAUAACACAGCGAAUGUUACAGAGUCAUUCACUGCCGUCGAAGCGGCACCACAUCGAAGUUACUUAGUUAUUACAACACAAGUUUGUAGUAGCGGAAGCAAAAUAGUUUACAACACAUAUUCCAAGUUCAGUUCACAAGUUCUUGUUCUGCCAGAGUUUUAUGCCAUCCAUCAAAAGCAACAGGUACGAAGUAGUUAGAUAACCGUGCCCAACGGUUUAGUCCUCAUCCCCAACGGGAUGGAGACAGGUCUUGCAGAAGCCAUCAUAAAAGAUAUCAUCUGCAACAGGUGGGAAUAAACCCUGAGUACGAGGAUGUACUCAGCUAGACUUACCCGUCUAGUAAAACAUAAAGACACCAAGGAUCAUGCAAGGCAAAGUAUAAAGUGUAGCUCGCCUGACUCAACGUUUGCCAAAAGCUUAAGUAGAGACUACACCAUUUGUAAAGGCAUCAUUUUAAGUAUCAUUAGCUUACCACUAAAUUAGCACCUGUACUAAAGCACUUCACUUUGAUUAAUACAAACAAUAAUAACCAUAUCAAGUUCAUCAUAUGCUUUUCUUAGCUAUCAUCAUCAUCACGAACCAUUGUUCAUUAGUGGAUGCUACGUUUGCCGCUGCUCUGUCAAGUUCUCACUAUCCAGGAGAGACGGUGAUUCGAAUCGAUUCCUAUCCAGCUGGAGGGUUAUUCCUAGCACUCACCCAAGCAUCCCCCGUCGGAGAGCCAGCGCAUCACCUUUGGUACGACUCAGAAAUCGCGGCUCCGAUCAACGCCGCACUCCUAGGGCUACCACUCUGCCAGGGAGGUCAGGACUUUUAACUCACCUGCCUUUGGUCUUACGCCAUUGGUCCCCCGCACACCACACUUCCUCCGGUAGUGCGCACUUCAUACUUGCCGGUCUUCCGGCCUGAGUCAUACUACUAGGCUUCGCGGUCGGAACGAGUUAUCCGGCCAACUAAGUGUCAGGCAUGCGUUCAACAUGACAAGAGGACGUACAACGAUCGGUCCUUAGCUGCCACAGACGGAGUUAUUACAACCUUGCAAAACUCCGCCCGGCUUAAGUCAUUUUAAUCAAGUUCUUCCCACGAUAGCACAUAUAGACAAUCGUGAUCCGACACAACCCUAUCUCGCGCAGGUGACAGGAUAUCACCCGACUUCUACCGAUUAAAGCAUGACUAAGCUGCUACUCGAUCCUAACUCUAUAACCAUGUUGUGGUAAGAUAUCUGGACAAGGAAUGAGUAUAAUGCAACAAGGGUUUCAUCACAACUCUUAUACGUAAUGCAUCAAUAGAUAUAACAUAACCAAGUAAGCUUUCGAAAUUAAAUAGGAGACUUAAUAUGCUCCGGGGCUUGCCUUUCACGAAUGAUGCAGUCUCGUGAUUCGGGCACUCAAUCUCCUCUUCGGGCUCCUCGUGUCCGGCUUGCUGGACCUCCACCUCCGGGUUGAUCUCUUGGCCCUCGGGGUUCACCUGGAGCUCGAAUGAAGCUGUCGCGUCCGGCGCACCUAUUGCAUGCAUGAUAAGUAAGAAUGAUUGCAUACUAGAUGGCGAUGAAUGCUUGACAAUAUAAUUAGAACUUCACUGGACACUCAUUUACUAAGUAAACUUCCAAGAUAAACUCACAAAGGAUACUAAUUAACUUAGCAAGACCUAGCAAGUCAAACCAUAAACAGCAAUCCUUGCGUAACAGAGCAGCUCAAGCAAUAAAUCAUAACUGGAGCUAUACAGAUCCAACAAUUAUGAAUGAUGACAUUAUUGAAAGCUUAUGAAAUUGUCUACAUAUAAUCUUUAAACAUUACAGCAAGAUUCAUAAGUUAAACAAGUCAUUUAAACAAAGUUCCAGGUUCUAUCCCAGAAAAACAGAGAACACCUAUUUCUGGAACCCAACUUGGAAAAGCCAUAACAUCAAAACUACUAGACCAAAUGAUCCCAAAAUGAAACCACAGCUAGUUCAUACGGUUUGCAACAACUUUGAUUUAGACAAGUCUUCCAGAAAACCAAGUUAUCAUUAAGCAAUGGUUGGAUUACUCCCUUGCUGUCCAGAACAGUUUUUAACCCCUGAAUUAAUUAUUUGAUGACAUAACCAAAAUAUAUGUAGUGGCAACCAAAUGACUUAUAAACACUAGCAUACCAUAAGAUCACCAGAACAAUAUAUGUUAACCUCAAAACAUUUAAUAACAAGGCAUUUAUUAAUUUAAUUCUAUAAAGGGACAUAAUUACAAGAUGCUAGCAAAGGUGCUCAGAAAAAUCUACAAAAUUUAUACAAGCACAAACAUAGCAUCUUGACCUGACAGUAAAAUUUUCAGAGCAAAUGCACAUGCCAGAUUUAAGAUAAGCAUUUAACCAUGUGACAAGGUGCUUAUUUCAUAAAUUAAGAAACAUAGCUUAGAUAGUGUCAAACAUCAGAUUUCAGAUUAUUUACAUGUAACUAUUACCAUAAACAAGUUUUACACCAGAGUAGAGCACCAGCAUAAGCACCAAUUAAUUAUUAUGAUUUAAGUAAGAAAACAAGCCAUAUCACAAACCUAAAUUACAUAUCACGGAUACGUUACUCAAAAAAUCAUGAAAUAUUUAUCAUAGUAUUCUCAUACCACUCAGAGCAUAGCAUAAAAAUUUCAUAGCAAAAGGAGCAGUAUAACAAGAGAUAUGAAUUUACUCAUAAAUAACAAGAUUAAAUCAUAACAAUUAUUUUUCCCUGAAAACAUGGUACAUUUUAUAUUUUUAUUAAAAACUAGCCAUCUCAGGGAACAUCACAAAAUUUGUUUCACAAUUUUCGGAUCUUAGAAACAGAAGAUAUGAUUUUUGCAAGAAAGUCAAAAACCUAGAUUUGAAUAAAAGAAAAGGAGCAAAAACGAUGUGUCACUGACAGCGGGUCCCGCGUGUCAGGGUCGUCUUCCUCACGACCGAGAUGACUUUUGCCGGCGAUUUCUCCGCGACGGCGAGGUCUCCGGCCAAACCAAGGGUACCAACGUGAUCCCCAGACCCUUGCGAACCGAUUGACCCCCUUUUCCCCAUGGCAGAGCCACCGGAGAUGGCUUGCCGUCGACCAUGGCGGCUCGGCGGUGGUGCUCGGCGUUACGCCGGAGCUCUCAGGCCGGUAGAGCGCGACCUAGGAUUUCCUACAGCACCAGUGAACUACGGCGAAGCUUCCUAGUUAGGUGGCUAGGCUUGAAACAGUGUCGAAUGAGCUGGCCACGAGAGAGCCGAACUCCGGCGGAAACACGACGGCGCUGCGCGUCGUGUCCGGUGACGGUGAGUGCGGUAGAGCGUCCACCAAGUGGCACAAACAUUCGCUAAAGAGCUAAGCUACCUCUAGGACCUAACCAGAGAAGACGAGAGGCUCUGAGGAGCUCAGCAUUGAGUUCGCCGGAGAAGAAGGUCACGGCGACCCGAUUUGGGGGAAGUUGGAAAUGUCGGCUCACCGGAGGGUUUCACGGCGAGUUUGUGGGUGGAGGAUGGAGAGCGGGUCACAGCGGAGCUGUGAGCGAGUUUUGGUGAGCAGCAACGCAGCGAGGAGUGAGUUAGAGCUCGCCGGAGUGAGCUCGCGACGGUGAGCUCGCUUUGGCCGUUUUUCUAGCGAGAGGGCGAGAGGAAGGAGAGAGUGGACGCGUCCACUGCGUCCGUGGCGUCGCCGUGGAGGUCAUGCGUGCGCUGGGAGCUGAUGAGCGGGGCCAGAAACGAUGUGCAGGCGCCAAAUGUCGCCGAGGUUCUGUCGCCGGUCGGCCACGUCGACGAGCUCGAUUCUGAUUGAGACAACGUGAUGCACGACUGACAGAGCCUCUUCGACGAUGAUUAUCUCCCAAACCAUGGCAAGUUAGGAGAUGGUGUAGUUGACAAAGUUGGAGUAAUAACUGAGUUCUACAACAUUGUCAACUAGAGCAAAAGCCAGGUUGGCCUAGAUUGAGAGAUAUGAGGUUUUCAAAAUCGAUCGCGCAAACUGGUGGUGCCAGGACUUAGCCAAAUUCGGUUAAGUGCCAAAACAGCACCCAAAACUGCCUUAAAAGCACUUUUUGAGCAAGAUGUGGUCAUUUUCAUGAGAUGGCCAUAAAACAACUUUUGUUCCUUAUAACAUGUGCUACAACUUUGCUGUAGAAAGUUUUGACAUGCAAACAUUUUAUGAACCACUUUUUAAAAGCCUAUUCAAAAGAGGUUUCUAGGGCCUAACAUGGCAGUAUGACUUAAGUACUUAAUUUGGGGAAGUGAUCAACAUGAACAUUGUUCCUAAGGUUGAGUUUAACAUAGAUAAACUAAUUACCAAGGUUUAUCACACAAGCAUGAGCAUGGUACAAACAAACACAAGCAUAGGAAGCAUGAUUAAACAAGUUAAAGCACACUUAAGCAUAAAAUGACAUGGCUCAAGGUAGAUGAUGAUCAUGGAAUGAUUGAGUAGAUGAUGAUGCUCAUGUUAUGCAUGUGAUUGAUGCAACCAUAACACUGGGGUGUUACAGCCCUCCCCCCUUAUAAAAAUCUGGUCCCGAGAUUUGGAAGCUUACUGAUUUUCGAAGAAGGUUUCAUAAACUUCUUUUAGAUAGUCCUCUGUUUCCCAAGUGGAAUCUUCCUCCCCGUGGUUACUCCGCAACACCUUGUAGAACUUAGCCACACGAUUUCGUGUCACCCUUUCCUUGUGGUCAAGAUCCGCUACCGGUUUCUCCUCGUACACCAAGUCAGACUUCAACUUGAUAUCCCGAACUUCCACUCGCUCUUCCGGAACACGAAGGCAUUUCUUUAGUUGCGAUACGUGGAAGACGGGAAAAAUAGCUUGAAGCUCAACUGGUAGUUGAACCUUAUAUGCCAUGUUCCCUUUCCUCUAGAGAAUUCGAUAAGGACCCACAUAACGGAGUGCAAGCUUUCGCUUGACUCUGAACCUUUGUACACCUUUCAUCGGAGACACCUAGAUAUACACAUGGUCACCGACUGCAAAUUCAAUCGGCUUCCUUCUCUUUUCAGCAUAACUUUUCUGACGAGCUUGAGCAGCUUCCAGAUGUUGCUGGAUGGUACAGACUUGCUGCUCCGAUUCGUUCACAAAAUCGAUGCCAUAAUACCUUCGUUCCCCGGAUUCCACCCAAUUCAACAGGGUUCGACAUUUCCGACCAUACAGGGCUUCAAAUGGAUCCAUCUUGAUGCUCUCUUGGUAACUAUUGUUAUAAGAGAACUCAGCUAACGGCAACCACUUUACCCAAGAUCCCUUUGAAGAGAGAGCACAUGCCCUCAACAUGUCUUCUUGGAUUUGGUUAACACGUUCAGUUUGGUCGGCCGUUUGGGGAUGAUAAGCAGAACUACAAACCAAGUGAGUACCAAUCUGCUCAUGUAGACACUCCCAAAAACGGGCGGUGAACUGUGGUCCACGAUCUGAUAUGAUAGUUCGAGGCACACCAUACUGACGAACAAUGUGCUCGAAGUACAAUUCUGCAUAUUGAUGUGGACGAUAGUCUGUUCGAACUGGAAUAAAAUGAGCAACCUUGGUCAAACGGUCUACAAUUACCCAGAUAGAGUCGUAACCCUUAACAGAAGUUGGGAGUCCAACGAUGAAAUCCAUGCUGACUUCUUCCCAUUUCCAUCCUGGAAUUGACAAGGUUGAAGUAAGCCUGCUUUCAUGUGAACGGCCUUCACACGACAACAGUUAUCACAACGAGCGACAAAAGCAGCAAUCUCCUUUUUCAUCUUUGUCCACCAAAACAGAGGUUUCGGAUCCUGAUACAUCUUGCUACUACCAGGAUGGAUAGACAACUUGGAUGAAUGAGCCUUAGAUAAGAUCUGAUUUCGCAGCUCACGGUCUUUUGGGACCACGAGUCUAUCCUUGAACCAUAGGAUUCCGUUCUCAUCAACCCGGAAAUGCUUGGUUUCUUCUUCUUUCAUUUUCCUCUUUAUAUGGUAGAUACCUACAUCUGUAUGCUGCAAUUCGAUGACUCGAUUGCGAAGAGUACUCUCUAGAGAAAUCUCGUGGAGCACAAGUGGGUGCAUAAGAUGUGACAACAAUGGAUCUUCCAUUUGAACUGAAUGACAGUGCGCUUUCCAACUCAAGGCAUCCGCAACCACGUUUGCCUUGCCCGGAUGGUAGUGCACUUGAAGAUUAUAAACUUUAAUCAACUCAAGCCACCUUCGCUGCCGCAUGUUCAAUUCAGGUUGAGUGAAGAUGUACUUGAGACUCUUAUGAUGAGUGUAGAUAUUGCACAGAUUACCCAGCAAGUAGUGCCUCCAGAUUUUCAAGGCAUAGACAACUACAGCCAAUUCUAAGUCAUGAGUAGGGUAAUUGACCUCAUGCUUUCGAAGUUGGCGCGAGGCAUACGUGAUAACACGACCUUCUUGCAUCAACAGACAGCCCAAACCAAUACCCGACGCGUCACAAAAGACAUCGAAGGGCUUCUCGAUAUCAGGCUGGGCUAGAACAGGAGCUGAUGUUAGCAAUGUCCUCAACUUGUGGAAUGCCUCUUCACAUUCAGGCGUCCACACAAACUUCUCAUCUUUCUGAAGUAGGCGAGUCAUAGGCUUAGAUAUUUUUGAGAAUUCCGGAAUAAAUCGACGAUAAUACCCAGCCAGACCGAGAAAACUCCGAACCUCAUGCACCGAAGUUAGAACCUUCCAAUCCAGCACUUCUUGCACCUUAGCCGGAUCCACCGAGAUACCUUCUUGAGAAAAGACAUGGCCCAAAAAAGGUACUUUCUUCAGCCAAAACUUGCAUUUGCUGAACUUAGCAUAAAGGUGAUGCUCACGCAAGCACGACAACACUACACGCAUAUGCUCUGCAUGCUUUUCUUCAUUGCGAGAAUAUACCAAGAUAUCAUCAAUGAAGACCACCACAAACUUGUCCAAUUCGGGCAUAAACACCGAAUUCAUGAGAUACAUGAAUUGAGCAGGUGCAUUCGUGAAACCGAAGGACAUGACGAGAUACUCAUGCAACCCAUACCUUGUCGAGAAAGCUGUCUUGGGUACAUCCUCACGACGGAUCUUGAUCUGAUGAUACCCAGAUCGCAAAUCAAUCUUGGAAAAAACCUUAGCUUUAGACAACUGAUCAAACAAGAUAUCAAUGCGAGGAAGAGGGUAUUUAUUCUUGAUGGUCACCGCAUUCAGAGGACGAUAGUCCACACACAUGCGCAAGGACUGAUCCUUCUUCUUCACACAGAUAGCCGGACAACCCCAAGGAGAAGAACUAGGACGAAUAAGACCCUUCUUUAACAACUCAUUCAACUGCGUCUUAAGCUCAGCUAGCUCAUUUGGUGGCAUUCUAUAUGGCCUUGUAGAGAUAGGAGCGGUACGUGGGAUCAAUUCAAUUUUGAACUCCACAUCCCGAUCGGAAGGAAGCCCGGGCAAAUCAUCAGGGAAUACAUCCAGGAACUCACACACGACCGGAAUAUCUCUGAUGGCCUUAGAUGUAACUGCAUUCAUCGUGCUACGGAUAUGAAUAUCUCGAGGAAGUUGCACUAAGAAUGCCUCUUUGGUAUUCGGGUUUCUCAACAUCACUACGCGAGUGGUGGUGUCGAUAAGAACUCCGUUGCUACUCAUCCAUUUCAUACCCAGAAUUACAUCUAUACCCACACCGGGUAAAACAACCAGAUCAGCAAGAAACUGACGGUCUCCUAUUUCCAGAGUUGCCCCCAAAACCACUUGAUUGGUAGAAAUAUCAUUUCCAGCAGCACUAAUGCAAUAACUACCCUUAUCAAGUGUAAUUGCCUUGAGAUUAUGCUUAGACACAAAGUCUGAACUCACAAAAGAAUGUGAUGCUCCGAAAUCAAAAAGUACAAGUGCUUCACAUUGGUUGACCAGAAACUUACCAGCCGUAACUACCUCUAUUGACAUCGUUUUUGGACACGUACCCAGGGACCUGUGGAGUAUAGAUCGGCAGGUGGAGCAACGGUAACUGGUCUGCAGAAGAGUUGCCGAUGAGGAUAGUUGCCGAUGAAGAGACGAUUGAAUAUGACUAAGUCCAGGGGUGGUGACGUGUUCUUACCGAUGAUCAAUGUUGGUGUUUGCCGAUGGCCAUAACAGAAAGGUUGUCGAUGACUCUGAAGGGAAGCAUGGAGAUUGCCGAUCGAUCUGUAGUGGUGUCCUGGUCGGUUACAAGGGGGUAGUUUUAUGUUUUCCUUAGUUAUUUAAAUUCGUUUUGUAUACGGAUUCUGUUUAAAUUGGAAUUCGAGUCCUAGUCGUGUCUUAUUGUAGCUCUUUGAGCAGGGUAUAAAUGUAGACCCUAGGGCCUUGUAAUGAGAUAUCUAUCAAUCAAUCAAACACAAGUUUUUACUCAUAUUCCAACAUCUACUUUUUCGAUGACUUCGUCAUAUUUUCCUUUUUACUACGAGUUCUUAAGAUUUCGUUGACUUAAGCUCGGCGUAUUCUCGAGUUCCGCGUGAAUACCUCUUUGCCGUGACAUCCGGGCGCAUCGCUGUUGUCGGGACCAAAGUAUUUGAGUUAUCACCUUUGACGAUAGUAAGGUCAAAUCGGCUGGCACGCCCUAACGUUUAAAUCGGGUAUUAGCCCUUUGUGUUUGCAGAUCCACUUUUGCACCAACACUUCUUUUGGCACGCCUGGUGGGACUAGAUUCAAGAUCAAGAUUGACAUGUCGACUACCGAGUUCGAUUUGGAGAACGUUAUCCCCGUGACGGAAGCCAAUCUCAGAGAUGAGCAGAAGCAAGCUAUUGCAAAAGCUAUGGAGGAUUACAAGAAGCAAUGUUUGAAGUCCUUCAGUAUCAACAGGAGUGGCGAGGUGAUCCAGAAGGAAGCACUGCCGGCGCCUCGGCAGGUUACUUUUGAUGCCAAUCCUGGUAAACUUCAAGACAUGGUUGAUAGUGCUAUUAACCGUGCCUUGAUCAAUCAAGCCGGUGUGCUGUCCAAUACAGUUUUCAACGCCGUGGCCAGAACUUUCAAAGAGGGACAAUUGCCACAAAAUUAUGUGAGCCCUGUCUAUCAUCAGCCAGGAUCACCAGUUGUCACAGCUCCAUUGGCUACUACGGCCGCUGUGGGUACAGAAACUACUACUCCCCCAAGCACAUUAGGGCUCACUAAUGUGCAAUCUAUGUCGAUGACAACCAAUCCAUCAACUUUAGAUGAGCAGAUCAAGCUUACCACAGAUCUAUUGGCAUCGGCGAUGUCGGGGUCCGUUCCUCCCAACUGGUGGGGUUAUUGUAUGCCCCCAGAGAUGAUGUUGAAGACACCUGGAACAUCUCAGACGGCUGACACGAGAGACAAGGCUCCUAUGGCAUCGGCACCUCCAAAUUUGCCGAUGAAUCAGAGUCCCCAGUAUACUACAACUACUACUGCAAGACCUUACACUGGGAAUUCUCAAGCUCCAAUGUUUCAGAUGCCUAACGCCUCAGCAGAUUCAAUGCCGACGCAACAGAGGUUUAUGACUCAACCAGGGUUUGGCAAUUCAACGAUAAUGCCCAAUCUUCAGUCAUCGACAGGGUUUAUGCCGAUGAAUGCCAACAUUGGAUGGACGGGGCAGUUAGUCUUUCCACAAAUGCCUCAACAGAAUCAUCAGGCUUUAGGGUUCCAACAAGGCCAGAUCCAACCCAGGUUCUAGAAUCAAGGGUUGCCUAACCAGCCGAUGAGUCUUGGUCAACAGUUUGGUGGUCAGACAAUCAACCCCAUGUUCCAUGCAGAUCGUGCGCCUCAGCGACACGUGGAAGUGUAUCAGCAGGCGCCAGAUCCACAACCACCCAAUCGGCAAGAUGCCGAUGCUUAUUGGGCCGAUAAGAUUGCUGAAGUAAUGAGGGACCAAUUUGGGAUAAAACCCAAAGUCAACACUUACUCUUAUCGGACACCGUAUCCUCCUGCAUAUGAUUUAAUCCCUCUUCCAAAUCGGUACAAGGUGCCGGAUUUUACUAAGUUUUCUAGACAGGAUGAUACAUCGACCAUGGAGCAUGUCAACAGGUUCAUCAUCCAGUGUGGGGAAGCUGCUAACAGGGAUGAAUUGAGAGUUCGACUGUUUUCAUCAUCUUUAUUUGGAUCGGCUUUCACCUGGUUUAUAUCAUUGCCUCCUAAUUCAGUGAUUACUUGGGCCAAUCUGGAGAAGCAGUUCCACAAGUACUUCUUUUCUAGAGUCCAUGAGAAGAAGAUUACCGAUUUGGUCAGAUUGAAACAGCGCAAUGAUGAAUCAGUUGAAAGUUUUGUGCAGAGGUUGUGGGAAGUCAAGAAUAAAUGCUAUAGUCUGGUUUUGGACGAUCGGCAGCUAGCCGAUUUGGCUUUCCAGGGUUUGUUGCCACAUAUCAAGGACAAAUAUGCUUCCCAAGAGUUCGAGAGCCUGAGUCACUAGGUCUAGAGGAUUUCCGACCAGGAUAUUAAGCCCUUUGAACCUAAGAGAGCUUGGAACAAAAAGGUGUCAUUUGUUGAUGAGGCAGCAAGCUCAGAUUCUUAUGAAGAGCCAGUCAUUGGCUUGGCAGAAUGGGUGAAAAAAAAGAACCCGAUGUCUUGCCCUUUUGGGCAUAAAGAGCCGGAGAAGUUCGCAUUUGAUAUCACCAAAGCCGAUAGGAUAUUUGACUUUCUACUUUAGGAAGGUCAGAUCAAAUUGUCACCCAAUCAUGUAAUACCAUCGGCUGAAGAGUUGAAGAAGAUGAAAUACUGCAAGUGGUACAAUGCAACCUCUCACAGCACCAAUGAGUGCAAAGUUUUUAGACAACAGCUGCAAUCGGCUAUUGAAUCUGGGAGAAUCAAAUUAGAUAGUUCCAAAGCUCAGAAGCCGAUGAAGAUCGAUCAACAUCUUUUCCCAACAAAUAUGUUGGAUGCUAAGGGAAAAACCAAGGUCUUGACCUCAGAAGCAGCUGAAAGGAGUGCAUCGGUAGAUCCUCAGCAUCAAAUUACUAUUGCUGAUGCCAAAGGAAAAGGCUUAAUCCAAGAGGGAACUAACUCAGGAUGGCCUCCCCGAUCUGGUAUUGUGAUAACUCAUAGAAGGCCUCAGGAGACUUGGCAGCAACGUGAGAAUCGGUAUCGGCGUCAGCAAGAAGACUAUCAUCGGGAAGAAGAAAGACGCCGACAGGAGUGGAAUCGGCACAGAGACCAUUGCAACUGCCCAUUCUUUAUCCAUUGCUGGGAGUAGAACAUCAAGUUGCCCACUGUUAGAGAUUGCCCUGAGUGCAAUGGUUAUGAUCGAUAUGACAGAUCCGAUCGGCACUAUCACAAAGAUGGUCGACGAUUUAAUGGGCCGAUUAGGGGGAGAGCGUCAGUUCAAGAUCGGCUAGGGGGCAGACUCAGUGUACAUGACAGGCUUGGUGAUCGCAUUGAAUAUUUUUCCAGGAAUCAGGAAGAGCUUGAAGAUAUGGCCAAUGCUCGAGUUCCCGAUGAAUUCAUAUUUUGUAGAGACGCUAAUACUUAUCGGAUGGAGUCAAGGGAAAGUCGUCGCCCGUCGGCAAGGCAGUCACCACUUCCCCCAUGGUGUCCAGAGGGGUUGACUAAAACAUAGAAAAGAAGACUGCAACGCGAAAGACGAGAAGAGCUAAGCAGGGGUGAGAACUCUGGCCAGUCUGGGGAUCAGCAACAGCCAGAUCCUAAGGGGAAAGGGCCAUCGGCAGAUGUUAACAUGGUAUUCAUGUUGCCGAUGGAAUUCCUUGCGCCAUCCAGUGAUGAUGAGGAGUUGGAGUUUUCCGACCAGAUAGCUCAGUUGGCUCUAGAUCUGAUGACAGCUAUCUUUGAAAAGCCUGCCGACAAUGAAAGGCAGCAUUUUAAAGCUCUGUUUGUCAAAGGAAGGGUUGAUGGUCAGCCAAUGACCAAGAUAUUAAUUGAUGGUGGAGCUACUAUCAACAUCAUGCCAUACGCAGUCUAUCGGAAGCUUGGAAAAGGAGAUCAAGAUUUGACCAAGACCGAUAUGAUGCUAAAGGAUUUUGAAGGAAAUGUAUCUCCGGUUAAGGGGGCAAUCUGUGUCGAGUUGACCAUCGGCAGCAAAACCUUGCCGACAACUUUCUUCGUGAUAAGUGGAAAAGGUGCUUAUAAUCUAUUGCUAGGGAGAGAUUGGAUCCAUGCCAACUGUUGUAUCCCAUCAACAAUGCACCAAUGCUUGGUUCAGUGGGUAGGUGACAAGAUUGAGAUUGUCUCGGGAGAUUCUUCUCAUGUCAUUGCAUCGGCAGAAGCAGACACCUGUGGAAGAACUAGGUGUAUCUCGGGAGAGAUUUGGGAGAAGGAUUUCCUCAAAGUUGCCGAUUAUGAAAUUCCACCGAUCCAAGCAGUCGGUUCUGAUGAGGGGUUUUAAUGGAUAGAUUCGCCGAUGAUGGAAAAUUAGGCCAGGGAUUCACAUCGGCCGAUGAUUUGGUAGAGGUAGAUAUAGGUAGUGGUGAUAAACCUAGGCGUACUUUUAUUAGCGCUAAGUUAAAUUCUGAGUGUAAGCAGCAGUUGACCGAUUUGUUAAAGGAAUAUAAAGAUUGCUUUGCUUGGGAUUAUACUGAGAUGCCGACCGAUCGAUUGUUGAACAUCGGUUACCCAUCAAGUCUAGAUUUCGACCACAUCAGCAGCCGGCUCGCCGAUGUAAUCUUAAUAUUCUUCCUGAUAUCAAGGCCGAAAUAACUAAACUUAUCGAGGCUAAAUUUAUUCUGCAGUGUCGGUAUGCCGAGUGGAUUUCCAAUGUUGUUCCUGUUUGCAAGAAAAAUGGGAAGCUUCGGGUUUGCAUUGAUUUCAGAAAUCUGAAUAAAGCUACACCGAUGGAUGGCUACCCAAUGCCGGUUGCCGAUCUACUAGUUGAUGCUGCGGCUGGGCAUCAGAUCAUCAGCUUUAUAGAUGGCAAUGCAGGAUACAAUCAAAUAUUCAUGGCUGAAGAAGAUAUUCCAAAGACUGCAUUUAGAUGUCCUGGGCAUGUUGGGUUGUUUGAGUGUAUAGUCAUGACCUUUGGUUUGAAAAAUGCUAGUGCUACUUAUCAGAGGGCUAUGAAUUUUAUCUUUCAUGAGUUCAUCGGCAAGCUGGUGGAGAUUUAUAUUGCUGAUGUGGUGGUUAAGUCUGGAGAUUUCACAAAGCAUCUUGCCGAUUUACGAAAAGUGUUGGAGUGCACAAGGAAGCAUGGUUUAAAGAUGAAUCCCAAUAAGUGUGCAUUUGGUGUAUCGGCAGGACAAUUCCUUGGUUUCAUGGUGCAUCAAAGGGGGAUUGAAAUUAGUAGGAGAUCCAUUGAUGCUAUGAAUAAAAUAGUUGCUCCCACCAACAAGACUGAGCUCCAAUCCUUGAUCGGUAAGGUAAAUUUUAUCAGGCGGUUUAUAUCUAAUUUGACUGGUAAAAUUCGUGCUUUCAGUCCUUUGCUUAAAUUGAAAGCCGAUCAAGAGUUCAUAUGGGGGAAAGAGCAACAGUUGGCUUUAGAUGAAAUCAAGAAUUAUUUGAUAAAUCCUCUAGUUUUGAUUCCACCUCAACAAGGAAAGCUCUUCAGGUUAUAUUUAUCUACCGAUGGAAUGGUCAUCGGUUGGGCUUUAAUUCAAGAAUUUGAAUGGAAGGAGCGUGUGAUUUACUAUCUAAGCAGAAGAUUGGUUGAUGUUGAGACCUGGUAUUCGGCCAUUGAAAAGUUAUGUUUAUGCCUAUAUUUCUCAUGUAUUAAAUUGAGGCACUAUUUACUAUCGGCCGAAUGCACUGUUAUAUGCAAAGAUGAUGUGGUCCGGUAUAUGCUAUCUAUGCCGAUCAUGAGUGGCAGAAUCGGUAAAUGGAUUUUGGCACUGUCGGAAUACGAUUUGCGUUACGAAUCGGCUAAGGCGGUUAAAGGACAGAUUAUGGCUGAUUUGGUAACUCAACAUUGCGGUAUAGUGGAAACUUUGGAAAUUGUACCUUGUACGCUCUUCUUUGAUGGAUCCACGUGUGACCGGGGGGUAGGGAUCGGCAUAGUGUUAAUUUCCCCUCGGGGAAGGAAAUAUGAGUUCUCCUUGCCGAUUGUUGCCACGUCAACGAAUAAUCAAGCCGAGUAUCAAGCUUUGAUAAAGGGGUUGGAAUUGUUAAGAGAAGUCCAUGCUGAUGCUGUUGAAGUCUUCGGAGAUUCUAUGCUGGUUAUAAAUCAAUUGGCUGGAAGCUAUGAAUGCCGAAGCGAAGUCUUGAUAGCUUACUAUGAAAAAAGUAUGCGACUAUUAAAGGAAUUCAAAGAUUUUCGAUUAGAGCAUAUUCCUCGGUUACAUAAUGAGGAGGUUAAUCAGUUGGCUCAGCAUGCUUCGGGGUAUCAACCUAUGGUUAACAUGUUAUCGGCAAUCGGUGCUGAUGAUUGGAGGAAAGAGAUUGUUGAUUAUUUAAAGGAUCCAUCCAAGAAAGUUGAAAGGCGUGUUCGGUUUCAAGCCACCAAGUAUGUGCUCCUCGAGGAUGAAUUAUAUUAUCGAACAAUUGAAGGAAUUCUUCUCAAAUGCUUAGGUGAUGACGAAGCUAAAAGUUUAAUGGGAGAAAUCCAUGAAGGAGUGUGUGGAGCACAUCAGUCGGCUUUUAAGAUGAAAUGGAUGAUUAGGAGGAAUGGAUAUUAUUGGCCAACCAUACUUGAAGAUUGUUUUAAAUAUUUCAAGGGGUGUCAAGGAUGUCAGAAAUUUAGCAAUAUUCAAAGGGCACCCGCAUCGGCCAUGAAUCCCAUUAUUAAACCUUGGCCUUUCCCGGGAUGGGCUAUUGAUCUGAUCGGCCAAAUUUACCCACCAUCAAGCAAAGGACAUAAAUUCAUAUUGGUUGCCACCGAUUAUUUCACCAAGUGGGUUGAAGCUAUUCCUUUGAAGAAAGUCACAUCGGCCAAUAUGAUUGAUUUUGUGAAAGAGCAUAUUAUUUACCGAUUUGGAAUUCCUCAAACAAUUACUACCGAUCAGGGUACUAUGUUUACAUCAGGGGAGUUUGAUGAAUUUGCAAUCAGUAUGGGAACUAAAGUAUUAAAUUCUUCUCCUUAUUAUGCUCAAGCUAAUGGGCAGGCCGAAGCAUCUAACAAAGGAAUUAACAAACUCAUUAAACGGAAGAUUGAAGAAAAUCCUAGGAGGUGGCAUACGUUGUUUAAUGAAGCUUUAUGGUCAUAUCGGAUGGCUUGUCAUAGGUCGACCAAAGUUUCACCUUAUUAAUAGGUGUAUGGACAUGAUGCAGUGCUACCUUGGGAAAUUGGUGACUAUCUUUUCAAGAUCAAUUGGCUGCCGAUGAUUAUACUACUUUGAUGACAGACGAGUUGGAUGAUCUAGCAGGGCAUCGGCUAAGGGAUUUGAUAAGUAUAGAAGAAAAUAAGAAGAGAGUUGCCAGAUGGUAUGAUAAGAAGGUAAAGGCUAAGGAGUUUGCCGAUGGAGACUUAGUAUGGAAACUAAUCUUACCGAUCAGGACUAAAAGUUCAAAAUUUGGGAAGUGGUCUCCCAAUUGGGAGGGUCCCUCUCGGAUAAAUCGAUCUGCUCCUGGCAACGCCUAUAUCUUAGAAACUCUGGAAGGAGUUGAAUUUCCCAGAGCAUUGAAUGGCAAAUAUUUGAAGAGAUAUUACCCCAGCAUAUGGCUUGAUGCAUGAAAGUUUAUGUGCCGAUAACAUUCCUAUCGGCUGAAUUAAAAGUGUAUCUGGGGCCGGACUUAAUGUUUUAAAAGGAUGCCGAUAACAGUCCUAUCGGCUGGACCAAAAUCUUUAGAAGAAAGAACCAAAGAACCCCGCCGAUGAAGAGUUCACAUGUUUAACAGAGCCUGGAUCGUCGAUAUGGCGCGCAGACGGAUCUGGUUGGCUUCUUCUAUCUCCUUCACGUCAUCAUCGGCAGAGCCUUCCACUGGCUUCAGUUUCUUCUUCAUCUGCAGUGCUUUACGGGCCUGGAUGUUUCGCUCUUGUUCAAGAGUCUUGAUUGCUUCAGGCAAUUGGCUUUCUUCCUGUUGAGCUUGGGACAGAGCUUCUUCCACUUGUCUGAGUUCAGCUAACAGAGCUUCCCUUCUCGUCGAUAGAUCAGAAAUAUUUUGCUUCAGUACAUCUCCUGAGAAUUUCAGAAUGCCGAUGCUCUUAUGCUUCUCAUCGGCAAGGAGCUUCACUUUCAUCGUCUCCUCUUAGAGUUAGGCGUGAGCAGCUCUAUCAGCAAGACGCUGGGCAGCCUUUUGAUACUGCAGCUGACGACUCUCUAAAUGUGCAGCCUGAAAAAGAACCUCCUCGGCAUCGGUAGGAUUUGACCUUUGAGAGCCUUGAACAGAACUUUGGCUAGAUCAGAGUCAUCGACCAAUUGCGCUAUGUCUUGAUGGAGAAGGGUUGACAGAUCCGCCAGCUUUGCUCUAAUCUCUGCCGAUGAGAUUCCAACUGCUCGAGAAGAACUUGCUUCCUUGCCUUCAUCCUCAGAGAUCUCGAUGGCGAAGGAGAACAAGCUGUCGGGUGAAUCCUGUUCCUGGAAAAGAAGACAGGAUAAGUUAUUUUAUGAUCAAGUACUGAUAAUAAUAAAAAUAAGGAUCGGAUAACUUACUUGCUUCAGAGCUAUCUCUCGCCUCUGACUAGUUGAAGCCGAUGGAACCAUAGGUUGAUCGGCUGAGAUUACUGAUGAGACUAUGUCAGCUGAAAGAUUAACAGAGGUAAUUACAAAUUGGAAAAAAGUGGGUUCAUCGACAAUAAAUAAAGAGUAUGUUACCUUGAGGAGGUGCAGUACUAGUCUGAAUUGAGGAAACUACCGAUGUUUCUUCUGGCUGAGGUACUUCUGGUUGAGGUUCUUCUGGCUAGAGUUCUUCUAUUUGGGUUUCUUCUUGUGGUUGAGGAGGAGACGGUGCUGGUUGUAUCUGGGCUUCUGGAGGAGAAGGGGAUGAUUCUACUAGGAUCGGAGAUAUUGGGGGAGGAGAAGGCAUUGCUGUUCUCUGGCGCUUUGCUUGUAAUCUGGUACUCUUGGAACCUUUUCUCUUCUGGUCUUUGCCGAUGUACUGGUGUGCUGAUACAACAGAGAGAAGUUUAUAAGUACAAGUGUAAUAAGUAUAAGAAUGGAAUUGGUAUGAGUAAAAUAAUUUGAAAAAUUUAUCUUGAAGGCUUGUGCUAAGGUAGAGGCAACUACCGAUGGGGAUAUCUUCGCCUGCUUGGUGGUAACUUUCUUGAGACGCACACCGCGAUGCAUUAUAGCAGCCAAGGUUGGAGUGUUGUUGCCAAUCAAAGAGAUCGGGCCCGAUGGAAGGAGCUCAAUCGGCAUACCACUCCUUGUACUGAGAGUUGAUCAUGCCACGGUAUGUGAGAGCCGAUCUACAGAACAGGUGUUCUUUCCAUUCUUCCCACCACUGUUUGUAUGCUUGAGUGAUGAAGAGAGCCGGGAUCCAAGCCGAUAGAUCGACAUGUGUAUUGGCGUUUGGUGGAAGUUGGGCUACCCUGAUCCAUUCUAGACGGCUGGUAAUAAUCUCCCUCGGCGUUAUCACAUCGGCGUAGCAAAGUGCAAUCGGCAGUUGGCCGAAAGCCAGUUGGCGAGCUAGUGCCGAUGGAUUAUAAAAUUCGUAGGUCAGGUUGGAGGUUUUCCCACUACCGAAGAAAUUCACUGGUAUGGCCCUUAGGGUGAUAAUUGCCAUCAUCACGUCGCGGUCCUUGUUGAGAGCAUCGUUGAAGGGGUGGAAAGUCAAAGGAAAUAUGGUAUCUAGAUCUUCAUAAGGCAUCCAUGCCCGUUGUUCUCUGGUUAGACCCUCAUACAGAGUUUGGAAGAAUCGGCUAACGUGAUCUACGUUACCACCUGUGCCAGGCAAAACUAUGGCAGCUUCGCCAAAGUUCAGAGCGGAACGAGUUGCCGAUUCUUCUUCAUCCAGUUCAUAAUCCUCGGCUAUAUCCCUGGGGAAGCGCUGUGCAAAGAGGUCGAACUCAAGGCGCUUGUGCAUGUGAAGACUAAGCCACAUAUUGAUGAACCACCAGGGACCCCCUAAGUUGCCGAUGGGUUGACCAAGCAGUAGUUUCUGGGCUACCUGGUGGAGGAGGUGAUAAGCCAAGCCUAGCAAGUAUCGGCCAAGAGGAAAUCGGCCGCCAUUAGCUAAUCUUUCUGCUGCCGAUAAGUAAACAGAAGUUGGUCCUGCCGAUCGGCCACAGAAGACGAAUUUAUCUAGCCACAUGUUCAGAAAAGUGGUCUGUUCCUUUACAUUGACAGGGCCUGUUCUUCGGUACUUCUGGAUGUACCCUGACCAACCGCCGAUAGAACGAGUUUCCACCAUAGCACUGGGUUUGGUAUCAAACAGGUGGGUGGUAUCGGGAGUGGAUAUAUCUAAGCCGAUGAGCAUAAGCACAUCGGCAAGUGUAGGAGAAGCAGGGCCAUGGCCAAAUACAAAAGCAUUGAGUGUAUCUGACCAAAAGUAUGAGGCAGCUAUCAGUAGUGACUCAUUUCUCUCCAUAUCGGCAAGAGACAAUCUAAUGCACUGAUCUAAUUUCCGUUCACCCCAUUGGACCUCAUUUGAGUUGCUGACUCUCAGAAACCAAUCCUUCCAUCCCUUGGUGGGACUGGGCCAGGAGCGGAAGGCAUCUUUCCAUAGAUCUAGAGAAAAAUUCUCGGCUCUAAAAGGGAUUCUGUUUGUCUCUGCAUUUAUAAAAUCGGUGGGAUCCAAGUUUCCUAGUGGACCAAGGCAUUGGAGAUGGGGUUGAUCAGUGGGAAUAACGAUCUUAUCAGCCAAAUCCUAGAAAUUUUUGGGAAUGAAAUGAAAAAAAAAGAAAAAGAUUUGGUAAGAGAGAUUGCGGAUGAACAAAAAUACAGUAGAAACGUGAAAAAGAAUGGUAGUGAACUGACCUCAGGAACAGUGAAGUUGAUGGCCAUUUUCCCGCGAGGAAAAAGAUCGAAAACUUGGGGGUUGUUGGAGGAAGUUCCUGCUGGAGUUCUUGAAGUUCUCAAACAGUACCGCCACCAGGAAAGCAGAGUUUGGGCUGUAGAAUGAUGCGAUGGAGAAGGAGUACCUAAGAAGGAAGUAUUUAUAGGACAAAACGGGCAAGGGCAAAUUUGACUUAUCUCUUCGCCAUAUCCGUGAAAUCCGAGGGUACUCAGGUGGAUAUGGUAACUGUUCGCACGGUAAUCAAGGGAUUGCGCAGGUGAUUUGACAGGAAGCGAUCAUGAUCUGGAGAUAUUUCACUGUGCGGGAUUUCUUGGUCGAUCCAUCGGCAGUUCCCUCUAACGGUAAUAUUGCCGAUGGGCGCAUAAAGUGGAGAGAUCCGGUUCAGAAGGUUGAGGAAUUCGAGGAACCUGUAGGAGAAUCGGGCCAAGGUUGUUCAGAUUUAAACAGUCGGUUACCAAAUUGGGAGAAUUAAUUGCGGAAAGGCAUCAUUACUGCAGAGAAUUUUGGAGCAUUAAUGAUUUUAUACUCUGAAAUUGGGGGGCAUGUAUUGACACCGUUUUUGGACACAUACCUAGGGACCUGUGGAGUAUAGAUCGGCAGGUGGAGCAACGGUAACUGGUCUGCAGAAGAGUUGCCGAUGAGGAUAGUUGCCAAUGAAGAGACGAUUGAAUAUGACUAAGUCCAAGGGUGGUGACGUGUUCUUACCGACGAUCAAUGUCGGUGUUUGCCGAUGGCCAUAACAGAAAGGCUGCCGAUGACUAUGAAGGGAAGCGUGGAGAUUGCCGAUCGAUCUGUAGUGGUGUCCUGGUCGGUUACAAGGGGGUAGUUUUAUGUUUUCCUUAGUUAUUUAAAUUCGUUUUGUAUACGGAUUCUAUUUAAAUUGGAAUUUGAGUCCUAGUCGUGUCUGAUUGUAGCUCUUUGAGCAGGGUAUAAAUGUAGACCCUAGGGCCUUGUAAUGAGAUAUCUAUCAAUCAAUCAAACACAAGUUUUUACUCAUAUUCCAGCAUCUACUUUUUCGACGACUUCGUUAUAUUUUCCUUUUUACUACGAGUUCUUAGGAGUUCGUCGACUUAAGCUCGGCGUAUUCUCGUGUUCCAUGUGAAUACCUCUUGGCUGUGACAUCUGGGCGCAUCGCUGUUGUCGGGACCAAAGUAUUCGAGUUAUCACCUUUGCCGAUAGUAAGGUCAAAUCGGCUGGCACGACCUAACGUUUAAAUCGGGUAUUAGCCCUUUGUGUUUGCAGAUCCACUUUUGCACCAACAACCUCACCAGCAGGGAUUGCUUCCAUAGUUGUAUAGUGAACACGCCCCUGACGGACGUUCCCUUAGUUGCCCUUCUUUGGCGGGUAAGGACAGUUGCUUUGCCAGUGUUCGGUCUGAUUGCAGUUCUAGCACGGACGGUUGGCCGGCGGAGUCUUGGCAUAACUGGGACCCGUGUUGCCCCUAGGAAGAGCAAUAGAGUAACCCUUGCAAAAACCCAUCUUUGCCUGAUUCUUCUUCACUAGAGGGCGAUAUCGCUGGUUAGGAGUUGGAGCGCGAUACUGGGGCCUAGCUGCCACUGGAGCCUUGGACUGAGAUGCCCCUGCCCCGGCCUCAAAAGCCCUCUUGUGAGUCUUGGUCGCAGUGUACAGAGUGUUGUAGUUCUCUUGGGUAAGAGCAUCACUACCAAACUCAUUGAAAGUUGCACACUUAGUGCGGCCCAUAGUUUUCAGCAACUUGGGGCCAAGACCCCGCUUGAAGCUAGCAAUCUUCUUCGCCUCAGUGUUCACAAACUCAGGAGCAUACCUAGACAAAUAAUUGAAAGCAUGAAAUACUCCUUCAUAGUUUUGUUUCCCUGAGUUAACUGCAUGAACUCAGUAUGCUUCAUCUCCAUGACACCAGGAGGUAUGAAAUGCCCCUUGAAAGCUUCAUGGAAGAGAUUCCAUUCAAGCACAGUAUUGUCCGAAAGGGCCUCCCGAUACUGAUUCCACCAUAUGCCUACCGGACCCUACAGUUGGUGAGCUACAUACUCGGCCUUCAAACCCACGGUCAGCCGAAGCAAGCGGAACUUUUGUUCCACCGUGUUCAGCCACUCCUCCGCUUGAAGGGGUUCUUCAGCCUCUCUGAUGGGGGCUUCGUAUCCAUGAAAUCCUUGAAGCUACUGUACUGGUUAGGUGCUAGCCCACCCGGUGCAUUCUGACCACCCUGGUUUGCCAUCCGGUUGAUGGUUUCAGUGAGCAUCCUCUAGUUUUCCACCAUCAUUUGCAUCAGCUCAGCUGGAUUUGGUGGUGGAGGAGGAGGGGGUGGGAUCAUGUUCGCACGUUGUUCCGCACCUCGAGUGCCACGAGACAUCUGUAAAGACACAAUCAGUGAGCAUUGAUGAUGACAAGAUUUUCCAUAGAAGAACUUAUAUUUAUGCCCGAAAGUAUUUGAGAGAAUAACUUUACAGAGAAUGGCACAAUAAUUCAAUUCCAUAAAACAACAUCACCAAUCCAACACAUGACACAGAUAUCCGCAAUAUGCACAAUAACGGAAAACAUCGCCAUAUCGGUCGAACAGGAUAAAGCUUAAACAACAUUAGGUCCAUAAAGUUAUUACACCAUCCCAGUACAUGACAUGAGUCAGAGAUCAAGGUUCCAGAUUAUAACAUGAUUACAAAAGCACAACUGCUGAAAGUCAUGCUACAAAAGAUCAUCAUAACAACUACCAACUACCCACUACACUCCUGGCUCAUCGUCCGAGUCAGCGUCAAAGAUCGCCUCUCCAUCCUCGUUGCUAACCGGCUCAAGCUCCUCGUCCUCCACGUCCUCGUGCAAAGGUGGUGCAGCCGCGGCUGGUCCAUCUACCUCCAUACCAUCAUCAUCGGCCACGAUCACCUGAGGCCCACCUCUGGAUACACUGGUGCGGGGCAAGGAAUAGGGUGUAGUAGGUUGUUGAGACGGUGAAUCUCCACAAGACCAGCCUCAAUCUGAUCCUGCAGAUAGUUCUCCCGCUCAAGCGACUGGAUCCGGUGCAUCUCCCAAGCCCGGCGCCUGUUCUCCGACACGUGGAGCGCAGUAUCCCUCUCACGAGUGAUCUGCACCAAGCGCUCCUGCACUGUCUCCCUCUCUCUAGCCAACUGACUCAUCUGAUCCUAUUUGUGAUCUCUCUCUCUAAUGGCCUUCACCCACUGCUACCUACGGUACUCCGCAAUGUCUUCCCAGUCAUUGCGGUCCUUCUGGGCUUGCUCCAGGAGUCUAGCUUGCUUGCGAAACUUGCGAGCACACUUUUCCGCCUUCUGUUGCAUCUCCUGAGCCUGGCGAACAGCCACCAUCACUUGGGCAUAGGUGUCCUCUCGCCGACUGAACAGCUUGAGCACAGCCAUCAUAGCACUCAUAGCAGGACUAGAACUCUCAGCUCGCUCUCCUCGGCCUCGGACCAACGCACAACCAUCAGCUUGCUUCCACUCCGCUGCUGCUGGGUCAGCACGGGGAAUGGAGGCCGCUGGCUCUCCUGUCACCUCUCGCCAAACCUUUGACAUAUGUUUAGUAGCAUAGCAUGGGCUGCAACCUGAGCUGCUUCCCAUUGAGUCUGCCCAUCAGAGUUGCAGUUUCACCCUAUCCAGGCAGGCCUGCCCCCAUGUGGUGGGACAACCCCUUGCACAGCGAACCACUGCAAACCUCCUGUCAUAUCCACCUCCCACUAGGAAUACUGAGGUGGCUCAGUAUACCCUACAGACUGUAGCACCCUCCAGAGCAAAGUAGGAGUGCCAAACUCGCUCAAGAAGGUGUCACUGGGGCGAGAUGAAGCGGGCACGUCAAUCCGUGGAAAGGAAUAACCGUGGGUAAGAGAAGAUUAAUUUAAGCAACAUUUAUUUAAUUAAAAAGGGACGACAUUGUAAGGGAAGGAGUAGACAGAAUGUAUGUAUGAAUGCGACAUGAUGCAUGCACGAACCGUACGUCCUCACAAACUUAGAAAAUUAAUAUUCUAACGGAUAUACAGUGGCAUUCAUUCAUCUCUCGAUGCGAUAACUAUCGAUUUACACGUGCGCUGUUAGAGUACCUACAGAAAACUUCAUUGCAGCCCAACAGUUCCCAAUAUAUCACUCAAGAAAGCAGUAAACUAAGUGCACAUUGCUUGUACACACCCAACAUGCACAAACAAUGACACCAUAGCUACCCGAGAAAUUAAAUACUCCCCAAUUAAGUUUCUUUCGUGGUUCCAUGGUUAGACAUGUAACCACUCUAGAAAACCAUUGCGAACACUCCCCUAGAUAGCCGUUUGGACGAUCAUGCUCUCAUAGCUCACACUUACCUGAGCGUAAGUGCGAUGUUGCAUAAUUUAGAUCUAGCGACAUAUGUGGCUAAUUCACAUAUGAAGGCUACCUCUACCAUUAGACCACAGGGUAGCAUAGUGCGGUCAUCACACAUCCAUACCUGAGUACUGCCGGAGAUGCAUAAAUAAAACCCCCCAAGUCAGUACUUAAAUAGCCACCUAUAGUCCUUAUAUGGGCAAGGAGGAUUCAACCACUGGCAUAAUUAAGUGUUGAUUUUCACAAUUUUAUUUAAAAACUCUUUUGUUUUUAAAUACACAAACACUGCAUUUAUAAUGCUGAACUUGCUCCGAUGCCAGCUGUCAUAGAACCGACCAAAUUAUAAGAGUUCAAGUGUAGAAACGAUCGACUAGCAAUCAAGUUUCCAAACUUGAGCCCAUACAAUCCCGGUAGUCAACUGAAAUCACGAAGGACUUCAAACCAACUUGCAACAAACCAAGAUCAUAAUAGUUCAACAUAACACAGUGAAUGUUACAUAGUCAUUCAUUGCCGUCGAAGCGGCACCGCAUCGGAGCUACUUAGUUAUUACAACACAAGUUUAUAGUAGCGGAAGCAAAAUAGUUUACAACACAUAUUCCAAGUUCAGUUCACAAGUUCUUGUUCUGCCAGAGUUUUAUGCCAUCCAUCAAAAGCAACAGGUACGAAGUAGUUAGAGAACCGUGCCCAACGGUUUAGUCCUCAUCCCCAGCGGGAUGGAGACAGGUCUUGCAGAAGCCAUCAUAAAAGAUAUCAUCUGCAACAGGUGGGAAUAAACCCUGAGUACGAGGAUGUACUCAACUAUACUUACCUGUCUAGUAAAACAUAAAAGACACCAAGGAUCAUGCAAGGCUAAGUAUAAAGUGUAGCUGGCCGGACUCAACGUUUGCCAAAAGCUUAAGUAGAGACUACACCAUUUGUAAAGGCAUCAUUUUAAGUAUCAUUAGCUUACCACUAAAUUAGCACCUAUACUAAAGCACUUCACUUUGAUUAAUACAAACAAUAAUAACCAUAUCAAGUUCAUCAUAUGCUUUUCUUUGGUAUCAUCAUCAUCACGAACCAUUGUUAAUUAGUGGAUCCUACGUUUGCCGCUGCUUUGUCAAGUUCUCACUAUCCGGGAGAGACGGCGAAUCGAAUCGAUUCCUAUCCAGCUGGAGGGUUAUUCCUAGCACUCACCCAAGCAUCCCCCGUCGGAGAGCCAGCGAGUCACCUUUGGUACGACUCAGGAAUCGCGGCUCCGAUCAACGCCGCACUCCCAGGGCUACCACUCUGCCAGGGAGGUCAGGACUUUUAACUCACCUGCCUUUGGUCUUACGCCAAUGGUCCCCCGCACACCGCACUUCCUCCGGUAGUGCGCACUUUAUAAUUGCCGGUCUUCCGGCCUGAGUCAUACUACUAGGCUUCGCGGUCGGAACGAGUUAUCCGGCCAACUAAGUGUCAGGCAUGCGUUCAACAUGACAAGUGGACGUACAACGAUCGGUCCUUAGCUGCCACAGAUGGAGUUACUACAACCUUGCAAAACUCCACCCGACUUAAGUCAUUUUAAUCAAGUUCUUCCCACGAUAGCACAUAUAGACAAUCGUGAUCCGACACAACCCUAUCUCGCGCAGGUGACAGGAUAUCACCCGACUUCUACCGAUUAAAGCAUGACUAAGCUGCUAUUUGAUCCUAACUCUAUAACCAGGUUGUGGUAAGAUAUCUGGACAAGGAAUGAGUAUAAUACAGCAAGGGUUUCAUCACAACUCCUAUACGUAAUGCAUCAAUAGAUAUAACAUAACCAAGUAAGCUUUCAAAAUUAAAUAGGAGACUUAAUAUGCUCCGGGGCUUGCCUUUCACGAAUGAUGCAGGCUCGUGAUUCGGGCACUCAAUCUCCUCUUCGGGCUCCUCAUGUCCGGCUUGCUGGACCUCCACCUCCGGGUUGAUCUUUUGGCCCUCGGGGUUCACCUGGAGCUCGAAUGAAGCUGUCGCGUCCAGUGCACCUAUUGCAUGCAAGAUAAGUAAGAAUGGUAGCAUACUAGAUGGGGAUGAAUGCUUGACAAUAUAAUUAGAACUUCACUGGACACUCAUUUACUGAGUAGACUUCCAAGAUAAACUCACAAAGGAUACUAAUUAACUUAGCAAGACCUAGCAAGUCAAACCAUAAACAGCAAUCCUUGCAUAACAGAGCAGCUCAAGGAAUAAAUCAUAACUGGAGUUAUACAGAUCCAACAAUUAUGAAUGAGGAUAUUCUGAAAGCUUAUGAAAUUGUCUACAUUUCAUCUUUAAACAUCACAGCAAGAUUCAUAAGUUAAACAAGGUAUUUAAACAAAGUUCCUGGUUCUGUCCCAAAAAAACAGAGAACACCUAUUUCUAGAACCCAACUUGGAAAAGCCAUAACUUCAAAACUACUGGACCAAAUGAUCCCAAAAUUAAACCACAGCUAGUUCAUACAGUUUGAAACAACUUUGAUUUAGACAAGUCUUCCAGAAAACCAAGUUAUCAUUAAGCAAUGGUUGGAUUACUCCCUUGCUGUCCAGAACAGCUUUUAACCCCUUAAUUAAUUAUUUGAUGACAUAACCAAAAUAUAUGUAGUGGCAACCAAAUAACUUAUAAACACUAGCAUACCAUAGGAUCACCAGAACAAUAUAUGUUAACCUUAAAACAUUUAAUAACAAGGCAUUUAUUAAUUUAAUUCUAUAAAGGGACAUAAUUACAAGAUGCUAGCAAAAGUACUUAGAAAAAUCUACAAAAUUUAUACAAGCACAAACAUAGCAUCUUGACCUCACAGUAAAAUUUUCAGAGCAAAUGCACAUGCCAGAUUUAAGAUAAGCAUUUAACCAUGUGACAAGGUGCUUAUUUCAUAAAUUAAGAAACAUAGCUUAGAUAGUGUCAAACAUCAGAUUUCAGAUUAUUUACAUGUAACUAUUACCAUAAACAAGUUUGACACCAGAGUAGAGCACCAGCAUAAGCACCAAUUAAUUAUUAUGAUUUAAGUAAGAAAACAAGCCAUAUCACAAACCUAAAUUACAUAUCACGGAUACAUUACUCCAAAAAUCAUGAAAUAUUUAUCAUAGUAUUCUCAUACCACUCAGAGCAUAGCAUAAAAAUUUCAUAGCAGAACGAGCAGUAUAACAAGAGAUAUGAAUUUACUCAUAAAUAACAAGAUUAAAUCAUAACAAUUAUUUUUCCCAGAAAACAUGGUACAUUUUAUAUUUUUAUUAAAAACUAGCCAUCUAAUGGAACAUCACAAAAUUUGUUUCACAAAUUUUGGAUCUAAGAAACAGAAGAUAUGAUUUUUGCAAGAAAGCCAAAAACCUGGAUUUGAAUAAAAGAAAAUGAGGGAAAACGAUGUGUCACUGACAGCGGGUCCCGCGUGUCAGGGUCGUCUUCCUCACGACCGAGAUGACUUUCACCGGUGAUUUCUCCACGACGGCGAGGUCUCCGGCCAAACCAAGGGUACCAACGUGAUCCCCAGACCCUACCGAACCGAUUGACCCCCUUUUCCCCACGGCGGAGCCACCGGAGAUGGCUUGCCGUCGACCAUGGCGGCUCGGCGGUGGUGCUCGGCGUUACGCCGGAGCUCUCAUGCCGGUAGAGCGCGACCUAGGGUUUCCUACAGCACCAGUGAACUAUGGCGAAGCUUCCUAGGUAGGUGACUAGGUUUGAAACUGUGUGGAAUGAGCUCGCCACGAGAGAGCCGAACUCCGGCGGAAACACGGCGAUGCUGCGCGUCGUGUCCGGCGACGGUGAGUGCGGUAGAGCAUCCACCAAGUGGCGCAAACGUUCGCUAAAGACCUAAGCUACCUCUAGGACCUAACCAGAGAAGACGAGAGGCUCCGAGGAGCUCAGCAUUGAGUUCGCCGGAGAAGAAGGUCACGGCGACCCGAUUUGGAGGAAGUUGGAAAUGUCGGCUCACCGGAGGGUUUCACGGCGAGUUUGCGGGUGGAGGAUGGAGAGCGGGUCACGGCGGAGCUAUGAGCGAGUUUUGGUGAGCAGCAACGCAGCGAGGAGCGAGUUAGAGCUCGCCGGAGUGAGCUCGCGACGGUGAGCUCGUUGCGGCCGCUUUUCUGGCGAGAGGGCGAGAGGAAGGAGAGAGUGGACGCGUCCACUGCGUCCGGGGCGUCGCCGAGGAGGUCAUGCAUGCGCUGGGAGCUGACGAGUGGGGCCAGGAAUGACGUGCGGGCGCCAAAUGUCGCCGAGGUUCUGUCGCCGGUCAGCCACGUCGACGAGCUCGAUUCCGAUUCAGACAACGUGAUGCACGUCUGACAGAGCCACUUCGACGAUAAUUAUCUCCCAAACCAUGGCGAGUUAGGAGAUGGUGUAGUUGACAAAGUUGGAGUACUAACUGAGUUCUACAACAUUGUCAACUAGAGCAAAAGCCAGAUCGGCCUGGAUUGAGAGAUAUGAGGUUUACAAAAUCGAUCGCGCAAACUGGUGGCGCCAGGACUUAGCCAAAUUCAGUUAAGUGCCAAAACUGCCCCCAAAACUGCCAUAAAAGCACUUUUUGAGCAAGAUGUGGUCAUUUUCAUGAGAUUGCCAUAAAACAACUUUUGUUACUUAUAAAAGUUGCUACAACUUUGCUGUAGAAAGUUAUGACAUGCAAACACUUUUUGAACCACUUUUUAAAAGCCUAUGCAAAAGAGGUUUCUAGUGCCUAAACAUGGAAGUAUGACUUAAGUACUUAAUUUGGGGAAGUGAUCAAAAUGAACAUUGUUCCUAAGGUUGAGUUUAACAUAGAUAAACAAAUUACCAAGGCUUAUCACACAAGCAUGAGCAUGGUACAAACAAACACAAGCAUAGGAAGCAUGAUUAAACAAGUUAAAGCACACUUAAGCAUAAAAUGACAUGGCUCAAGGUAGAUGAUGAUCAUGGAAUGCUUGAGUAGAUGAUGAUGCUCAUGUUAUGCAUGUGAUUGAUGCAACCAUAACACUGGGGUGUUACAGGCUAACCAAUCCAUUAAAACUCCUCGUGAGAACUGACUGCUUGGAUCGGUGGAAUUUCAUAAUCGGUGACCAUGAGAAAAUCCUUCUCCCAAAUUUCUCCUGAAAUGCAUUUGGUCCUUUCAUAAGUAUCUACUUCUGCCGAUGCAUUGACAUAUAAAGAAUCCCCUGGGACAAUUUCAAUCUUGUCACCUACCCACUGAACUAAGCACUGGUGCAUUGUAGAUGGGAUGCAACAAUUGGCAUGAAUCCAAUCUCUCCCCAACAACAAAUUAUAAGCACCCUUUCCGCCGAUGAUAAAGAAAGUUGUCGGCAAGGUUUUGCUGUCGAUGGUCAACUCAACACAUAUGACUCCCUUGACUGGAGACACAUUUCCUUCAAAAUCCUUCAACAUCAUAUCGUCUUGGUCAAGUCAUGAUCUCCUUUUCCAAGCUUUCGAUAGACCGUAUAUGGCAUAAUAUUAAUAGUAGCCCCACCAUCAACAAGUAUAUUGGUCAUCGACUGCCCAUCAACCCUUCCUUUGACAAACAAAGCUCUAAGAUGUUGUCUCUCAUUUUGAGCGGGCUUUUCAAAGAUAGCCGUCAUGGAUCCAGAGCCAACUGAGCUAUCUGAUGAGGAAAAUCUACCUCCUCAUCAUCACUAAAGGGUGCAAGGAAUUCCAUCGGUAACAUAAACACCAUAUUAACGUCUGUCGAUGGACCUUUUCCCUUAGGAUCUGACUGCUGCUGAUCUCCAGACUUAGCAGAAUUCUCUCCUCUACUCAGCUCUUCUUGUCGCUCCCACUACAGCCUUCUUUUCUGUGUCCUAGUUAACCCCCCUGGACACCAUGGAGGAAGUUGUGGUUGCCUUACCGAUUGACAACGAUUUUCCCUUGAUUCUACCCGAUAAGUAUUAGCAUCUCUGCAAAAAUAUGAACUUAUCAGGAACCCGUGCAUCUGCCAUCUCUUCAAGCUCCUCUUGGUUUCAUGGAAAAUAGCCAACACACUAACCAAGCCUAUCAAGCACACUGAGCCUGCCCCCCAGCCGAUCAUGAACUGAUGUCCUUUCCCUCAUCGGCCCACCAAAACGCCGAUCAUUGUUCUGAUACUGCCGAUUUGGUCUAUCAUACCGAUUAUAACCAUUGCAUUUAGGGCAGUCUCUAAUGGUUGGUAGCUUAAUGUUUUGCUCCCAACAGUGGAUGAAGAACAGGCAGUUCCAAUGAUCUUUAUGCCGAUUCCACUCUUGUCGGUGUCUUUCAUCUUCCCUGCGACGAUCUUCCUGUUGGCGACGAUACCGAUCUUCACGCUGCUGUCGGGUUUCCGGAUGCCUCCUAUGAGUGAUUACAAUGCCAAACCGAGGAGGCCUUCCUGAGCUGGUUCCUUCCUGGAUCAAGCCCUUGCCUUUGGCGUCAUCGGUAGUGAUCUGAUGCUGAGGAUCUACCGAUGCACUUCUCUCAGCUGCAUCUGAUGUCAAGACUUUAGUCUUUCCCUUAGCAUCCAACAUAUUAGUGGGGAAAGGAUGCUAGUCAAUCUUCAUGGGCUUCUAGGCUUUGAAACUAUCAAAUUUAAUUCUUCCAGAUUCUAUAGCCGAUUGCAGCUGCUGUCUAAAUACUUUGCAUUCUUUUGUACUAUGAGACGUUGCAUUAUGCCACUUACAAUACUUGAUCUUCUUUAACUCUUCCGCCGAUGGAAUGACAUGGUUAGGUGACAACUUGAUCUGUCCCUCCUGAACCAAAAAGUCAAAUAUUCUAUCGGCUUUGGUAAUGUCAAAUGCAAAAUUUUCUGGCUCUUUAUGCCCAAAAGGGCAAGACAUCGACUUCUUAUUUUUUACCCAUUCUGCCAAGCCGAUGAGUGGUUCUUCAUCAGAAUCUGAACUUGUUGCCUCAUCAACAAAUGACACCUUUUUAUUCCAUGCUCUCUUAGGUUCAAAAGCUUUGAUGUCUUGGUCAGAGAUCCUUUGCACUAGAUGACUCAGACUUUCAAAUUCUUGAGAAGCAUACUUGUCUUUAAUAUGUGGCAACAACCCUUGGAAAGCCAAAUUGGCUAGCUGCCGAUCAUCCAGAACCAGACUAUAGCAUUUGUUCUUAACAUCUCGCAACCUUUGCACAAAACUCUCAACCAAUUCAUCAUUAUGUUGUCUUAGCCUGACUAAAUCAGUAAUCUUCUUCUCAUGAACUCCAGAAAAGAAAUAUUUAUGGAAUUGCUUUUCUAGAUCGGCCCAAGUGAUUACUGAGUUUGGAGGUAACGAAAUAAACUAGGUAAAAGCCGAUCCAGAUAAAGAUGAUGAGAAUAAACAAACCCUUAACUCAUUUCUAUUAGCAGCUUCCCCACACUGGAUGAUGAACCUGUUAAAAUGUUCCAUGGUUGAUGUAUCAUCCUACCUAUAGAAUCUGGUGAAAUCCGGCACCUUGUACCGAUUUGGGAGCGGGAUUAAGUCGUAUGCAGGAGGAUACGGUGUCCGAUAAGAGUAAGUAUUGACUUUGGGUUUUAUCCCGAAUUGAUCUCUCAUCACCUCAGCUAUCUUAUCGGCCCAAUAAGCAUCGACAUCUUGCCGAUGAGCUGGUUGUGGAUCUGGCAUCUACUGAUAAGCCUCCACGUGUCUCUAUGGUGCAUGAUCUCCAGGGAACAUAGGAUUAGCCAUCGCCUAUUGACCACCAACUUGCUGGGCAAGAUUCAUCGGCUGAUUGAUCAAUCCUUGAUUCUAAAAACUAGGUUGCACUGGUCCCUAUUGAAAUCCCAUAGCCUGGUGAUUCUGCUGAGGCAUCUGUGGAAAGACAAACUGCCCUAUUGAAAGCCCAAGUUUGGUUUUGGUAAUUAAUGACACCAAGGUUCUAAUAGUUUGUGUUCAAGUGAUUUGAGUUAGGCACUGCAACACAUUUGAAGAAGGAGCAAUAUGACAAGAGUGGUGGACACAUGAUCAUAAAGAGAGGAAGCAUGAAGUGGAGAUCAUGGUGAUGGACAAGGAGUAAAAUGAUCAAGGCAAAGGUAUAAACAUAGGAUUUUGCUUUUGCCGGUCUAAGAUGAGUAAAGAAGUGAUUGACCGGAUUUAGGAUAGCUAGCCAUACUAUAAAGAGGGGAAAUCUUUAAUUGCAAUGGUUAUCUAGUGCCACUAAGUGUGAGCCUCAUUUGCAUAUACAAAGUGCUUAGUGACGUGGUGAGUUGCAUGAGAAAGCCUAUAAAAAUGUUUGUGAAAUGCUAACACACAAGCACAUGGUGGAGUACACUUGGUGGUGUUGGCACUUUUGUAAAGGAGAAGGUGUUGGAGUUGAUUUUGAUCAACUUGGUGAAGAGAGAGAAGUCUUUCGGUGUUCUCUGGACAUUAGGAUGGCUUUUAGAUUGAAAUACUUCUUUGAUCCAUUAUGACUUGGAUUUAUUAUUCAUAUGGAUUGUAUAGCCCUCUGAGUAAGCUUUCCAAAAUGUCCAAGAUCAUCGAAUUCGGAGUUCGGAGCUAAAAGUUAGCAACCUAACAAGGUUUGAGAUGGCGCUGAGAAUGCAGGACCGGAAGUUCCGGUGGAACUUCUGGUGGUACUUCCAGGCCUAAACGGAAGUUCUGGUCAGCCUGACAUGAAGUUCCAGUUGGGCUGUGAGAGGUGCUCUUGCAUUUGAGAAAACACUUCUAGUGUCUGACCGGAAGUUCCGGUCCAUGACCAGAAGUUCCGGUCCUUAACUCGAAGUUCCGGUCCAUGAAUGGAAGUCCACAUAGGAGCCUUUGUGCAUGGCCUCGCGUGUCAGGAUUCACUUCCGGUCUUUGACCGGAAGUUCCACUUCCGGUGGGUCCGAGUCUAUCACAACGGUCAGAUCUGCUUGGCCACAACGGUCAGAUCUGCUUGGAUCGAGGCUCCAACGGUCAGAUCUAGUCAGACUGGAAGUUCCGGUCCUAGGCACCGAAACUUCUAGUGCCACACUAUAAAUACUCGUUUCCCUUGUUUCUAACCGGGCACUUCGCAUAAAACACAUUUUCUGACUUCCGGUGGCUCUUCCAAAGAGUAGAGAAAGCUCUCCCCUCCUCCUCUCUCACUCCCUAAGCUUUGUGCUCCAUUCAAGUGAGAGAUUGAGCCCUAGUGAUAGAUCUGAGAGCUUCAAGAGCAUCUCUUCCCUCUCCUCUCCAUCCCCAUAGCUUGGUGCUCUUUGGUGAGAGGAUUUGGGGAACCCUAGUGUUGUGCAUUUGUGAUUUCAUUCUUGUGGCAGUAGGUGGUGAUUGCAAGUGUGGAUUUCUUGUUACUCUUGGGUGUUUCCCGACGCCCUAGACGGCUUGGUGCAAGGGAGGUGUUGACCUCGUGAUUGGAGAUUGUUUCGAGCUUCACCAAGUGAUUUGUGUGGGGUUCUUGAGCCUUCCCCACGGGAGAUCGGAAUUGGCUACUCUAGUGGAUUGCUCGUGGCUUGGAGGAUCCCCAUCUUGUGAGUGGAUGUGCGGCAUCCGCUGAGGGUUUGGCUCUGGAUUGCCAAUUAGCUCAUGAUCCAUCAAGUGGGUGUAUCGCCACAACGUGGACUAGCUUGCCGGGAAGCAAGUGAACCUCGAUAAAAAAUCUUGUGUCAUCUCUUGCCGAGGAUUCUCUUGUAAUUGUGAUUGAUUGAUUGGCUAUAUUUCUACUCUACAACGUUGGUAUAACAAUCACUCUCCUCUCCAUUACUUAUGUGCAUACCUUUCUAGUUGUGUAGCUUGUUUAGCUUAGCUAUCUUGUUUAGGAGUGUAGCAAGCUUCUAGUUGUGCUUUCUUGUUGUAACUAGUGUUUAGCUUUCUUGCUAGACCUGUGUAGGUGGCUUGCAUAGCUUAGUUGUGCUAGUGCUAGAAUAGCUUCGCCUUUUGUUUUACUAAUCAACUUGUCUAGUUGAAGUUUGUAGAAAAUUUAAAUAGACUAUUCAACCCCCCUCUAGCCAUUUGGACCUUUCAAGUGGUAUCAGAGCCGAGGUACCGUUUAUUUGAGGCUUAACAACCUACGUUGAAGAAACACCAAGAAGGCACCUUUCUUUGAUGGCACCAAUUAUGCUUAUUGGAAGGUCAAGAUGACCUCUCAUCUUAAGUCAAUCAAUAGAGAGGUUUGGAAAGUGACCGAAAUAAAGUUUGAGGUUGCAAAUGAGAAUGCACCAACACCGGUCGAAGAGAAGAAGCUACAAUGCAAUGAUAUUGCCAUUAGUGCUCUUCAUGAAGCUCUUGAUGACAAGACCUUUGAGCAAAUCAAGAACAUUGAGAUUGCUCACGAUGCAUGGGUAAAAUUAGAAGAAACAUUUGAGAGAACCAAGGGAACCAAGACCGCCAAGGCAUACAUCCUACAAGAAAAGUUCUCAAGCUUCAAGAUGCAAUAAGAUGAAAGUGUGAUGGAGAUGUUUCACCAGUUGCAAGUUAUUGUGAAUGAGCUCAAGGUACUUGGGGAAAAAGUGAAGGAUAGUCAAUUCUCUAUGAAGUUCUUGAGAAGCUUGCCCAAGAGAUUUGACACAUUGAUCACCGUGCUAGUCAAGACAACACUUAGUGAAUCAACUCCCCAACAAGUGUUUCAAGAAGUGAUGACCGAUGAUGCUUAUAGAGAAGAUGAUGAGAAGGAUGAGUUGAUCGAGAAGAAGAAGAAGGAUAGUGAGAAGAAGGAUGAUGAGAAGAAGAAAAGUGUGGCAUUCAAGGGCUCCUCAUCUAAGGGCAAAGCCAAGAUAAAGUCAUCAAGUGAAGAAGAAGCAAGCUCUUGUGAUAGUAAUGAAGAUGAGGAGAUGGCUCUUCUUGUCAAGAGAUUUGGCAAGUUUAUGAAGAAGAAGGGCUACCGGGCAAGAAGGAAGAAGAACUCCUCCAAGAAGAAUGACCAUUCCAUGAGGUGCUUUAGAUGCCAUAGCAAGGAUCAUCUCAUCACCAAGUGUCCCUAUGAUAGUGACGAUGAGGAUGCUAUCAAGAAGGAAAGAAAGAAGCAAAAGAAGAAGCAAGAAAAGAAGGAAGGCUCAAACAAGAAUAAGGGUGAUGCCCAUGUUGCAACUUGGGAUAGUGAUGACUCCUCAAGUGAUAAUGAGAGCACGAAGAAGAAGGGGCACGCUAGCAUUGCAAUUCAAGGAAAGAGCUCCACCUUCGACACUCCAUCAUGCUUCAUGGCUAAGGCCACUAAGGUAUCAUCCGAUGAUGAGAGUGACCAUGCUAGUGAUAGUGAUAGUGAUGAUGAUGAACCAACUAAAAAUGAACUAAUCACUGUGGUAGAAAAUUGCACUCAUCACUAUAAAGAAACUAGAAAGGAGUGCAAGGCCUCGCUCAAGGAUAAGAAAACCCUUAUGCAAGAACUUGAUGAGCUUAGAGCAUCCUAUGAGAGUCUAAAGGUAGACCAUGAGAAGCUACAAAAGGCUCACACUAAGCUUGAAGAAGCUCAUUCCUCUCUAGUUAACAAAUGUGAAAAUGAGCCAACUAAAAUUGAAAAAUCUAAAACUUGCAACAUAGGCAUAACAUGUGAUAUCUUGAGUAAGCCUAUUGUUAUUGCUACCACUAACCAUUAACGUUGCACAUCUACAUCAUCCUCAUCUAGUAGUGAUGGUUUCACUUGUGGCACCACACUAAAAGUUGAGAAUGAAAUUCUCCAGAAGGAGGUGAAAGAGCUCAAUCAGACCUUAGCCAAGGCUUAUGGUGGUGAGGACCGCUUGGUCAUGUGCUUGGGUAGCCAAAGAGCUUCUCUCUAUAAAGAGGGAUUGGGCUAUAACCCCAAGAAAGGCAAGGUCGCCUUUGCUCCUCACAAGACACGUUUUGUGAAGAACAAUGGCCGGUAUUGCAAAGCUUGCAAGCAAGUUGGUCACUUAGAGCAACAAUGCAUGAACAAGAAAUCCAAAGCAAAUGUAUCCUCGAUUAAGCUUAAUUCUUUCUAUGUGCUUACUAAGGAUACAAAAGGUGUUCAUGCUAAGUUCAUUGGUGCACCAUGGAUGGUCUCAAAGAACAAAGCCAUUUGUGUGCCAAUGAUCUUAGUUGCUAACCUUGGAGGACCCAAUGAAGUUUGGGUACCUAAAAAGAAUUGAUCUUGUCUUGUAGGUCAAUUACAAAACCGGAGGAAGGCAUUGGGUGCUUGAUAGUGGGUGCACUCAACAUAUGACCGGAGAGUCUUGUAUGUUCAAAUCAAUUGAUACUAGUCAAAAUGGUGGCUUUGAUUCUAUCAACUUUGGCAACAAUAAGAAAGGCAAGGUCAAGGGGCUUGGUAAAAUUGCUAUCUCAAAUGACAUGAGCAUAUCAAAUGUGUUGCUAGUUGAGAGCCUUGAUUUCAAUCUCUUUUCUAUUGCACAACUUUGUGACCUUGGUUUCAAGUGCAUCUUUGGAAGUGAUGAUGUUGAGGUAGUUAGUGUUCAUGGAUCAAACUUGAUAUUCAAAGGAUUUAGGCAUGGUAGCUUAUACUUGGUUAAUUUCAAUGACAACGAGACUCAAUUGACAUCAUGCUUGCUUAGAAAUCUAGUUUGGGUUGGCUGUCGUAUAGAAGGCUUGGUCAUGUUGGAAUGAAAUAAUUGAAUGAACUAUUGAGGCAUGACUUAGUUAGAGGCUUGAAGGAUGUCACUUUUGAGAAGGAUGAACCAUGUAGUGCUUGCCAAGCCAGAAAGCAAGUUGGAAAUGCACAUCCUAAGAAAAGUGAAAUGAGCACAUCAGAGGCAUUUGAGCUAUUACACAUGGAUUUGUUUGGGCCAACAACAUACACUAGCAUUGGUGGCAACAAGUAUGGAUUUGUGAUAGUUGAUGACUACACUAGAUACACUUGGGUGUUCUUCCUCUAUGACAAGAGUGAUGUUUGUGACCUAUGUUGAUAUUUGGUAACGCAAUAAGGAAUUGAUCCGCAAGCACACGGAUAUCGGUGAGCACUUCACCCAGGAUGUUAUCCAGAGUAUCGUAUUUAUAUUUUUACCACUAGGAGAAAGAGUGCAUCUGACUAACCCGGUCUAUUACUACUAACCUUUAGGCUACAAAGAAUGUGACUUGAUGUGAGCAAUGUAUAGAGAAGACUAUAACUGCACUCUCGUUCUAACCUUGGUAAGGAUGAUCUACUGUUCUGCUGGGGAGGCUCACGGAAUCUAGACACCACAGAGGAUGUUCGACCCACACCUAUAAAGCCUAUUGAUCCUGCUAACGGGAUAUGUGCUACAAAGGUAACUCGGAAAUGUCACGUUCCUCGCUACUACCACGGUCCAGCUAGUCACAGAAUAUCUAUGAGUAUCAUAGCCCAAACACCACAUUUACCCUAGAGAUAAUUACUCUAAACUCUACGCGAAGAGAUCAAAGUAAACUCAUAAACCAAAGAACAAUAAAACAAGAACUUACUAGAAUUUAGAAGUCGAAAUACUGAAGAAUCCUAGGAGAAAGCCUCGGGUUAGAAGACUUGAUCCCGCAGAUACAACCUCGGAGUAGACACCGACAGGCCGGGCUUCCUCUGAUCUACACCUCCACUCUAUCUCUCUCAAUCUAGUAGAUCUAGUCUACUCUCACAUUGGAUGCUAAGCUCUAAGUCUAUGUAGAGGAAAGGUUAUCCUUCGAGGGCACCUCUCAACUCUGUAAUGAACUUGUUCUCCUCUAGGGGGCCACGGGGGAUGCUUAUAUAGUCCCCUCAGGUGAACGUGGGCCUUUGGAUUGAUUGAACGGUUAUCCUUGAUCCUUUAGGUCGGUGGAGCAUGAUCCGCGAAGUUGAACGCGAUUGGCCAAAACACCAGGGCGGGCGCCCUAGGGGGGAGGGCGGGCGCCCUGCCCCCGGGCUCGAUCGCCUUCCAGUUCGUUCCCGUGGCUUCUGGAGUCUUCUAGAUGAUAGAAAAUUGCGCGGUACGUUAAUAUCUCUAUGUAAACCCGACAUGUGGGCCUUUCUUCCAUGUUUCCUGAUAACCCCCUGCAGAAACAGAUAAACAACAAAACUCGUGGAAUUCUGUCAGAUCAAACCCUAAUUCUAGGUGUUGUUUGUAUAUUCAUCCUUUCCCUUGUUUAUUUGAUAAUUAAAAUUGAUACUUAAGAACCGUCAACAAACACCCCCAUACUUAGGCUUUUACUCGUCCUCGAGAAAAGGAUGGUUAAGAAAAAUAUCUGGGGUUAAAACUUUGUAAAGCAUUCUCUUUAUACCUGCAGGGUACCAUAGUCAGGGAAAUAUAUGGUCAAGAGUAGAGAUCCUUUCUUCUCAAUCUUGUUACUUGGAGUUUUUGUAUAUUUUUGAAAAGAAAUUUAGCAUACCUUUAUCCUCAUAGGUUCUCUCAGGUCACUCAUUAUCUUUUAUAUAUCUCACUGAGGCUGUUUUAAUUUACAAAAAUUCUCAAGCAUACUUACCUUGCAUUUAUUGCCUGAUCAAAACGGGAUCCGAGGAGAGGAAUGUCAUACUCUUAGACCAAAGACUUUGGAAAUUAAAAAUUUGUCAACUCUUACUGGCAUAUUGCUUAUUAGAGGGACCAUGGGCUAUCAUUUUCUUUCUUUUCUCUUCUUUUUUUUUCAGGUGGAUACCGAGGUACCCCUAAUUCUACUGCUGGAUACUUGUCUAUUUUUUCUGUGAGGUUGUCGAGCACUUGCCCCUUUUUAUUUCCUCAAAAUAUCCUUAUUUUUGCAUAGCCCAUGCCUCUAACGCAAUAAUACUUCGGAAGAGUGAAUCUUUCUAAAUAAAUGUCUUGAUCUUAGGAGCAUGAUAAAUCUCUCAACAAGGGUCUAACUCAUUUUGAACAAACUCAAUACAGAGCAGAUAGCUUUUAUAAUUAUUAAUAUUUUCAGUUUUAUCAGGCAUAUAAAACACUGAGGAUGGUAGCUAGAAUUUUGAAAUAAAUUCUCCAAGCAACAAUGAUAUCAACAAUAAGGUACUCAUACUCGACCAUCUCAUAUUCCACAAUUACUUAAGUAACACAGGGUUUAAAAAUGAUUUUUCAAUAAUUGUAGGUUUUCAGGAAAUAUCAUAGAGUGAGAUUAAUCAUGAUUAGAAACAUUUUAAUCUUUUUAAUUUAUCAUGUUGAAGACAAUAUUCUGCAUAAUCCAAGAUAUAUAUGUAUGUGUAAAGUGUGCAGAGUAUGUACCUGAAUCGUGGAGUGGUGUAGUCGAAGUACGUUUGGCGUGUCGAGGGAUCUCCCCCAUACUUGUUUUCUGCUUUCUUGCAUAAAAAUAAAGUAGAGACACACAAGACAUAAUAAUAAUAAUAAUACUCUUUAUUAAUCUUGAGGUAUUUAUUACAAAUGACUAGUAAUAUACUGAAGCUAAUAAUAGAUCUAAACCGAAUUUAAUGAUAAAUAACUAAGAUGCAUUUCCUCAAGAUCUAAUCUAGAUAACUUAGCGGCGCUCUAACUCCAUAAUCUUCUUAUUGGCACUAGCAAGAUCAUGCCUAAGACCUAGUAUAACGGUGUUAUGGUUAGAGAGCUACCUAGUGAUAGAGUUAACCGAGGACUGGAACACUAUGAUGACCCUGUCUAGCCUACAAACGUCCUCAUCAAUAUCUACUAUAGUCUUGCAACGCUUAGGAGGUGUCUCGAGAGCAUUGAGAGCGUGCUUCGGGGCUGCCUUUGGAGGGAUGAAACGGACUUUGGCUGCUCCAAUCCCCUCAAAGUAAGGCCUCUCCUCCUCCGUAGUGUAGCGGAUGCUGCUGAUCUCGCCGCUCCGGUUGGUCUUGACUCCAACGACCCUCUCAUUGGGUCUGGGUGGCAGGAUCCUUGUGCCGGCUGGCACCUUGCCGGUGGCCUCCUUCUUGGCUGACGGUCCCUUGAGAAGUAGGGGCUAUGGCGGUGCAGUGAGAACUGGUUGAGCAUGGUAGGAUUGGGUGGAGCUACGCUAGCGUAAUGGCAUGACUUCUAGCUGUCGCUCUAUGUAGGCCGGGACGAGAGCGUAGGCGUCGGUGUCUUCCUUGGGCUUCUUUUUGAGGUCGUAGGGGAUGACUUCCCAAUCGUCGUGGAACUCUUCGGCAUUGGAGCAGCGAGGGACUUAGCAAGUUCUAAUAGAAGAAGGAGAGAAGGCUUGUAUGAAUUGGUGUUUGAAAACUGACAUCAGGGGUCUGUUUAUAUAGGGGUCAAAAAGUGCCUCUAGGGUUUGCUCGGGCUACUCCCGCCGCCGUGCGUGCGAAACUUUCCAUCUGUAUGAUUAUUUAGUUUACCAUAAAUGUGUUUAUCUUGACGGAGGAAAUCGGGACUGAGAGGGGACAGGGGCUGGGCGCCCGCCCUCAUCAUCAGGGCGCCUGCCCUGUGCCUGGCCCCUCUGUGGGCCCGCUUCCUUGAGCGUGCUUCUAGAUGCAGACUUUAUUCGAAAAAUAUAUACGUGGCCCAAAAACGUCAGAUUAAAAAGGUCAGGCUCUAAUUCUCCAUGGGAAGGUAGAAAUGGAUCACGUCUAUGUCUUCUAAUUCUUUAUUGGGCUCUAAAAAUAAUUUAAGACGUUGACCAUUUACCUUGAAUAACGUACCUUCGUUAUUUUGAAGUGUGAUAGCUCUGUGGGAUGAUGAAUUGAUUACCUUGAAUGGUCCUUCCCAUUUACUCCGAACUUUUCCAUGCCCAAAAAGCUUCACCCUGGAAUUAAAAAGUAAUACCUUAUCUCCGGGUGCGAACUCCUUCUUCUUGAUCCUCUUGUCAUGCCACCUUUUGACUCUUUCUUUAUAGAUCUUCGAAUUGUGAUAUGCUUUCUAUCGCCAUUCUUCCAAUUCUGAUAGUUGCAUUCUUCUAUGAUCUCCAGCGACAUCUAGGUCCAUAUUCCAUCUCCUUAUGGCCCAGUGUGCUUUGAAUUCUAAUUCAACAGGUAGGUGGCAAGUCUUCCCGUACACCAAUUGGUAUGGGGACAUUCCAAUUGGGGUCUUGUAUGCUGUCUGGUAUGCCCAGAGUGCAUCGGGUAACUUGUCUUUCCAUGCUGUUUCCAUCUCAUUGACUGUUUUCUGAAGAAUAUUCUUGAUUUGCUUGUUGGAAGUCUCUGCUUGGCCACUUGUCUGAGGAUGGUAAGGGGUAGCGACGUUGUGACGGAUUCCAUGUUUUGAUAGAUAUUGCUUGAAGCAUUUGUGAAAGGUCCUAAUAUGGCUAGAGGGGGGUGAAUAGCCUAUUUAAAAAUUCUACAAACUUCACUAGAGCAAGAUGUUAGUAAAUAACAAAGCGAAGCAUUUUGCUCUAGCUCUAAUGGGGUGUUUGCAAGCCACCUAUCCAACAAUUCUAGUUGAUAUAAUCACUAGGCACACAAGAGCUAUGUCACUACUUACACUAGAAAGCUACCUAAAGUUUCUAUACAAGUAAGUAAGCUACUCUAGUUUGCGGGAAUGUAAAAGAGAUGGUUUGAACUUUAUACCGCCGCGUAGAGGGUAUGAACCAAUCAAUAAUAUGAAGUCCAAUCACCGGGAGAAAUCCAAUGAACAAUCACAAUGGAGACACACAAUUUUUCUCCCGAGGUUCACGUGCUUGCCAGCACGCUACGUCCCCGUUGUGUCGACCAACACUUGGUGGUUCGGUGGCUAAGAGGUGUAGCAGGAACCUUGUCCUCAGUAGGACACCACAAGAACCAACCCAACAGUGAGGUAACUCAAUGACACGAGCACUUUACUAGAGUUACCUUUCGGCUCUCCGCCGGGGAAGGUACAAGACCCCUCACAAUCUACGCGAGAUGGCCAUGAACAAUCACCAACUCGUGCCAAAGCUCCUCUGCUGCUCCAUGCCGUCUAGGUGGCGGCAACCACCAAGAGUAACAAGAAAACCGCAGCUAGAACGAUCCCCAAGUGCCACUAGAUGCAAUCACUCAAGCAAAUGCACUUGGAAUCACUCCCAAUCUCACAAAGAUGUAUAAUCUAUGAAGGAGAUGAGUGGGAGGUGUUUGCUUAGGCUCACAAGGAUGUCUAGUAGUCAAGAAUGCCAAGAGGGUGAGCCCUAAGCCGGCCAACAACUAUUUAUAGACCCCUCAAACAAAUAGAGCCGUUGGCUCUCUCACUGGGUCUGACUCGUGGUCACUGGACGCUCUUUAAGGGGCACCGGACGCUCAACACCUGCGUCCGGUGCUCCAACGUGAGCCGCGUGUCAGAAACUAACGGUAACCUGCAGAGCACCGGACUCAUGCGCAGAGAGGGUCGCCAAACCACCCGCACACCGGACUCUAAGUACAGAGAGGUCUGCAGAAACAUAGGGUCACCGGACGCAGAGCACCGGACGCUCCAGCCUACGUCCGGUGCUCACCGGACUUAAACCCAGGGAGCACUGCAAAAAGCGCGGGGCACCGGACUCACACCACCGGACGCUCCAAGCUGCGUCCGGUGCGUAUCGUCCGGUGCCUAACCCUAACCGAGCUAGGCUGCCUGCUCACCGGACGCACAGGCACAACGUCCGGUGCUUCUGGGCCAGUGACCGGUGAGUGUUCUUCAGCGAGAAACACUCACCGCGACUUCUCCAAAUUUCCCACCGACGCAAUAGAAAAUAUGCACUUAAUUUUCUCAAAAGCGUCGAACUCCACCUCCUUCUCAAAGUGUGCCAACACCACAAUGUGUAAACCAACAUGUGCACGUGUGUUAGCAUUUUCACAGUCAUUUUCUUCGAAGGAGUUAAGUUAGCUCACUAGGUUCUAAAUGCAUGCACAUGAACAAUGACACCUAGUGGCACUCGAUAACCGCUUAGCCAAAGAAUUCCCCUCUUUAUAGUACGGCUAUCUAUCCUAAAUGUGAUCACACCCUCUAUGGUGUCUUGAUCACCAAAACCAAAACCCUAACCAAUACCUUUGCCUUGAUUUCCAUAGGGUUUUGUUUUUCUCUUUCUUCUUUUCCAAGUUGAGCACUUGAUCAUCUUGUGGUCAUCACCAUCAUCACCAUGAUCAUCACUUGCUCCAUCACUUGGCAUGUAUCAACCUCAUUAAGUAUACACACACUUAGUAUAGAGGUUAAUACUAGGGUUUCAUCAAUUAUCCAAAACCAAACUAGGGCUUUCAAUCCCCCCUUUUUGGUAAUUGAUGAUAACCCUUUUUACAAAGAUUUUUAAUAAAAUUUUCUUGGAUUCAUGUUGCUUGCCCAAGCAUUUUACCAUGUGCAAAGGUUAUGGACAAGUUUCACAAACCCAAAUUUGGUAGCAACUGCUCCUCCUACAUAUGUGCUAAGAGUUUGGAUUUGAAAGCUUGCACAUAUGCUUGAAUAGGAAAAAUAUGAGUCAAUUUCUACCAAAUGAUGCUAAGGUGUAAAGAAUGGACCUUUGAAGCGUGAUACCAAUUGGAGUUGCCAAUGUACACCAUCCUUAGCACCAUUAGUAACUAGGCUUUCACAAAACUAGAACACCUCGUGAGAUCAACAUUAUAAACAAGGUUCUAGUACCACUUGUGAAGUAACUAAUAGUCUAGUUAUACUACCUAUGCAUGCUAGUUCUUCAUUUCAUCAUUCAAACCUACAACUAGCAUAUAUCACACAAGCAAGGAAUUGGAGAGAAAGCUUCUAAAACUAAUGCAAAUGCAAGCAAACAUAUGUGAUGCACAUUCAAAUGCAACAUACAAGUUUAUGAGCUUGCUCCCCCUACUUGUGUGCUUCAAAUUUUAAUUGAUCCCCUUCUUUUAUUAUGUUACUUCCCUAUCUUUGUACUUCUCAUGUUACUUCCCUAUCUUUGUACUUCUCCUAUAAUUUCUCCCCUUUGUCAUCAAUGACCACAAAAGGUGAGCUCAAAUUUUAGAUAAGUUAGUGUGAAACCAUGUGAAGUGAGAUCAUUUUCCCAAAUUGGUUCAAUCUAGAUUACUUGCCUAAGAUAUUUAACUUGGUUUGAUCCAAGGACAAGCUUCUUCACACCUCCAAAUAAGGGUUAUCUUGUACCAUGUUGAGUUAAACACUUAUAGCUCAUAUUCUAGAUCAAACACUAGGAUUGCAAGCCCACAAACAUGUCAUAUGCUACCAUUAGAUAAAGUCAAUCAUAGAAGCAAUAGUGGUACCAUACAAGCAUCAAAUUCAUUUGAUUUUCAUGAAUGAUCCUAGGACAUGUAAGUAAUGACUAGAUGCACUAAACAAGUCCUUAGCAUAUGAUGAAUGACAUGUCAAUCAAUUUUACCAUGCUUUUGCUCGAAGGAGAGGCAUGUCAUAAAGUGGGGGUGCAUCAACACAUAUUUGAGAAGUCAAGUAUGUUAAAUUCAUUCCUUAGCUUGCAAAACCUCUUCUCAUCAAGUGGCUUGGUGAAUAUAUCGGCAAGUUGAUCAUCGGUGCCUAUACUCUCAAUGCAAAUGUCCCCUUUUUGUUGGUGAUCUCUCAUGAAAUGAUGGCGGACAUCUAUGUGCUUUGUUCUUGAGUGUUGAACCAGAUUGUUGAUGAGCUUCACGGCACUUACAUUGUCACAUAGCAAUGGCACUUGUUUGAAGUUGAUUCCAAAGUCCUUCAAUGUUGCCUUCAUCCAUAGGAUUUGUGCACAACAACUACCGACCGCAAUGUAUUCCACUUCGGCGGUUGAUAGUGCAACACUAUUUUGCUUCUUGGAUGACCAUGAGACAAGUGAUCUUCCCAAUAGUUGGCAUGUGCCCGAUGUGCUUCUUCUUUCAACUUUGCAUCCCGCAUAGUCCGAAUCGGAAUAUCCAACAAGUUCAAACUUUGCACCUUUGGGAUACCACAAACCAACAUCUUGUGUAUGCUUCAAGUACCUCAAUAUUCUCUUUGUCGCCUUCAAAUGACUUUCUCUUGGUGAGGCUUGAAAUCUUGCACACAUGCAUACACUAAACAUGACAUCCGGUCUUGAUGCGGUCACAUAGAGUAGGCUUCCAAUCAUAGACCGAUACAACUUUUGAUCCACCAUAUUUCCACUUGUAUCACUAUCUAGGCUUCCAUUUGUUCCCAUUGGAGUGCUAAUUGAUUUUGCAUCAUCCAUACCAAACUUCUUGAGCAUGUCUUUUAUGUACUUGCCUUGACUCACAAAUGUACCAUUCUUCAAUUGCUUGAUUUGAAGACCAAGGAAGUAACUAAGCUCUCCAAUCAUUGACAUUUCAAACUCAUUAGACAUCAUGUUGCAAAACUCCUCACAAAAUUCUUGGUUGGUUGAUCCAAAUAUGAUAUCAUCAACAUAUAUUUGCAACACAAACAAGCCUUUGCCAAUCUUCUUGGUGAAGAGAGUGGUGUCAACCUUGCCCAUAUUGAAACCUUUAGAGAGUAAGAAAUCUCUCAAUCUCUCAUACCAUGCUCUAGGUGCUUGCUUCAAACCAUAUAAUGCCUUUCUUAGCUUGUAAACAUGGUUGGGUUUCUUGUCAUCUUCAAAACUGGUAGGUUGCUCAACAUAGACUUCUUCAUUGAUAUAGCCAUUGAGAAAUGCACUCUUGACAUCCAUUUGGUAUAGCUUGAUGUUAUGAGCACAAGCAUAGGCCAACAAGAUCCUAAUUGCUUCCAAUCUUGCAACCGGGGCAUAGGUUUCACCAAAGUCAAGACCUUCAAUUUGAGUAUAGCCUUGUGCUACCAAUCUUGCUUUGUUUCUUACAACUAUCCCAUCUUGAUCUUGUUUGUUGCGAAAGACCCAUCUAGUACCAAUGACAUUGUGAUCACUAGGCCUCUCAACUAAUUCUCAUACUUGAUUUCUCUUGAAAUUAUUAAGCUCUUCAUGCAUGGCAUUAACCCAAUCAACAUCUCUCAAUGCUUCUUCAAUCUUCUUUGGCUCAAUGUGAGACACAAAGGAGAAAUGCUCACAAAAUGAUGCUAAUCUUGAUCUAGUUUGCACUCCUCUUUGAAUAUCACCAAUGAUAUGAUCCAAUGGAUGAUCUAUUGCAAUAUUUGUAGGUUGGAGUAUUUGCACUUGAUUGCUUGCACUUGGUUGAUCAUGAGAUGAUGUACUAGCUUGGUGAUCUUGCGCUUGUGUACCACUUGUACUAACUUGAUUUUGAUCAUGAGAACGACUAGCUUGCACAUUAGAGGUAGGAAGUACUUGAUCUUUGUCAUCUUCAACAUCAAUCACCUCUCUAGGCCUUAAAUCACCAAUAUCCAUAUUCUUCAUUGCAUCGGCCAAUUGAGUGCCUCUUACAUCAUCUAGAUUUUCAUCUUCCUCUUGAGAGCCAUUGGUUUCAUCAAAUUCAACAUCAUGCACCUCCUCAAGAGUACCACUAGCCAAAUUCCACACUCUAUAAGCUUUGCUAGUAGUGGAGUAACCAAGCAAGAAACCUUCAUCACAUUUAUUUUCAAAUUUACUCAAUCUAGUGCCUUUCUUCAAUAUGUAGCAUUUGCAACCAAAAACCCAAAAAUAUGCAAUGUUGGGCUUUCUUCCAUUCAAGAGCUCAUAUGGAGUCUUCUCCAUCAUUGGGUGACAAUAGAGUCGGUUGCUAUAGUAGCAAGCCGUGUUGAUUGCUUCGGCCCAAAAAGAAUGACUCACAUUGUAUUCACUCAACAUUGAUCUUGCCAUGUCAAGCAAGGUUCUAUUCUUUCUCUCAACAAGACCAUUUGAUUGUGGAGUGUACUUGGCCGAGAAUUGAUGCCUAAUGCCAAAUUCAUCACAAAGCUCAUCAACUUUUGUAUUCUUGAAUUCACAUCCAUUGUCACUUCUCACUUUCUUGAUGGUUGUAUCAAACUCACUGUGUAUUCUCUUGACAAAUGAUUUGAAGGUUGCAAAAGCAUCACUCUUGUCACUAAGAAAGAACACCCAUGUAUAUCUUGUGAAAUCAUCCACUAUCACAAAUCCAUAUUUGUUUCCACCAAUACUUGUGUAUGUGGUUGGUCCAAAUAAGUCCAUGUGUAACAACUCAAAUGCCUUGCAUGUACUCAUGAUGCUCUUCUUUGGAUGAGUGUUGCCAACUUGCUUUCUGGCUUGACAUGCACUACAAAGCUUGUCUUUCUCAAAUGUGACAUCUUUCAAGCCUCUAACAAGAUCAUGCUUGACUAACUUGUUUAAUUGUUUCAUUCCAACAUGACCAAGCCUUCUAUGCCAUAACCAACCCAUGCUAGAUUUAGUGAGCAAGCAUGUUGAUAAUUGAGCUUCACUGGCAUUAAAAUCAACCAAGUAUAGAUUCUCAUAUCUAAAGCCUUUGAAUAUCAAGUUGGAGCCAUCUACACUUAUGAUCUCCACAUCAUCAACUCCAAAUAUGCAUUUGAAACCAAGAUCACAAAGUUGAGCUAGGGAUAGCAAGUUGAAGUUCAAGCUUUCUACUAGUAGCACAUUGGAAAUGCUCAAGUCAUUGGAUAUAGCAAUUUUACCAAGCCCUUUGACACCAUUGUCAUCAUUUGGAUUGAUUGAAUUGAACAUUCUUGAAUCACCGGUCAUGUGUUGUGUGCACCCACUAUCAAGCACCCAAUGCCUUCCUCUGGCUUUAUAGUUUACCUACAAAACAAAUCAAUGUUUCUUAGGUACCCAUACUUGUUUGGGUCCUUGGAGGUUAGUGACUAAGCUUUUUGGUACCCAAAUGGCCUUCUUCUUUGGACCCACAAUUGGUGUACCAACAAACUUAGCAUGCACACCGUUCUCACCCUUGGUAAGCACAUAACAAGAAUCAAAAGGAAUGUAAGGUACAUUAGCAAUUUUCUUGUUCUUGUUCAUUUUAUUGAAAUUAAGCUCUAGGUGCCCAACUUGCUUGCAUUUCUUGCAAUACCGACCAUUGCUCUUCACAAAGCUAGGCUUGUGAGUUGCAAAGGCUUUCUUGCCCUUCUUAGGUGUAUAGCCUAAUCCCUCUUUGUUGAGAGAAAACCUUUGGCUACACAAGCACUUUAGCAAGCGGGCCUCACCACCAUAGGCUUUGCCUAGGGCGUGAGUGAGCUCAUCCACCUCUCUCUUGAGAGUCUCAUUCUCAACCUUUAGUGAGAUAUCACAAGUGACACCGACACUAGAAGUAGAGGUAGAGUUGGUUGUGGUGGAUGAAGACCUACAAGAAGAGUUAGUGGCAACAACAGUAGAUGGGUUGGGUGAUUCUUUAAUUAAGUCACAUGUUGUGCCCACAUCACAUAAUACAACAACCUUUUCCUUAUUCUCUUCUAACAACAAGGAGUGAGCUUUCUCAAGCUUGGUGUGAGCCUUGCCAAGCUUCUCAUGGGCUUCCACUAGCCUCUCAUGAUUAGCAUUGAGCUCAUCAAAGGAUUGCUCAAGAGCUUUUAACUUCUUGGCCAAUUCUUUGCACUUCCUGUUUUUAGAUUGAAUAAGAGAAUCGACUUGUUCUAGCAUGUCCAUAAGUUGUUCAUUAGUGAAUUCAUUUUCAUCAUCACUAUCACUAUCAUGUUCAUGUUCACUUUCACUUUCACUCUCAUCAUAUUGUACCUUGUGGCCCUUGGCCAUGAAGCAUGAAGGAGUAUCAAAGAGUGAUGACUUGUUGAUAGCAAUGCUUGCAAGCGCCUUCUUCUUGGAUGCCUUGUCAUCAUCACUAGAAUCAUCAUCCGAAGAAGCAUCACUAUCCCAUGUCACAACAUAGGAUCCACCCUUCUUCUUCUUCUUCUUGAAGACCAUCUUCUUGACCUUCUUUUUUUCUUCUCUUUCUUGUUCUUCUUCUCAUGCUCAUCAUGAUCACUAUUGUAUGGACAAUCCACCAAAAUAUGAUCGGGGCUCUUGCACUUGUAGCAUAGCCUCACAUAUUCCUUGUUCUUGGAGUUGUCCCUUCUUUUUCUUGUAUGGUAGCCCUUCUUCUUCAUCAUCUUGCCAAACUUGUGGACAAAGAGUGCUAGUGCUUCAUCAUCACUAUCAUCAUUGGAGCACUCCUCAUCACUAGAUUCUUCUUUCUUAGCCUUGCCCUUGUUCUUGCUCUUGGAUGAAGAUCUAGCUUUGAAUGCUACACUCUUCUUCUUCUUGUCAUCAUCAUCCUUCUUCAUGACCUCAUCAUCAUGAUUAUCAUUGUAUUGAUCUUCGGUCAUGACAUCUCCAAGUACCUCAUUGGGAGAUACACCCGUCAAUCCACCUCUAAAGAUGAUUGUUCUCAAUGUCUUGAACCUCUUGGGCAAGCACACCAAGAACUUGUAAAUGAAGUCCUCAUCCUUCACUUUCUCACCAAGACCCUUGAGAUCAUUGAUGAUGACUUGGAGUCUAUAGAACAUCUCCGGUAUAGACUCAUCAUCCUUCAUCUUGAAGUUGGAUAGCUUGUCCUUGAGCUUAUACAAUUUGGCACUUUUUACCGUUGUAGUGCCCUCAUAUGUUUCUUCAAGUCUUGUCCACACUUCACUUGCCUUCUCAAGAUCUUUGACUUGUUCAAACAGUUUUGAAUCAAUGCCAUUGUAAAUUGUGUUGAGAGCCAUAGUAUUGCAUUAUUUGUCGGUGGGGUUGGCGGGGUCAAGGAUCACAAAAUCAUUCUCCAUGACUUCCCACACUCUAUCAUUGAUUGAUCCAAGGUACAUCUUCAUUUUUCUCUUCCAAUAGUCAAUAGAGCUUGUGCCAUCAAAGAACGGUGGUUUGCCCCCAACAUGGUUGAACACUAUUCGAGCCAUAAUUUGAGCACCGAGGUUGUUAAACCUUCAAAAACCGUGACCACGGCUUUGAUACCACUUGAAAGGUCCUAAUAUGGGUAGAGGGGGCUGAAUAGUCUAAUUAAAAAUUCUACAAACUUCACUAGAGCAAGAGGUUAGUAAAUAACAAAGCGAAGCUUUUUGCUCUAGCUCUAAUGGGGUGUUUGCAAGCCACCUAUCCAACAAUUCUAGUUGAUAUAACCUUUAGGCACACAAGAGCUAUGUCACUACUUACACUAGAAAGCUACCUAAAGUUUCUAUACAAGUAAGUAAGCUACUCUAGUUUGCGGGAAUGUAAAAGAGAUGGUUUGAACUUUGUACCGCCGCGUAGAGGGUAUGAACCAAUCAAUAAUAUGAAGUCCAAUCAUCGGGAGAAAUCCAAUGAACAAUCACAAUGGAGACACACAAUUUUUCUCCCGAGGUUCACGUGCUUGCCGGCACGCUACGUCCCUGUUGUGUCGACCAACACUUGGUGGUUCGGUGGCUAAGAGGUGUAGCACGAACCUCGUCCUCACUAGGACACCACAAGAACCAACCCAACAGUGAGGUAACUCAAUGACACGAGCACUUUACUAGAGUUACCUUUCGGCUCUCCGCCGGGGAAGGUACAAGACCCCUCACAAUCACCGGGAGAUGGCCACGAACAAUCACCAACUCGUGCCAAAGCUCCUCCGCUGCUCCAAGCCGUCUAGGUGGCGGCAACCACCAAGAGUAACAAGAAAACCGCAGCUAGAACGAUCCCCAAGUGCCACUAGAUGCAAUCACUCAAGCAAAUGCACUUGGAAUCACUCCCAAUCUCACAAAGAUGUAUAAUAUAUGAAGGAGAUGAGUGGGAGGUGUUUUCUUAGGCUCACAAGGAUGUCUAGUAGUGAAAAAUGCCAAGAGGGUGAGCCCUAAGCCGGCCAACAACUAUUUAUAGACCCCUCAAACAAAUAGAGCCGUUGGCUCUCUCACUGGGUCUGACUCGGGGUCACCGGACGCUGUUAAAGGGGCACCAGACGCUCAACACCUGCGUCCGGUGCUCCAACAUCAGCCGCGUGUCAGAAGCUAACGGUAACCUACAGAGCACCGGACUCAUGUGCAGAGAGGGUCGCCAAACCACCCGCACACCGGACGGUAAGCACAGAGAGGUCUGCAGAAACACAGGGUCACCGGACGCUGAGCACCGGACACUCCAGCCUACGUCCGGUGCUCACCGGACUUAAACCGAAGGAGCACUGCAAAAAGCGCGGGGCACCGAACUCACACCACCGGACGCUCCAAGCUGCGUCCGGUGCGUAUCGUCCGGUGCCUAACCCUAACCGAGCUAGGCUGCCUGAUCAACGGACGCACAGGCACAACGUCCGGUGCUUCUGGGCCAGCGUCCGGUGAGUGUUCCUCAGCGAGAAACACUCACCGCGACUUCUCCAAAUUUCCCAUCGGUGCAAUAGAAAAUAUACACUUAAUUUUCUCAAAAGCGUCGAAGUGUGCUAACACUACAAUGUGUAAACCAACAUGUGCACGUGUGUUAGCAUUUUCACAAUCAUUUUCUUCGAAGGAGUUAAGUUAGCUCACUAGGUUCUAAAUGCAUGCACAUAAACAAUGACACCUAGUGGCACUCGAUAACCGCUUAGCCAAAGAAUUCCCCUCUUUAUAGUACGGCUAUCUAUCCUAAAUGUGAUCACACCCUCUAUGGUGUCUUGAUCACCAAAACCAAAACCCUAACCAAUACCUUUGCCUUGAUUUCCAUAGGGUUUUGUUUUUCUUUUUCUUCUUUUCUAAGUUGAGCACUUGAUCAUCUUGUGGUCAUCACCAUCAUCACCAUGAUCGUCACUUGCUCCAUCACUUGGCAUGUAUCAACCUCAUUAAGUCUACACACACUUAGUAUAGAGGUUAGUAUUAGGAUUUCAUCAAUUAUCCAAAACCAAACUAGGGCUUUCAGUUUGUCGAUGAAGUGUGCUCCUCCACCACUUAUCACUACUCUGGGAACUCCAAAUCUUGGAAAUAUAACUUCUUCGAACAUCCUCUUUGAACUGAUGUUGUCGGCGUGCUUGCAAGGUAAUGCGUCUACCCACUUGGAGACGUAGUCAACUGCCACCCAGAUGAACUCACACUUCUUUGAUGGGGGAAAUUGACCCAUGUAAUCUAUUCCCCAGUCAUCAAGGAGCUCAAUCUAAAGGUUGUUGGUGAGUGGUAUGGCAUCUCUUGUGUUUAUGUUUCUGUGCCUUUGACGUGGCCCACAUCUUCUGAUAUAUUGCUUCGUGUCUUCAUACAUUGUAGGCCAGUAGAAUCCACACUACCAGAUCUUUGAAUGUGUGCGGAAUGCUCCAUAAUGACCUCCAUAUGGUGAUGAAUGACAUCUGUCGAUGAUCUUGCAUCCUUCCUUAGUGGUCACACAUCUCCUGAGUAAGCCAUCAGAGCAUACUCGGAAGAGGUAUGGCUCAUCCCAUAUAUGUGAACGACUUUCUUGAAUAAGCUUCUUCUUGUUUGCUCCUGGUGGUACAUACCCUGAAACCAUAAAAUUAACAAUAUUUGCAUACCAGGGGUCAGACCUGAUAAUCCCGUAGAGCAUGUCGUCCCGGAGUGAAUCAUUGAUGGGGUUUCCUGUGGAUUCUUAAAAUACAUUCUAGACAAGUGAUCAGCAACAGAAUUUUCUACUCCCUUUUUUUCUUUUAUUUCUAAGUCAAAUUCUUGAAGUAAUAAGAUCCAUCUAAUCAGGCGAGGUUUAACAUCUUUUUAGUGAGCAGAUGUUUUAGUGCAGCAUGAUCAGUGUAAACAAUUAUUUUAGCUCCAACCAAAUAAGAUCUAAAUUUAUCAAUGGCAUAGACAACGGCUAGAAGCUCUUUUUUAGUGGUAGCAUAAUUAAGUUGAGCUCCUGUCAAAGUUUUCCUGGCAUAAGCAAUUGCAUGAUGCUUCUUAUUUUUAGUUUGUCCCAAAACUGCCCCCACAGCAUAAUCACUAGCAUCACACAUAAUUUCAAAAGGCAAUGACCAAUCAGGGGGUUGAAUGAUUGGUGCAGAGAUGAGUGCAUUCUUUAAUAAAUUAAAAGAUGUUAGGCAUGCAUCAUCAAAUUCGAAAGGAACAUCCUUGGCUAGCAAAAGAGUAAGUGGUCUAGCAAUAAAUGAAAAAUCUUUUAUGAAUCUGCGAUAAAAACCAGCAUGGCCAAGAAAGCUUCGAACUCCUUUUAUAUUUACAAGUGGAGGUAGUUGUUCAAUUACUUCAAUUUUAGCUUUGUCUACCUCAAUACCUCUUUCAGACACUAGGUGUCCCAGCACUAUUCCUUCCCUAACCAUAAAAUGACAUUUUUCCCAAUUAAGGACUAAGUGCUUUUCUUCACAUCUUUGCAAAACCUUGACUAAGUUUUCAAGACAACUAUCAAAAGUUUUUCCAUAAACAGAGAAAUCAUCCAUAAAAACUUCCAUAAUUUCUUCAAUCAUAUCAGAAAAUAUAGGCAUCAUGCAUCUUUGAAAAGAAGCUGGUCUAUUACAUAACCCAAAAGACAUUGUACGGUAAGCAUAAGUUCCGUAUGGGCAUAUAAAAGUGGUUUUGCUUUGAUCAUCGGGAUGGAUCGGGAUCCGGUGAUACCCUGAAUAUCCAUCUAAGAAACAGAAGAACGAAUGGUUCGCUAAUCGCUCUAGCAUCUCAUCUAUGAAAGGUAAAGGAAAAUGAUCCUUUCUCGUGGCUUUGUUUAGUUUUCUAUAGUCUAUGCACAUCCGCCACCCUGUGACGGUGCAUUGCAGAAUUAGCUCGUUCUUUUCAUUCAUAACGACAGUCAUGCCUCCCUUUUUAGGCACAACUUGAACUGGGCUCACCCACUCACUGUGCGGCACAGGAUAUAUAUAAUCCCUGCAUGCAGCAACUUUAUAACUUCCUUUUUAACUAUCUCUCUCAUCGCGUUGUUCAGACUACUUUGGGGCUCUCGAGAAGGUGAAACAGAAGGAUCUGUCAGAAUAUGAUGGGUACAAAUCAUAGGACUGAUUCCUGUAAGAUCUUGGAGUGAGUAGCCGAAAACUGAGGAUGUUUCUCAAGAAUGGUCAUCAAUCUUAGAGUUUGCUCUUGAGUGAGUUUAUCACUAAUGAUCACAGGAAACUCUGGAUUAUUGUUUAGGAAAGUAUAGAAAAGACUGGGUGGUAAAGUUUUAAGCUCUAUGGGAGGUCUAGGCGUUUCUGCAAACUCGUCUAAGGGUUCAGGUUCAGAUGGUUCAGCUUCUUCUUCUAUGAAGAAAGGAGCUUCGUCUUCUAAGUCUGGUUCAUCUAAAAGCUCUAGAGAUGCAGCAUUUACCUCCUCCAUAGGAUCAGGCAAAAGAUAUGACUCAACCUUAUUAUUUAAGGAGUGUGAAAUCGUUAUUGGAAAUUUAAAAGUUUUUCCAAAAGAAUGUGUAGCUUUCCAGUAUGACCUUCAUAAAGAGUCUUCUAAAAGGUUGUCCUAUCAACAGGUCGAAGUCUCAUGUAUCAAAGAUAUAAAAGUUCAAAUGAACCAUGGAGCCUUCUACCAUAAGGGGUAGGACAUUAAUAAUUCCAAGAUUGGGGACUAAUCGUCCUGAAGAUUCCUUUAUGACCUUUGUUGUGGGGGUUAAGACCAAAUUUUUAAAUAAUUUAAGUGCAAAAGAUUCAGACAUGAUGUUGAUCCCCACAACAGGAUUAUAGAGAGCAUCAAAUUGAUCAGAAUCAUAAGCACAACGUAUAGUUAUAGGAGGUGUGUCCAAACGGAUCACAUCAGAGGAAAGCUCUGACUCCUCCAACCAUUCGCUAUUCAUGACUGUGAUAAGCUCUCUCAAUUGAUGUUCUGUUGGCAAACAAAUGCUAAAAUGGCCGUUUUGGGGUCUGUCAAUAGAAUGGUAGUUUGAAAUGUUUCCAAAAUCGGCAAAAAGAUCAAAUUCUAUAUCCAGCAUGAAAUCAGGUGGUGGAAUUUCUUCCUUUUGUGGCUCAGAACUUGGGAUAGCUAAAGUAGAUGGAGAAUUUGGUAAAGUGUCUACUUUGGCUUCAUGGGUUUCAUCAUGAAGGGUAUUAUCCAUCUCAGCUUAUAGGAUUCUAUCUAGGAUCGCUCUAGCAUCAUCAGUAGGGAUGUGAAAGAAAUAACCUCUAGACAUUGUAUGUAGCAUUUGUUUAUGAUCUUUCUAAAGACCUCGAAAAAAGUGAAAUAAAAGAACAGUGUCUUCAAGAUUAAGGUUUGGACCAAAUUCUAAAAGAUUAGAAAAACGUUUCUAGGAUUUUCCCAAAGUUUCAUUAUCUUUUUGUUUAAAAGAUAGGACUUCGAGUCUAAGGUCGCCAAUACGGUCGAGGGAAUAAAAAUCUAGGCAAAAGUUGGCUCGUAAAACUCCCCAUUCACCUCGUUGUUGACUUACCUUCUGACUAUACCAAUGUCUAGCUUCUCCCCUUAAAGAAAAAGGAAAAAGCUUCCAACGUAAAGUCUUAUCAGAAAUGCCUUCAAUGCGAAGACAAUCACAUGUUUGCUCAAAAUCUCUAAUAUGAAGGUAAGGGUUUUCGUCUUCCUUUCCAGAAAAGGAUAGGUUUUGAAUCAUGGCAAUUAACCUGGAACUUAACCUAUACUGAGAUGUUUAGAUAUGCUGUGAUGACUCCCAUGGUAAAAGGUCAGUUUCCGAAGGUGUUGGAAAUUGAUAGAUUGAUUUAGAAUCUUGGUUUUCCAUAAAGUAAGAGUGAAGAAAAUAAAGAAUAUAAAAAGAUAAGAAAAGAAAAAAGUAUAGAUACAAGCUAGUAGUAAGACUCAAGGUUAUCUCAGCAAACCGUCUUUCUCCUCGGCAACGGCGCCAGAAAUGCCUGUUGAUAUUUGGUAACGCAAUAAGGAAUUGAUCCACAAGUGCACGGAUAUCGGUGAGCACUUCACCCGGGAUGUUAUCUAGAGUAUCGUAUUUAUAUUUUUACCACUAGGAGAAAGAGUGCAUCUGACUAACCCGGUCUAUUACAACUAACCAUUAGGCUACAAAGAAUGUGACUCGAUGUGAGCGAUGUAUAGAGAAGACUACAACUGCACUCUCAUUCUAACCUUGGUAAGGAUGAUCUACUGUUCUGUUGGGGAGGCUCACGGAAUCUAGACACCACAGAGGAUGUUCGACCCGCACCUAUAAACCCUAUCGAUCCUACUAACGGGAUAUGGGCUACAAAGGUAACUCGGAAAUGUCACGUUCCUUGCUACUACAACGGUCCAGCUAGUCACGGGACAUCUAUGAGUAUCCUAGCCCAAACACCACGUUUACGCUAGAGAUGAUUACUCUAAACUCUAUGCGAAGAGAUCAAAGUAAACUCAUAAACCAAAGAACAAUAAAACAAGAACUUACUAAAAUUUAGAAGUCGAAAUACUGAAGAAUCCUAGGAGCAAGCCUCGGGUUGGAAGACAUGAUCCCGCAGGUACAACCUCGGAGUAGACACCGACAGGCCGGGCUUCCUCCGAUCUACACCUCCACUCUAUCUCUCUCAAUCUAGUAGAUCUAGUCUACUCUCACAUUGGAUGCUAAGCCCUAAGUCUAUGUAGAGGAAAGGUUAUCCUUCGAGGGCACCUCUCACCUCCAGGCGCCAGGGGGGUCUGCUUAUAUAGUCCCCGCAGGUGAACGUGGGCCGUCGGAUCAAACCGACAUUGAUUGAACGGUUAUCCUUGAUCCUUUAGGUCAGUGGAGCAUGAUCCGUGAAGUUGAACGCGAUUGGCCGAAACACCAGGGCGGGCGCCCUGCCCCCGGCCCCGAUCGCCUUCUCGUUCGUUCCCGUGGCUUCUGGACUCUUCUAGAUUAUAGAAAAUUGCGCGGUACGUUAAUAUCUCUAUGUAAACCCGACAUGUGGGCCUUUCUUCCAUAUUUCCUGAUAAGCCCCUACAGAAACAGAUAAACAAUAAAACUCGUGGAAUUCUGUUAGAUCAAACCCUAAUUCUAGGUGUUGUUUGUAUAUUGGUCCUUUCCCUUGUUUAUUUGAUAAUUAAAAUUGAUACUUAAGAACCGUCAACAAUCUAUUCAAGUCUUUUGUCAAGAGAGUGCAAAAUGAGUUUGAGACCACUAUCAAGAAAAUUAGAAGUGACAAUGGUAAUGAGUUCAAGAACACAAGAAUUGAGGAUUUAUGUGAUGAUCUUGGCAUUGGGCAUCAAUUCUCUCCAACAUACACUCCUCAAUCCAAUGGUGUAGUUGAAAGGAAAAAUAGAACCUUGAUUGAUAUGUCUAGAUCAAUGCUUAGUGAAUACAAUGUUAGUCAUUCAUUUUGGAGUGAAGCUAUCAACACAGCUUGCUAUUGUAGCAACCGUCUCUAUUGCCAUGGGAAGCUUGGGAAGACACCAUAUGAGCUAUUGAAUGGAAGAAAGCCCAAAAUUGCAUACUUUAGAGUGUUUGGUUGUAAAUGCUACAUUGUCAAAAAAGGCACUAGAUUGAGCAAAUUUGACAAGAAAUGUGAUGAAGGGUUCUUACUUGGUUAUUCCACCACAAGCAAGGCAUAUAAAGUUUGGAACUUGGCAAGUGGCACAUUAGAAUAAGUUCAUGAUGUGGAGUUUGAUAAAACCGAGAGAUCUCAAAGUGAAGAUAAAAAUCUUGAUGAUGUGAGGGGAGAUCAAUUGGCAAAUGCAAGUUGAUGAUGAUGGUGAUAUUCACAUGAUCAAUCAAGAAGUGCAAAUUGAUACAAAUCAAGCUAGUACUAGUGGCUCUCAUGAUGAUAAUCAACAUCAAAGUCAAGCAAGUGGAAGCAAUCAACUCCCAAUACUCCAACCUACAAGCAUAGCAAGGGAUCAUCCAUUGGAUCAAGUCAUUGGUGGUAUUCAAAGUGGUGUACAAACAAGAUCAAGGCUAGCAUCUUUUUGUGAGCACUAUUCAUUUGUCUCAUUUGAAGAACCAAAGAGAAUAGAAAAUGCAUUGAUGGAUUCCGAUUGGGUAAAUGCCAUGCAUGAAGAAUUGAACAACUUCACAAGAAAUCAAGUGUGGGAGCUUGUUAAGAGGCCAAAGAACUACAAUGUAAUUGGUACCAAGUAGGUCUUUAGAAAUAAGCAAGAUCAAGAUGGUGUAGUUGUGAGAAACAAAGCAAGACUAGUAGCACAAGGCUACACACAAGUUGAAGGUCUUGACUUUGGAGAAACUUAUGCACCAGUUGCAAGAUUAGAGGCAAUUAGAAUCUUAUUAGCCUAUGCUUGUGCCCACAACAUCAAGCUAUAUCAAAUAGAUAUGAAGAGUGCAUUUCUCAAUGGAAACAUCAAUGAGUUGGUUUAUGUUGAACAACCUCCCGGUUUUGAAGAUGACAAGAAACCCAACCAUGUUUACAAGCUCAAGAAGGCAUUGUAUGGUUUGAAGCAAGCACCUAGAGCAUGGUAUGAGAGAUUGAGAGACUUUCUUCUCUCUAAAGGGUUCAAGAUGGGAAAGGUUGACACUACCCUCUUCACCAAGAAGCUAGGCAAUGACUUGUUUGUGUUGCAAAUCUAUGUUGAUGAUAUCAUUUUUGGAUCAACCAAUCAAGACUUUCGUGAAGAGUUUGGAAGAAUGAUGGCUAAUGAGUUUGAGAUGUCCAUGAUUGGAGAGCUUAGUUACUUUCUUGGUCUUCAAAUCAAGCAAAUGAAGAAUGGCACUUUUGUAUGUCAAGGCAAGUACAUCAAGGACAUGAUCAAGAAGUUUGGGUUGCAAGAAGCUAAACCAAUAAGCACACCUAUGGCCACAAAUGAUCAAUUAGGAUGUGAUGCAAGUGCCAACAUGGUAGAUCAAAAGCUAUACCGUUCUAUGAUUGGAAGUUUGCUCUAUGUCACCGCAUCAAGGCCAGAUGUGAUGUUUAGUGUGUGCAAAUGUGUAAGAUACCAAGCUUCACCCAGAGAGAGUCACUUGAAGGCAACCAAAAGAAUAUUAAGGUAUCUCAAGGGCACUCAUGAUGUUAGAUUAUGGUAUCGCAAGGGGUCUAACUUUGAGUUGAUUGGAUAUUCGGACUCCGACUAUGGUGGAUGCAAGAUUGAUAGAAUGAGCACAAGUGGCACUUGUCAAUUGCUAGGAAGGUAUCUAGUUUCAUGGUCAUCAAAGAAACAAAAUAGUGUUGCACUAUCAACCGCCGAGGUCGAAUACAUUAGUGCUGGUAGUUGUUGUGCACAAUUGCUUUGGAUGAAAGCUACUUUGAAUGACUUUGGAAUCCAAUUCAAGAAUGUGCCUUUGCUAUGUGACAAUGAGAGUGCAAUCAAGAUGACACAAAAUCCGGUUCAACAUUCAAGAACCAAGCAAAUUGACAUAAGGCACCAUUUCAUAAGAGACCAUCAACAAAAAGGUGAUAUUCGCAUUGAAAGCAUUGGCACCGAAGAUCAACUAGCCGACAUCUUCACAAAGCCACUUGAUGAGAAGAAAUUUUGCAAGUUGAGGAAUGAAUUGAACAUACUUGACUUCUCCAACUUGAGAUGAGUACACCCCUACUUUCUAUAUGACAUGCCUCUCCUCCAACAAAGCAAGGUAAAGUUGGUUGACAUAGCAUUCAUACUUUGCUAAGGACAUGCUUAGAACAUAUAGACAUGUUUGCAUGACAAUAGGCUCAUUCAUGAAAAUCAAAAGGAUUUGACGUAUGUAUGGUACCACUAUUGUUUAUAUGAUUGAUUGAUCUAGUGGUAGCAUAUGACAUGUUUGUGAGCUUGCAAGCCUAGUGUUGAAUCUAGAAUAUGAGCAUAUGAUGUGUAAUUUAACAUGGUCAAGAUAACCCUUGUACUUAAUGAGGUGUGAAAAAGCUUGUCCUUGGAUCAAACCAAAUUACAUGUUCUAGGCAAGUGAUCUAGAUUGAACCAUAAUUUAACCCUCACAUUGAUUGACUUAAUUCUCAUUAAAAAUUUGAACCUUUGUGGUCAUUGAUGACAAAGGGGGAGAGAAACAAAGAUAAGUCAUAAAGGGGGAGAAAAGUGCUUAAGGGGGUGAGAAAACUUUUGAAAAUAGAAAGGGAUAAAUUAAAACUUGAGCACACAAAUAGGGGGAGCAAGCUCAUGAACCAUUUGUUGCAUUUCUAUGUGCACUAACAUAAUGAGGUGUUACAUUGCAAGUUUAAAUUCACUACUCUUGUUUGAUUGGUGAUUGCUAGAAAUAAAACUUGAAUGAUGCUUUGAAUUCUAGCAUAGAGUUCUUAUUUUCAUGUGGUAUCUAGACAUAACGUGAUCUCACGAGGUAUCUUGAGUUUUUGAUGUAUGUCUAGCUACAUUGGUGCUAAGGAUGGUAUAUUGGCAACUCCGAUUGGUAUCACGCUUCAAAGGUCCAUUCUAUAUACCUUAGCAUCAUUUUGGUAGUAAUAAAUCUCCCAAAAUUCUAAUUCAUACAUAUGUGCAAACUUGAACCGAACUCAUGUUAGCACAUAUGUAGGGGGAGCUAGUACUACCAAAAUCAAAAUUGAAAUAUUUGUCCAACCUUGUUUCAUGAUCAAAAUGCUUUGGACAAGCAAUUCAAGUUCAUUAUGAUUUCAUUUCAUAUCUUUGUGAUGGUUGUCGUCAAUUACCAAAAAGAGGGAGAUUGAAAGCCCAAGUUUGGUUUUGGUAAUUAAUGACACCAAGUAGCUAAUGCUUUGUGUUCAUGUGAUUUGAGUUAGGCAUAGCAGCACAUUUGAAGAAGGAGCAAUAUGACAAGAGUGGUGGACACAUGAUCAUAAAGAGAGGAAGCAUGAAGUGGAGAUCAUGGUGAUGGACAAGGAGUAAAAAGAUCAAGGCAAAGGUAUAAACAUAGGAUUUUGCUUUUGCCGGUCUAAGAUGAGUAGAGAAGUGAUUGACCGGAUUUAAUUGCCAUACUAUAAAGAGGGGAAAUCUUUAAUUGCAAUGGUUAUCUAGUGCCACUAAGUGUGAAUCUCAUUUGCAUAUACCUAGUGCUUAGUGACGUGGUGAGUUGCAUGAGAAAGCAUAUAAAAAUGUUUGUGAAAUGCUAACACACAUGCACAUGGUGGUGUAAACUUGGUGGUGUUGGCACUUUUGCAAAGGAGAAGGUUUUGGAGUUGAUGUUGAUCAACUUGGUGAAGACAGAGAAGUCUUUCGGUGUUCUACGGACAUUAGGAUGGAUUUUAGAUUGAAAUACUUCUUUGAUCCAUUAUGACUUAGAUUGAGUAUUCAUAUGGAUUGUAUAGCCCUCUAAGUAAGCUUUCCAAAAUGUCCAAGAUCAUCGAAUUCCGAGUUCGGAGCUAAAAGUUAGCAACUUAACAAGGUUUGAGAUGGUGCUGAGAAUGCAGGACCGGAAGUUCCGGCGGAACUUCCGGUGGUUUUUCCGGUGCCUGACCGGAAGUUCUGGUCAGCCUGACAGGAAGUUCCGGUUGGGCUGUGGGUGGUGCGCUAGCAUUUGAGAAAACACUUCCAGUGUCUGACCGGAAGUACCGGUCCAUGACCAGAAGUUCCGGUCCUUAACCGGAAGUUCCGGUCCACGAAUGGAAGUCCGUGUUGGGCAUUCUUAACGUCACUACCAAAAGUAGACUUAGUUUUCUAAUUCUGAUAACGGCGCCAAAAAUGCCAAACCUAUCCCUCAUGCCACUUAAGCCAAGUUGUCAUCCCCAGCAUGACAUGACAGACACGGUGUUGACGGUCCUUAAGUAUCAAAUUUAAUUAUCAAAUAAAUAAAGAAAAGGAUCCAAAUGAAAUCAACAUCUAGACUUAGGGUUUUAUCUGACAGAAUUCCACGAGUUUUGGUGUUUGUCUAUUUCUGCAGGGGGUUAUCAGGAAAUACGGAAGAAAGGCCCACACGUCGGGAUUACGUAAAGAUAUUAACGUGCUGCGCAAUUAUCUUACAUCUAGAAGACUCCAGAAGCCACGAGACCGAAGCGGAGGCGAAACGGGGCCAGAGGCAGGGUGCCCGCCCUGUUCCCCUGGGCGCCCGCCCUCUCCAGGAGUCCAAUCAGGACUCUGCUUCGCGGGAGAUCUCCACCGACCCAAAGGAUGAAUCUAAACCAUACAAUCUAUGUCGGUUUGAUCCAAUGGCCCAUAUUCACUUGAAGGGACUAUAAAACCAGACCCCCUGGCCCCUGGAGCAGGGAGCCUCUCAACCCUAAUUCAUUGUUCCAUCAAGGGAGAAGAAGCCUCUGAUCAAGAUUAGAGCCACCACAUCAAUUAGAUAUCUAGAUUAGCAUAGCUACAUAGGAUUAGAACUAGAAGGAGUCAAUCUUCGAUUGGUUUUCGGAUCUGUCAAGAGGAUUCUUGGUAAUUCUCUAAUUGUGCUUCUAAUUGCUUUCUAAUUAUCUUUGUUCUUCAAUAUUAUGAAUAUGACUUUGUUCUAUUUCAAUAUAUUGCUUAUGACUUUGCUCUACUUGCUUAUAUUCAAGAUUAUAUUGUUCUUAGUUUAUCAUAGUUAUGUACUUAGCUUAGUUAGAUUGGAUCUAUAUACAUGCUUAGGAUCGUAUAAUCUUUAUCCAUCGGAUUCAUGGGUAAAUGAUAGAUAUUGUGUAGGCGUGGUGCUUAUACCGUAUUUAUCUGCGAUUGUACCCAAUAUGCCAGAUCGUGGGGUGGUUCGUGAUAAUGACAACUUCAUUGAUUCUUAUAUAGUCCCCCUCUCGUGUAUUGGGCUGGCAGAGCAACAUUAUUACAGGGGAGUGAUUGAUAUGUUUCUCAUAUUCCUUGCUAAUAUCACUAUGCAUGGGCGUAGUCUUAUCUCGCAAUGAUUGCUAAGUAUGCUUGCACUAACUAUGAUAUGCUAGACUAUAUAGUUGAGAAUAACUUAGGGAAUAUUCUUGUAGUUCGUUCUAAUACCAUGCUAAUGACUUUCUAGAGUAUCUAAUUGAGGUGCUUAUCAUAUUUAUUAUGUGGCUAGAUCAGAUUAAUUAUCUUUGUCACUAUUAUUAUUUCAUAUAUCUUUUAUGUGACACUUAUCCCUGUAUGAAAGAGUUAGAUAAAUGUUCUCAAUUAUACAUGCAAUGAUAGAUGCUCAAUCUCAUAUUCUAUUCUGUAAUCAAUAUUGAUGAUUGCUAAUCCCUUCCCAGUGGUAAAAAUAUAAAUAACGAUACCUGGAAUACUUCCCGGUUAAAAUGCUGCAUCGGUAUUAAUCUGUGCGCUUGCAGAUCCCAUUCAUUAUUUAUUUAGAAGAGCAAUUGCAUAUUUCAAUACCGUGUCUCUUAUAUCAUGCUGGGGAUGACAACUUGGCUCAAGUGGUGUGAGGGAUAGGUUUGGCAUUUUUGGCACCGUUACUAGAUUUAGAGAAUUUAGUCUACUUUUGGUAAUGAUGUUAAGAAUACCCAACAAGCAUUUUUGGCGCCGUUGCCGGGGAAGGUUGAUUACCAAUCAGGAAUGGAAUAAAGGAUUUUGAGUUAUCAUUCGCAUCACUAAUAUGAUUGAGCUUAUCUAUUCUCUCAUACAGUUUUACUCCGAUAUUUUUCUAUUUCAUCUUAUGCAGGGGAAUGUAUGAAUAGAAGACAUCUUCCAGGAAAUUUUGUUGACAAUCCCGAAGCAUUAUUCAAGAAGACGAGAGCCAAGCUCAAGAAGAGAUCAUCAACACUUCAGCAAUAAGCUUCAUCCAAUCAAGAAGAUCACCGAACUUGUCUUCAGAGUUUGAAGCCAUGGCGAACAAAUCAAUCCGCGAGUUCUCAGCUCCCACUACGGACAACAUCCGCACUGGACCUGCUGCAGAGAUCGAUGGCAACUUUGAGCUCAAGCCUGGACUUAUCAACAUGGUGCAAUCGACUGUGGGAAGGCACACGAAGAUGCUAGUGCUCAUUUACAACACUUCCUGGAGAUUUGCAACACAUUCACCAUAUUAGGAGUUUCCAAAGAUGCUAUACUACUUCGCCUCUUCCCAUUCUCACUGUUAGGAAGAGCGAAGUAGUGGUUCUACGCUACAAAGGAGAAGAAUACUACGUGGGCACUCUGCUCAACAAACUUCCUAGCUAAGUUCUUUCCCAUGGGCAAGACCAAUGCUCUCCGUGGGAAGAUUACAAGUUUUCAGCAACAAAAUGAUGAAUCUGUUCUAGAAGCAUGGGAGCGCUUUCAAGACUACAUCCUAGAAUGUCCCCAUCAUGGAAUGGAGAGUUGGCUAUUAAUGCAGACGUUUUAUCAUGGGCUCGGCAACAGUGCCCGAGAGACCAUGGAUGCUGCAGCUGGAGGAGCAUUCUUAUCACUUACUAUACCACAAGCCACAGCUCUUGUGGAGAAGAUGGCGUCCAACCAAAGCUGGAAUGAAGAGAGGACCCAGACACGCAAGAGAGGUGGAGGUAUGCAUCAGCUGAAAGAGGUAGACAUGCUGUCUGCAAAGCUAGACCUGCUCAUGAAGAAGCUCGACGAUAGAGCUGGAGAUAAGAAAGAAGUUAUGCACAUCUACGACUCUCACAUGACUUGUGAGGAGUGUGGAGACACUGGACACUCAGGCAACCACUGCCCUGAGAUACUUGAGGAUGUGAACUACAUCAACAACAACAACAAUAACUACUACAACCGUCCUCAACAAAAUCAAGGUUGGAAUCAACAAAGGCCUAACUACUCAGGUAAUUAUCAAGGUAACAAUUCUUACAACAAUAAUGCUAAUAAUUUUCCACCUUUGAGAGAGUUAGUGUCUAAUCAAGGAAAGCUAAUGGAUAACCUGUCUAAGAAAUUGGCAUCUAAUGAUAAAAUGCUAGAAAAUAUAAAUAAUAGAAUGGAUAAUUUCUCUACUGCCAUCAAGAAUCAAAUUAGCUUUAAUAAAAUGAUUGAAUCUCAGUUAAAUCAAAUAGCUGCUGCUGUUCCUACUACUAACCCCGGUAUACCAUCACAACCGAAAGGAUUAGAAUCUGCAAAUUUUGUAGACACGUUUGAUGCUAGUAAUUGGAGUAACCCCAUCAAUGAAUUCUCUACUGACCUUCUGCCGGUCAAGAGAGGCGAUCGAGGACGCCCCGUCAUCCCGAUCUCCAUCGGCAUGGUGGACGUUCCAGAAGCACUCUGCGACUUUGGCUCCAAUGUCAACAUUAUACCCAGGGUACUCUACGAAAAAUUCUUUACAUAUCCUUUAUUAGAAACAACCAUGUGUUUGCAGUUUGCAGAUCAGACGAUAACUUUUCCAAAAGGAAUAGUGAAGAACCUUUGUGUCUGAGUUGGUACCUUAUAUGCCCCAGCAGACUUCGUAGUGGUAGAGACCGGAAAUGAUGAGAGAGCACCUAUCAUCUUAGGGAGGCCAUUCUUGAACACCACGGGAGCUAUCAUCUACGCCAGUACUGCCAAGAUCAGUUUCUACGUCAAAGGGAAGAAGGAGACAUUUUUCUUCAAGAACAAGACUACACAAAUUCCAGAUCAAUCCAGAUGUGAAUCAAGGAAGAGGACCAACAGGAGGAACAGGAACAAGCAAGUGUGGACCGAGUCAGCUAAGAUGGUCACUGUAGUUCAUGGAGGCCAAGAUCACCAACUCAAGUCACCGCUUUUGACCAAGAAGGACGACCCAGGAAUGCCAAGCAUUUACUGCUCCAUAAAUGGAUACAACUUCUACAAGACAUUUUGUGACACCGGAUCGGGCGUCAACAUAAUGGCCGCAGUCACCUAUCGGCUCUUGUUCGGAACCAUGCCACUAAGACCAACAUACAUUCAGCUCCAGAUGGCAGAUCAGACAUUUCGAGAAGUUAAAGGAAUAGUAACUGAUGUCCCAGUCAAAAUAGACGAUCACUUUGUCUACACAGACUUUCAGGUUAUUGACAUGGGAGAAGACGAAUACGAUCCACCCAUCAUCCUUGGAAGACCGUUCCUCAGCACCGUUAAAGCAAUUAUCUACAUUGGAACCGGAGAAGUCCAUAUGCACUUCCCCUCAGAGAAGGUACGCCGUUACUUUACUGACCCUAACUAUAUCAUUGAAGAAUCUAAGCAGGUCAGAAAGAGACGCAACCGCAACCAGAGGAGGCAAAUCAUCAAGGACGGAUGGGCAGACUAUGAAGGAGAAGUUGUAAGGUCAGAAGACGUAGAGUUUAAACAGAAUUAUCCAGAGGAGACGGAAGCACCGAGUCAGGUAUGGAAAAAGAAGAUAACUAUACAUGAAGAGGAGGCACUGCCGGAAGUACCGACUACGCCACCCAACGAACCUCAGGACGAUUAAGAAAAUGGAGAGUCCCGUUCGGAGGACUUAAAAACACCGAACGCCUUGCCAAGAGGUAAACUUGGUAGUUAUCCUUUCCCUUUCAAUUAUUUCAAAUAGUUUAUUUAGUUAAUCAUGUUCAUGCUAUCUUAAAAAGAAAAUAAAAAUAUAAAAAACAGUAAGCCCCAUGUGAGUAUACGAGUGGCAUAAAACCCAUAAGUACAUUCACUGUGGUGGCAUAAAAAUAAAAAUAAAAAUUUCUUUUCUGCUUUAUAAAAUGAAAAUAUAAAAACAGGGAGUAAUAAUUAUUAAGGAGUCUCAACAUGAUAAAGGCUAGAUAUUUAUGCUAACACUUAAUCAGUUCCACAAGCUUUGUUGUCUAUUUGAGCUCCACAGAAUUUAAGAAGACUAGCAGACGGAGGACAUUCGAAUCGCUGUCAGAAUGCUGCUGACUUUCAAAUACACCUCUGCCACCUGUUAGCUACAUCAAGAGAAAUUACGUCAAAAUUCAGCUUGGGGGAGAGCACCCCCAUUUAUCUCAAUAAGUAUUUCUAUCUAUCUAUCUUUAUACUUAUAUUAUUUUAGAAUAUAAAUAUACAUAACUAUGGAAAAAUCAAAUAAAGAUUUUAUGCUUAUAUAUAUAUAUGUCUUUUGCUUAGUGUGUUUAAUAAAUAAAUAAAGUGGCUAUGCUAAUCUGUAUCUAAAAUAAAACUUAAGCAUGGAUAUGAUGAAUAGUUGCUCUGCCUAAUUUGCACAUUUUAAGUUCUCUCUCAAGUUUAGACAUAACUCUUAUAAUUUAAAGCUUGCUCUAGACCUAAACUUGUGGGAUGAAAACUUGAUCUGAAGUCUAAGUUGUUAACGGAUAUGAUAUGGGAAGGUUGAGCUGUUGUUUAUCUGUUCCUAGAGAUGCUAGAAUUCUGGAGAAUUUUAUCUUUGAAAAUCUUUAAAAUGUUGCAUGAUGAGUUCCUGUAUGAUGAGAGUUUAAAUUCCUACCACAGCUAUAUAUACAUGCUUGCUAGACUUUGAGCCACACAUUUACUAUUUACUGCUUAUGAGCAUUGAGUGUGGUCAAGCUGUGUAGACCCUUAGGAACUUGUCAUGUGGUUAAAUCAAGAUUUCACUUGCACGUUCACUCAUAUAUGCUACUUCUACUCCGGAAGUACCAUCCACAUAUAUCCAUCCAUUUCCAUCUCCAGAACCACCUAAAAAUAUUCUACUCCUAAUCCAGGAGAGAAUAACCAAAAAUAUUUUUGUUUUUCCCUUGUGAAAUAAAUGCUCAAGUUAUCUUGUUACUACCACUUGCUAUAUUAUCUCAUGAGAUGAGUGCUCUAAAAAAAAGAAAAUAAAAAAGAGAAAUACGAGGAAAUAAAAAGGAGCAAGUGCUCGGAACCUCGAAAGAAAAGAAAGAGUGAGACGAGAGGUAAAAAUGGACAAGUGUCCGAUGGUAGAAUUAGGGGUGCAAGAUACCCACCUGAGAGAAAAGAAAAAGAAGAGCAUCUCAUUCUCCUCAUAAAGUUUCAAAAAAGCAAGGAAGGUAUGUAUCCCCUCAAAGAGCAAAGUAGAAUUAGACUUCCACCACCAUUGUUUCUACCAUUGUUAUCACCAUCACCACCAUACAUCAUUCAUUCGCCACACAUGCACAUCUUGAUUAAACUUAUUGGCUUGUUUCUUUGGAUCCAUGGUUUAACUAUGCAAUACAUGUCUUGUAAGUAUGUAUAUUUUAUUUCCCACCUAUGAGCUCCAGAUAUUAAAGCCUUAUUAGAGUAGGGUGAGAGAGAAGGCAAUGUCACUAUGCCUUAUACCACAAAUACUACAUAUCUUGAGAGAAGGCAUAUACCAUCACUGCCUUGGUAAGGAUCCAGAAAUACCACAAAAGAGAGACCUGAGAGAAUCAUACAAGGAAUCUCUGAGAUUUAUUUGAAAAUCUGCAAAAAACCCCAGAGCUAUAGCUGAUCAAGAAUAAGAGACAUGGCACUUGACUAGACUGUUCUAUCUUUUAACCACUCAAGACAGAAGUGACGGUUACAGGUCCCAUGGUGAAGGUAAAGUAAGUAAGUUUUAAGUCUUGACAGUUUACUCUAACUUAGAGAUAAGAUCUUAUUUAAAAAGCAUGUGUACCGUCAAUUUUUAAAUAUAUUGCAACAACUUAUAAUCCAUAGCUGAGUCUAUCCUUGCUCAGGGACGAGCAAGAGGUAAGCUUGGGGGAGUUUGUUGACGGUCCUUAAGUAUCAAAUUUAAUUAUCAAAUAAAUAAAGAAAAGGAUCCAAAUGAAAUCAACAUCUAGACUUAGGGUUUUAUCUGACAGAAUUCCACGAGUUUUGGUGUUUGUCUAUUUCUUCAGGGGGUUAUCAGGAAAUACAGAAGAAAGGCCCACACGUCGGGAUUACGUAAAGAUAUUAACGUGCUGCGCAAUUAUCUUACAUCUAGAAGACUCCAGAAGCUACGAGACCGAACCGGAGGCCAAACGGGGCCAGAGGUAGGGCGCCCGCCCUGUUCCCCCGGGCGCCCGCCCUCUCUAGGAGUCCAAUCAGGACUCUGCUUCGCGGGAGAUCUCCACCGACCCAAAGGAUGAAUCUAAACCAUACAAUCUAUGUCGGUUUGAUCCAAUGGCCCAUAUUCACUUGAAGGGACUAUAAAACGAGACCCCCUGGCCCCUGGAGGAGAGAGCCUCUCAACCCUAAUUCAUUGUUCCAUCAAGGGAGAAGAAGCCUCUGAUCAAGACUAGAGCCACCACAUCAAUUAGAUAUCUAGAUUAGCAUAGCUACAUAGGAUUAGAACUAGAAGGAGUCAAUCUUCGAUUGGUUUCCGGAUCUGUCAAGAGGAUUCUUGGUAAUUCUCUAAUUGUGCUUCUAAUUGCUUUCUAAUUAUCUUUGUUCUUCAAUAUUAUGAAUAUGACUUUGUUCUAUUUCAAUAUAUUGCUUAUGACUUUGCUCUACUUGCUUAUAUUCAAGAUUAUAUUGUUCUUAGUUUAUCAUAGUUAUGUACUUAGGUUAGUUAGAUUGGAUCUAUAUACAUGCUUAGGAUCGUAUAGCGUUUAUCCAUCGGAUCCAUGGGUAAAUGAUAGAUAUUGUGUAGGCGUGGUGCUUAUACCGUAUUUAUCUGCGAUUGUACCCAAUAUGCCAGAUCGUGGGGUGGUUCGUGAUAGUGACAGCUUCAUUGAUUCUUAUAUAGUCCCCCUCUCGUGUAUUGGGCUGGCCGAGCAACAUUAUUACAGGGGAGUGAUUGCUAUGUUUCUCAUAUUCCUUGCUAAUAUCACUAUGCAUGGGCGUAGUCUUAUCUCGCAAUGAUUGCUAAGUAUGCUUGCACUAACUAUGAUAUGCUAGACUAUAUAGUUGAGAAUAACUUAGGGAAUAUUCUUGUAGUUCGUUCUAAUACCAUGCUAAUGACUUUCUAGAGUAUCUAAUUGAGGUGCUUAUCAUAUUUAUUAUGUGGCUAGAUCAGAUUAAUUAUCUUUGUCACUAUUAUUAUUUCAUAUAUCUUUUAUGUGACACUUAUCCCUGUAUGAAAGAGUUAGAUAAAUGUUCUCAAUUAUACAUGCAAUGAUAGAUGCUCAAUCUCAUAUUCUAUUCUGUAAUCAAUAUUGUUGAUUGCUAAUCCCUUCCCAGUGGUAAAAAUAUAAAUAACGAUACCUGGAAUACUUCCUGGUUAAAAUGCUGCAUCGGUAUUAAUCUGUGCGCUUGCAGAUCCCAUUCAUUAUUUAUUUAGAAGAGCAAUUGCAUAUUUCAAUACCGCGUCUCUUAUAUCAUGCUGGGGAUGACAACUUGGCUUAAGUGGUGUGAGGGAUAGGUUUGGCAUUUUUGGCACCGUUACUAGAUUUAGAGAAUUUAGUCUACUUUUGGUAAUGAUGUUAAGAAUACCCAACACACGGUAUUGAAAUAUGCAAUUGCUCUUCUGAAUGAAUAAUAAAUGAGAUCUGCAAGCGCACAGAUUAAUACCGAUGUAGCAUUUUAACCGGAAAGUAUUCCAGGUAUCGUUAUUUAUAUUUUUACCACUGGGAAGGGAUUGCUAAACAUCAAUGUUGAUUAUGGAAUGGAAUAUAAGAUUGAGUAUCUAUCAUUGCAUGUAUAAUUGAGAGCAUUUAUCUAUCUCUUUCAUACAGGGAUAAGUGUCACAUAAAAGAUAGAUAAAGUAUGAAUGGUGACAAAGAUAAUUAAUCUGAUCAGCAUAACUCAGCCACGUAUAAUUAUGAUAAGCACCUCAAUAGAUAUUCUAGCAAGUCGUUAGCAUGGAACUAGGACGAACUACAAGAAUAUUUCCUAAGUUAUUCUUAACUAUAAAGUCUAGCAUAUCAUAGUUAGUGCAAUUAUACUUGGCAAUCAUUGCAAGACAGGACUACGCCCAUGCAUAGUGAUAUUAUCAAGGAAGAUGAGAAACAUAGCAAUCACUCCCCGGUAAUAAUGUUGCUCUGCCAGCCCUAUACAAGAGAGGGGGACUAUAUAAGAAUCAAUGGAGCUGUCACUACCACGAACUACCCCGCGAUCUGGCAUAUAGGGUACAAUCGCAGAUAAAUACGGUAUAGGCACCACGCCUACACAAUUCUUAUCAUUUACCCACUGUACACCUGGAUAAACGCUAUACGAUCCUAAACAUGUAUAUAAUUCCAAUCUGACUAAGCCAAGCAUAUAACUAUGAUAAACUAAGAAUAAUAUAAUUGCAAAUAUAAACAAGUAGAGCAAAGUCAUGAUCAAUAUAUUGAAGUAGAACAAAGUCAUAUUCAUAAUAUCGAAGAACAAAGAUGAACAAUUGAAGAACAAUAGAGAAAUUACUAAGAAUCCUCUUGACAGAUCCGGAAACCAAUCGAAGAUUGACUCCUUCUAGUUCUAAUCCUAUGUAGCUAUGCUAAACUAGAGAUCUAAUUGAUGUGGUGGCUCUAAGGCUUGAUCAGAGGCUUCUUCUCCCGAGAUGGAUAAUGAAUUAGGGUUUCUGAGGGAUAGAGGUGCCCUCCUCCAGGGGCCAGGGGGUCUGCUUAUAUAGUCCUUCCAAGUGAAUAUGGGCCGUCAAAUCAAACCGACAUUAAUCGCACGGUUUUCCUUGAUCCUUUAGGUCGGUGGAGCAUGAUCCGUGAGGUGGAGUGUGAUUGGCCCCGAGGUCAGGGCGAGCGCCCAAGGGGGGAUGGCGAGCGCCCUGCCCCUGGGCCCGAUCGGCCUCUCGUUUGUUCCCGUGGCUUCUAGACUCUUCUAGAUGUUAGAUAAUUGCGCAGCACGUUAAUAUCUCUAUGUAAACCCGACGUGUGGGCCUUUCCUCCAUAUUUCCUAAUAACCCCCUGUAGAAAUAGACAAACACCAAAACUCGUGGAAUUCUGUCAGAUAAAACCCUAAGUAUGGGUGUCGGUUGCAUUUGGAUCCUUUUCUUUAUUUAUUUGUUGAUUAUAUUUGAUACUUAAGGACCAUCAACAAACUCCCCCAAGCUUACAUCUUGCUCGUUCCUGAGCAAGGAUAAUCUCAGUGAUGGAUCAAAAGUUGUUGUAAUGCCUUUAAAAGUUGACGGUACACAUGCUUUCAAAUAAGGUCUCAUCUCAGAGUUAGAGUAAACUGUCAAGACUUAAAACUUACUUAUUUUACCUCUCACCAUGGGACUUGUAACCGUCACUUCUGUCUUGAGUAGUUAAAAGGUAGAACGGUCUAGUCAAGUGCCAUGUCUAUUAUUCUUGAUCAGCUAUAGCUCUGGAGUUUUUGCAAAUUUUUCAAAUAAAACUCAGAGACUCUCUCAGAUCUCUCUUUUGUGGUAUUUCUGGAUCCUUACCAAGGCAGUGAUGCUAUAUGCCUUCUCUCAAAGUAUGUAGUAUUUGUGGUAUAAGGCAUAGUGACAUUGCCUUCUUUCUCACCCUACUCUAAUAAGGCUUUGAUAUCUGGAGCUCAUAGGUGGGAGAUAAAGUAUACAUACUUACAAGACAUUUAUUGCAUAGUCAAACCAUGGAUCCAAAGAAACAAGUCAAUAAGUCAAAUCAAAAUGUGCAUGUGUGGCAAAUGAAUGGUGUAUGGUGAUGAUGGUGAUAACAAUGGUGAAAGUCUAAUUCUACUUUUGCUCUUUUGAGGGGAUACAUACCCUUUCUUGCUCUUUGAAACCUUUGAGGAGAAUGAGAUGCUCUACAUUUUCUUUUUCUUUCCUCUCAGAUGGGUAUUUGUAACACCCUAAAAUUUGCUCCUUUCAAAAUAGAUGAAAAUUAAUUUAGUUUUGUAUUUGAGUGCUCAUGAAAAUAUAUGAAAAAUAAAUUUGCUCCUUGUUCAACAUAUCUUUAUCUUUUUCUACAAUCAAAUUCCCUGUUUUCAGCCUAUGCUUUAAUUCUGAGGUUCUCAAAAUCUUUUCUUUGUAACCCAAAUCACUCUGUUCAGUUCCUCAUCUGUCAAUCAAUCUCUAAAUACUUUACUUGUGAUCUUCAUAUUCUAAAAUAUCUCUAAUAAUUUUCCCCAAAUUAUUGGAGCCUUCGGAUUGUUUUUCGGACCUUAAAUAUCAAUUCUAGAUUUUCUGCAAUUAUUUUUAUUCACGAAAUUAAUUAAUUCUGAAAAUAAUUAAUCUUAACUGUAAUCCAUCUCUCACCAAGCCUUUUUGGUUCUUUAACUAAUGGAUCAAGGUCUGCACAAUUCUCUUGCAAUCCCCUUGCAUUAAUCCAAACUUGUUCUCUUGUUUUGAUUCAUGGCCCAUUUUGCUUUGACGAGAGGACGCACAGAUUAAAAAAAAGCAAGCAACAAGUCCAUGUUCUCUUCGUUGUAAUCUAUUUACGAUUUAUAUGCCGUGUAAAACAAGGACUCCGUAUCAAUCAUGCCAUGCCCAUCCAUAAAUAACAAUCUCUGAUUCAUAUGUAUCCUUUCUCUCUAAACCCUUGAAAAUCUAGACUCGGUCCUCAUAGCCCAACUACUGUCGCCGCCUUCAUCUGACACGCCGAGCUGCAAGUGGAUCCAACCAAGAUCACGGAAGCUAUCGAUGGUUGAAGUGCCGCCGUCACCAGCGAGCUGCAUGUGCUGCUGCACCCCCACGUUCAGGCGCGUGGAUCAUGGAGAAGUUUGUUCGGGCUUCUUUGCAUCCGGCGAUCCUGCUAGCCAGAGAUCGAUUCCAUUCCAUACGUGCGUGUUCUACUUUGUUUAGAAUCCUGCAGGGUAAGUCCUCACCAUGGAUAUGCUCGUUCUCGUCUUGUCAUUGAAGCUAAUAAUCACCAUACUCUGCUUGGUUUCCUUGUGCUAGUUUGUGCUGGCCACCGCCGUUCUUGAUGUCGCCGAGUGGCUUAGUCGACUACGUCGCUGCUACUCGCCUGUGGAUGUUGCUGUCGCUAGCCAUGCAUCACAAGCAGAACUCACCAUCAUGUACAUGUAAGCAGCAGGCUAUAGAUACUAUUUCUCCCGUUGCCUUGACACAAGAAACAAGCGUCAUGCAUAUUUGAUUAAAGGUGAGACACACAUCUCCUUAUCCAUUAUUUUAUUGACUAAAGUAUAUGCUGAUGUCACACAUACAUCAUUCAUACAUAAUAAAUGAUCAUUCUCUAUUUAUCUCUCCAUCUGAGAAAAUUCUUCUUUUAUACAUCCUCGGGAUAAUUUUCUAACUACAUAAGCACUCAUAUGUUCAUCCUUGCUCUGAAUUGAUUAUCAUCAUAUCUUAGUUAUUUUAGCUCUAUUUGUUUUGACUCUACUGAUAGUAUAUACAUGCGAUAUGUCUUCUGAAUUAAUAUAAUAUUAAUUGGAAUAAAAACAAGAUAUGUUUAAGUCUCGGCUUUUCAUAAAAAAAUAUCAAUAUGACCAAUAUUUACCUGUUGCAUUAUGUUAAUUAAAUUUGUUAGCUUUAUUAAAUUCAAAUUAGACGUUCUCACCUAUGAUUUAUUUUAUAAAAUAAAAUAGACUUCUAAUCUGCUUGUACAUCAAUAUUUAUAAAUAAAUAAAAACAUGACUAGUUCUAACUCAGGCUUUUAAACCAAAAUAGAGUUGAGUAAUCUAAAUAAAUGUCAUUCAUAUGUUUUUUCUCACUUAAAAUAAUCAAGCUUAUAGUUGUUUCUUUUUAUCUUAAUACAUUUCGUUUGAAAAAAGUUUAUUUUACCAACGGUAGCAAUGAUCGUCUUUUUAGCAUGUUGUUUUCAAGCCUUUUGUUUUUUCUUGUGUGGUGUACUGUUCUUAGUUGUUUCUAUUGGUUGAAUAUGUUUGAUGAUAUGCUUGGUUGCUACAAUCCGUGAGUAGAAGAGCUGUCCAUGAGUGUUGAAGAUCAGAAGAUGAUGACUAAAGGCUCAUGGUGUGAGAAUUAAGCAAGUGUUCAAGGCAAGUAUAACUUGGGAUCAUCCUUGUUACCCAUUCACUUAUAAAUACACAUAUAUAUCAUAUGCAUGCUUUCACCUUGUCGACCUUAGCAAAAUCAUAGAUGAUUGUUACUUGGAUUCCUUGCUACCUACUGGAUAUGCAUUUGGUGUAGAUGUGCUAGUGCUUGAUAUAAUCCAUGAUCUUGUAAGAAGAUUUAUAGCUAUGCAAUGAACAUAAAAGGAUGACAAAUAACUAUAUGAGAUUUUGUCUGUAAGUGAUCACUGGGACAACAGUGCAACCAUGAGGGCUAUAAUGGCUCUGGCUUUAGCUCAGUAUGAAGACCUUUUCUUGCUUGUUAGAGGUUACCCGAAAGGGCGGAGGGGCUGAACCGACACGGGUAUAGUGCGAGCCCCUGUCCCUAUGUGUAUAGGCUACGCGUCAUUGUGCCAUUCGGAAGGGGGUAUCUAUAUCUGCUCGCAAAGGAAACCUUGCGGCCCUAACAUGUUAGACGAACUUUUGAAAGGCUUCAUAGUGAUCCCUGCUGACCUCCCUAGGAAGGGGGUUAAGAGAUUAGCUACCUCGGGCGAAAGGGUAAAUCAUGACUCAUGGAUAAAGAUGUACAACCUCUGCAGAGUGUUAAAACUAGUAUACUAGCCGUGCUCACGGUUAAGAGCGGCCUUGGAGGUUCUUGCUGCGACGAUGAUGAGCUUGUUAAGUUGUUAUAUCCAUUUAAUUAUCGUUUAGGCUAUGAGAUUAAUUAUGCUUACACUUGAUCACGUGAUUAAUGGAUUAUUUAUGCUACCUUGACAUUUGUUAUAUAAUUAUGAACAUGCUAUCCACUAUUAAAAGCUAAAUGCAGUUAAACCAGUGUCAGCUAUUUGAGCCUCAUGAACCCCUGGUUGUACUUGUUGAGUACGAUAUGUGCUCACUCUUGCUAUUUCCCACCACUCCAGUUUACUAGUAAGAGUUGAUCAGAAGAGCGAUGGAAUCAUGAAGGAUGUUCUCAGAAUACAAGAAGUGCUACUUACCCCCAGUCAGCCGUUCCUGUGAAGAUUGAGCUUGAAGAUUAGUUAUUAUGUUAUGAUUCUCUGAUGUAAGUGUUAAUUAUAAGUAUGUUUCCGCUAUAUAACAUUGUUUUUGAUAUUAUUGCUUCUGUUGUUGUAUGUGUGGACUUCCUGGGCACACAUAUGGCUAGCCUGGUUUUAUUCUUUAAAACCGGUGUGACAGUAUUACACCCCCCUAAUUCUACUGUCGAACACUUGUCCAUUUUUACCUCUCGUCUCACUUUUUCUUUUCUUUCAAGGUUCCGGGCACUUGCCCCUUUUUAUUUUCUCGUAUCUCUUCUCUUUUUUUAGAGCACUCAUCUCUUGAAAUAUAGCAAGUGGUAGUAACCAAGAUAACUCGAACAUUUAUUUCACAGGGGAAAACAGAAAUGUUUUUGGAUAUUCUCUCCCAGAUUAGGAGUAGAAUAUUUUUGAGUGGCUCUAGAGAUGGAAAUGAGUGGAUAUAUGUGGAUGCGUACUUCCGGAGUAGAAGCAGCAUAUAUGAGUGAACGUGCAACUGAAUCUUGAUUUAACCACAUGAAAAGCUCCUAAGGGUCUACACAGCUUGACCACACUCAAUGCUCAUAAGCAGUAAAAAGUAAAUGUGUGGCUCAAAGUCUAGCAAGCACGUAUAUAUGGCUGUGGUAGGAAUUAAAAAUCUCAUCAUACAGGAACUCAUCAUGUGUUAUUUUAAAUAUUUUCAAAGAUAAAAUUCUCCAGAAUUCUAGCAUCUCUAGGAACAGAUAAACAGCAGCUCAACCUUCCCAUAUCAUAUCCGUUAACAACUUAGACUUUAGAUCAAGUUCUCUUCCCACAAGUUUAGGUUUAGAGCAAGCUUUAAAUUAUAACAGUUAUGUCUAAACUAGAGAGAGAACUUCAAAUUUGAAAAUUAGGCAGAGCAACUAUUUAUCAUAUCCAUGCUAGAGUUUUAUUAAGAUUCAGUUUAGCAUAGUCACUUUAUUUAUUUAUUAAGCACACUAAGCAAAAGACAUAUCUAUAUAUAAGCACAAAAUCUUUAUUCGGUUUUUCAUGGUUAUGUAUAUUUUUUAUUUUAAUAUAGUAUAAGUAUAAAUGUAGAUAGAAAUACUUAGCGGGAUAAAUGGGGGUGCUCUCCCCCAAGCUGGAUUUUGACUUAAUUUCUUUUGAUGUAGCUAGCAGGUGGCAGAGGUGUAUUUGAAAGUCGGCAGUACCUGACAGCGAUUAGGAUGUCCUCUGUCUGCUAGUCUUCUUGAUCCUUGAAUUCUGUGGAGCUCAAAUAGACAACAAAGCUUUGUGGAACUAAUUUGGUGUUAGCAUAAAUAUUUAGCCUUUAUCAUGUUGAGCCUCCUCAAUAAAUAUUACUCUCUUUAAUAUGAUCACAAUCUUAUUUUUAUAUUUUCAUUUUCAUAGAGCAGAAAAAUAUUUAUUUUAUAUUUAUGCCACCACAGUGAAUGUACUUAUGGGUUUUUUGCCACUCGUAUACUCACAUGGCGCUUACUGUUUUUUAACAUAUUUAUUUUCUUUUUUAGAUAGUAUGAACAUGAUUAACUAAGCAAACUAUUUUAAAUAAUUGAAAUGAAAAGGAUAACUACCAAGUUUCCCUCUUGGCAAGGCGUUCGGCGUUUUUAAGUCCUCUGAACGGGACUCUAUGUUUUCUCAGUCGCCCUGGGAUUCACUGGAUGGCGUAGUCGGUGGUUCCGGCGGCGCCUCCUCUUCGUGUACAACUAUCUUCUCUCUCCACACCUGACUCGAUGCUACGGUCUCCUCAGGAUAAUUCUGUUCAAGUUGUAUGUCUUCAGACCUUACCACUUCUCCUUCGUAGUCUGCCCAUCCAUCCUUGAUGAUUUGCCUCCUCUGGUUGCGGUUGCAUCGUCUUCUUCUUGUCCUGACCUGCUUAGAGUCUUCAACUAUAUAGUUAGGGUCAGUAAAAUAGCGGCGUACCUUCUCAGAGGGGAAGUGCAUGUGAACUUCUCCAAUUCCAAUAUAGAUGAUUGCUUUAACGGUGCUGAGGAACGGUCUCCCAAGGAUGACGGGUGGAUCGUACUCAUCUUCUCCCAUGUCAAUAACCUGAAAGUCUGUAUGGACAAAAUGAUCGUCUAUUUUGACUGGGACAUUAGUUACUAUACCUUCAACCUUUCGGAAUCUCUGAUCUGCCAUCUGGAGUUGAAUGUAUGUCGAUUUUAGGGGCAUGGUUCCGAACAAGUGCUGAUAGGUGACUGUGGCCAUUAUGUUGACGCCCGAUCCGGUGUCGCAAAGUGUCUUCUAGAAGUUGUACCCAUUGAUGGAGCAGUGGAUGCUUGGCAUACCUGGGUCGUCCUUCUUGGUCAGAAACAGUGACUUGAGUCGAUGAUCUUGAACUCCAUGAACUGCAGUGACCAUCUUAGCUGACUUGGUCCACACUUGCUUGUUCUUGUUCCUCCUGUUGGUCCUCUUCUCUAGUUCAUGUCGGGGUUGCUCUGGGAUUUGUGUAGUCUUGUUCUUGAAUGAAAACGUCUCCUUCCUCCCCUUGAUGUAGAAACUGAUAUUGGCAGCACUAGCGUAGAUGACAGCUCCCGAGGUGUUUAGGAAUGGCCUCCCUAAGAUGACGGGUGCCCUCUCAUCAUUACCGGUCUCUAUCACCAUGAAGUCUGCUGGUGCGUACAAGGUACCAACUCGAACGCAGAGGUUCUUCAAUAUUCCCUUGGGGAAACUUAACGUCCGAUCUGCAAACUGCAAACACAUGGUUGUUUCUGGUAAAGGAUAUGUAAAGAAUUUUUCAUAGAGUACCCUGUGCAUAAUGUUGACACUAGAGCCAAAGUCACAGAGUGCUUCUGGGAAGUCCACCAUGCCGAUGGAGAUCGUGAUGACGGGGCGUCCUGGAUCGCCUCUCUUGACCGGCAGAAGGUCAGUAGUAGCUUCUGCGACGGGGUUACUUCAGUAGUUACCUGUAUCAAACAUGUCUACAAGAUUUGCAGAUUCUAAUCCUUCCGGUUGUGAUGGUAUACCGGGGUUAGUAGCAGGAACAACAACAGCUAUUUGAUUUAACUGAGAUUCAAUCAUUUUAUUAAAGCUAAUUUGAUUCUUGAUGGCAGUAGAGAAAUUAUCCAUUCUAUUAUUUAUAUUUUCUAUCAUUUUAUCAUUAGAUGCCAAUUUCUUAGAUAGGUUAUCCAUUAGCUUUCCUUGAUUAGACACUAACUCUCUCAGAGGUGGAAAAUUAUUAUUAUUGUUGUAAGAAUUGUUACCUUGAUAAUUACCUGAGUAGUUAGGCCUCUGUUGAUUCCAACCUUAAUUUUGUUGAGGACGGUUGUAGUAGUAGUAGUUGUUGUUGUUGAUGUAGUUCACGUCCUCCAGCAUCUCAGGGCAGUGAUUGCCUGAGUGUCCAAUAUCUCCACACUCCUCACAAGUCAUGUGAGAGUCGUAGAUGUGCAUAACUUCUUUCUUAUCUCCAGCUCUACCAUCGAGCUUCUUCAUGAGCAGGUCUAGCUUUGCAAACAGCAUGUCUACCUCCUUGAGCUGAUGCAUACCUCUACCUCUCUUGCGUGUCUGGGUCCUUUCUUCAUUCCAACCUUGGUUGGACGCCAUCUUCUCCACAAGAGCUGUGGCUUGUGGUAUGGUGAGUGAUAGGAAUGCUCCUCCAGCUGCAGCAUCCAUGGUCUCUUGGGCACUAUUGCCGAGCCCAUGAUAAAACGUCUGCAUCAGUAGCCAGCUCUCCAUUCCAUGAUGGGAUAUUCUAGGAUGUAGUCUUGGAAGUGCUCCCAUGCUUCUAGAACGGAUUCAUCAUGUUGUUGCUGAAAACUUGUAAUUUUCUCACGGAGAGCAUUGGUCUUGCCCAUGGGAAAGAACUUAGCCAAAAAGUUCGUGGAGCAGAGUGCCCACGUAGUAUUCUUCUCCUUUGUAGCGUAGAACCACUGCUUCGCUCUCCCCAACAGUGAGAAUGGGAAGAGGCGAAGUAGUAUAGCAUCUCUGGGGAUUCCUGAUAUGGUGAAUGUGCUGCAAAUCUCCAGGAAGUGUUGGAGAUGAGCACUAGCAUCUUCGUGUGCCUUCCCACAGAACUGGUUGGAUUGCAUCAUGUUGAUAAGUCCAGGCUUGAGCUCAAAGUUGCUGUUGAUCUCUACAGCAGGUCCGGUGCGGAUGUUGUCCAUAGUGGGAGCUGAGAACUCACAGAUCGAUUUGUUCACCAUAACUUCGAACUCUGAACACAAGUUCCGGGUGAAACUUUGGUGAUCUUCUCGAUUGGAUGAAGCUUCGUGCUGAAGUGUUGAUGAUCUCUUCUUGAGCUUGGCUCUUGUUUUUCUGAAUAAUACUUUGGGAUUGUCAACAAAAUUUCCUAGAAGAUGUCUUCUAUUCAUACAUUACCCAACAUAAAAUAAAAUAGAAAAACAACGAGGUAAAACUGUAUGAGAGAAUUGAUAAUCUCAAUCAUAUUAGUUAUGCGAAUGAUGACUCAAAAUUCCAUAUUCAUUCCUGAUUAGUAAUCAACCUUCCCCGACAAUGGCGCCAAAAAUGCUUGUUGGGCAUUCUUAACGUCACUACCAAAAGUAGACUUAGUUUUCUAAUUCUGAUAACGGCGCCAAAAAUGCCAAACAUGUCCCUCAUGCUACUUAAGCCAAGUUGUCAUCCCUGCAUGACAUGAGAGACACGGUAUUGAAAUAUGCAAUUGCUCUUCUGAAUGAAUAAUAAAUGAGAUCUGCAAGCGCACAGAUUAAUACCGAUGUAGCAUUUUAACCGGGAAGUAUUCCAGGUAUCGUUAUUUAUAUUUUUACCACUGGGAAGGGAUUGCUAAACAUCAAUGUUUAUAUUGGAAUGGAAUAUAAGAUUGAGUAUCUAUCAUUGCAUGUAUAAUUGAGAGCAUUUUCUAUCUCUUUCAUACAGGGAUAAGUGUCACAUAAAAGAUAGAUAAAGUAUGAAUGGUGACAAAGAUAAUUAAUCUCAUCAGCAUAACUUAGCCACAUAUAAAUAUGAUAAGCACCUCAAUAGAUAUUCUAGCAAGUGAUUAGCAUGGAAUUAGGAAGAACUACAAGAAUAUUUCCUCAGUUAUUCUUAACUAUAUAGUCUAGCAUAUCAUAGUUAGUGCAAUUAUACUUGGCAAUCAUUGCGAGACAGGACUACGCCCAUGCAUAGUGAUAUUAUCAAGGAAGAUGAGAAACAUAGCAAUCACUCCCCUGUAAUAAUGUUGCUCUGCCAGCCCUAUACAAGAGAGGGGGACUAUAUAAGAAUCAAUGGAGCUGUCACUACCACGAACUACCCCGCGAUCCGGCAUAUAGGGUACAAUCGUAGAUAAAUACGGUAUAGGCACCACGCCUACACAAUACUUAUCAUUUACCAACUGUACACAUGGAUAAACGCUAUACGAUCCUAAAUAUGUAUAUAAUUCCAAUCUAACUAUGCCAAGCAUAUAACUAUGAUAAACUAAGAACAAUAUAAUUGUAAAUAUAAACAAGUAGAGCAAAGUCAUAAUCAAUAUAUUGAAGUAGAACAAAGUCAUAUUCAUAAUAUCGAAGAACAAAGAUGAACAAUUGAAGAACAAUAGAGAAAUUACCAAGAAUCCUCUUGACAGAUCUGGAAACCAAUCGAAGAUUGACUCCUUCUAGUUCUAAUCCUAUGUAGCUAUGCUAAACUAGAGAUCUAAUUGAUGUGGUGGCUCUAAGGCUUGAUCAGAGGCUUCUUCUCCCGAGAUGGAUAAUGAAUUAGGGUUUCUGAGGGAUAGAGGUGCCCUCCUCUAGGGGCCAGGGGUCUGCUUAUAUAAUCCUUCCAAGUGAAUAUGGGCCAUCUGAUCAAAUCGAUAUUAAUCGCACGGUUUUCCUUGAUCCUUUAGGUCGGUGGAGCAUGAUCCGCGAGGUGGAGCGUGAUUGGCCCCGAGGCCAGGGCGGGCGCCCUGCCCCCGGGCCCGAUCGGCCUCCCAUUCGUUCUAGUGGCUUCUGGACUCUUCUAGAUUUUAGAUAAUUGCGUAGCACGUUAAUAUCUCUAUAUAAACCCGACGUGUGGGCCUUUCCUCCAUAUUUCCUGAUAACCCCCUAUAGAAAUAGACAAACACCAAAACUCGUGGAAUUCUGUCAGAUAAAAGCCUAAGUCUGGGUGUCGGUUGCAUUUGGAUCCUUUUCUCUGUUUAUUUGUUGUUAUAUUUGAUACUUAAGGACCGUCAACAGUCCGCAUAGGAGCCUUUGCGCAUGGCCUCGCAUGUCAGGAUUCACUUCCGGUCUCUAACCGGAAGUUCCGGUGGAACUUCCGAUGGGUCCAAGUCUCUCACAACGGUUAGAUCUGCUUGGCCACAACGUCAGAUCUGCUUGGAUCGAGGCUCCAACGGUCAGAUCUGGUCAGACCAGAAGUUCCUGUCCCAGGCAUUGGAACUUUCGGUGCCACACUAUAAAUACUCGUUUCCCUUGUUUCUAACUGGGCACUUCGUAUAGAACACAUUUUCUAACUUCCGGUGGCCCUUCCAAAGAGUAUAGAAAGCUCUCCCCUCCUCCUCUCUCGCUCCCUAAGCUUUGUGCUCCAUUCAAGUGAGAGAAUGAGCCCUAGUGAUAGAUCUGAGAGCUUCAAGAGAAUCUCUUCCCUCUCCUCUCCAUCCCCAUAGCAUGGUGCUCUUUGGUGAGAGGAUUUGGGAAACCCAAGUGUUGUGCAUUUGUGAUUUCAUUCUUGUGGCACUAGGUGGUGAUUGCAUGUGUGGAUUUCUUGUUUUUCUUGGGUGUUUCCCGAUGCCCUAGACGGCUUGGUGCAAGGGAGGUGUUGAGCUCGUGAUUGGAGAUUGUUUCGAGCCUCACCAAGUGAUUUGUGAGGGGUUCCUGAGCCUUCCCCGCGGGAGAUCGCAAUUGGCUACUCUAGUGGAUUGCUCGUGGCUUGGAGGAUCCCCAUCUUGUGAGUGGAUGUGCGGCACCCACUGAGGGUUUGGCUUUGGAUUGCCAAUUAGCUCGUGAUCCAUCAUGUGGGUGUAUCGCCACAACGAGGACUAGCUUGCCGGGAAGCAAGUGAACCUCGGUAAAAAAUCUUGUGUCUUCUCUUGCCGAGGAUUCUCUUGUAAUUGUGAUUGAUUGAUUGGCUAUAUUUCUACUCUACAAUGUUGGUAUAACAAUCAAUCUCCUCUCCGUUACUUAUGUGCAUACCUUGCUAGUUGUGUAGCUUGUUUAGCUUAGCUAUCUUAUUUAGGAGUGUAGCAAGCUUCUAGUUGUGCUUUCUUGUUGUAACUAGUGUUUAGCUUUCUUGCUAGACCUGUGUAGGUGGCUUGCAAAGCUUAGUUGUGCUAGUGCUAGAAUAGCUUCGCCUUUUGUUUUACUAAUCAACUUGUCUAGUUGAAGUUUGUAGAAAAUUUAAAUAAGCUGUCCCUCUAGCCAUUUGGACCUUUCACCUGUCCAUCCAUUGUUAGCAUUCAUCGGUGUAGGCCCUACCGAUGGUUGAUAAUUGGGCAUCAUCAUUGAAUUAACAUACCCUAGCUGUGUCAUAAAUCUUUGAUGCGUCAGCAUUGGAUCUGUCGAUGCGUUAGGCAUCUGGAACGUUGGUAUUUGAGAAUUUCUAGUGAAGGGUCUUGUAGUGGUAGUUGUGGAAUAAAGAGGAUUCUGAUUCAUUGGCGAUACUGGGGGUGCCGAUGCCAUAGGAGCCUUGCCUGUCAUGUCAGCCACUUGAGAUGUCCCAGAACUAUUUGCCAUAAAUUCUGGGGGCAUACCAUAUCCCCACCAGUUGGGAGGAACUUGAGAAUUUUUAAACACAGAUCCUGACAUCGCCGAUGCCAAUAGAUCUAUAGCAAGUUGUAUUUGCCCAUAUGCUAUUGCUGGGUUAGUUCUCAUCGGUGUAGAUUAUCCAUUGGUUACCCCUAGUAUGCUUGGAGGAGAAGUAACUUAUGUACCCGCAACGGCUGUAGUAGCCGAUGGAGCCGUAACCAAUGAUGAUCCUAGCUGAUGAUAGGUCGAGCCCACAUAAGCUGGUGGUACUUGUCCUUCUUUGAAUGUUCUAGCCACAGCAUUGAAAACUGUAUUGGACAGCACACUGGAUUGAUUGAUCAGAGCACGAUUGAUAGCACUGUCAUCCAUCUCUUGCAAUUUAUCAAGAUUGGCUUCAAAAGUGAUUUGCCGAGGUGUCGGCAAUGCUUCUUUCUGGAUCACCUCACCGCUCCUGUUGAUAGUGAAGGAUUUCAAGCACAACUGCUUGUAGUCCUCCAUAGCUUUUGUCAUAGCUUGCUUCUGUUCAUCUCUGAGAUUGGCUUCCGUCACGGGGAUAACGUUCUCCAAAUCGAAAUCGGUGUUCGACAUGUUGAUCUUGAUAUUGAAUCUCUAUCCCACCGGGCGUGCCAAAAGAUGUGUUGGUGCAAAAGUAGAUCUGCAAACACAAUACCCGAUUUGAUGUUAAGGCGUGCCAGCCGAUUUGACCUUACAAUCAACAAAGGUGAUAACUCGAAUACUUUGGUCCCGACAACAGCGAUGCGCCCGGAUGUCACGGUCAAGAGGUAUUCACACAGAACUCGAGAACUCACCGAUGUUGACUCGAGGAAUUCCUAAGAACUCGUAGUAAAAGGAAAAUAAGCAAAGUUGACGAAAUCGUCGAAAAUGUAGAUGCUGGAAUAGAUGUAAAGACUUGUAUUUGAUUGAUUGUUGUCUAUUACAUCGCUACGGGGUCUACAUUUAUACCCUGUCCAAAAGAGUUACAAUUAGACACGACUAGGAUUCAAAUUCCAAAUUGAACGGAAUCCGUAUGCAAAACAAACUCUAGUAACUAUGGAAAACAUUAAUUUAUCCACCACAACCGAUCGGCACACCAUCACCACCCGAUCGAUAAUUACUGCGCCUCUCUUUGCGACCAUCGGCGAAUCACCUCUCAUAGCCAUCGGCAACCAUCCGCAUCGGUCAUCGACAUAGAUUCAUCACUACUCCUGGACUUGGCCAUAUUCUGUCGUUCUAUCAUCGGUAUCAACCCUCAUCGGCAACUCUCCUAUCAACUAGUCACCACUUUUCUACCUGCCGAUCUACGCCUCAUUAACUCCAGAUACGCGUCCAAAGAUACGUGUCCAAAAAUGGUGUCAACACCCAUCAACUUUGUCUUGCUCCCUAUGCUUAAGGAUAGAGAAGAAUAAAUAUACUUUUGGUUUUGUUGGUGUUUUCCAUCAACAGGACCCAUGCACUUGAUCUCUGCCUUAUCUCUAUGAGCAGGACACAUUUUGAGAAACAUGGAGGAAGUUUCAACUCCCAGACUCUACCAAGUGAAGGACCUGGAUCUACGAGCACAAACACACUGAGCAAGAUUGUGUCAACGCUGUUGAUAUUUGGUAACGCAAUAAGGAAAUGAUCCGCAAGCGCACGGAUAUCGGUGAGCAUUUCACCCGGGAGGUUUUCCAGAGUAUCGUAUUUAUAUUUUUACCACUGGGAGAAAGGGUGCAUCUGACUAACCAAAUCUAUUGCUACUAUCGCUUUAGGCUACAAAGAAUGUUUCUUGAUGUGAGUGAUGUAUAGAGAAGACUGCAAUCGUAGUCUCGUUCUAACCUUGGUAGGGAAGAUCUAUUGUUCUAUUGGGGAAGCUUACGGAAUCUAGACACCACAAAGGAUGUUCGACCCGCACCUAUAAACCUACCCGUCCAGCUAACGAGAUGUGGGCUGCAAAGGUAACUCGGAAAUGUCACGUUCCUUGCUACUACCACGGUCCAGCUAGUCAGGGGAUAUCUAUGAGUACCCUAGCCUAAACACCACGUUUACGCCAGCAAUAAUUACUCUAAUACUCAACCAGAAGAGAUUAAAGUAAACUCAUAAACCAAAGAACAAUAAAACAAGAACUUACUAGAAUUAGAAGUCGAAUUACUGAAGAAUCCUAGAAGCAAGCCUCGGGUUAGAAGACUUGAUCCCGCAGGUACAACCUCGGAGUAGACACCGACAGGCCGGGCUUCCUCCGAUCUACACCUCCACUCUAUCUCUCUCAAUCUAGUAGAAACUAGAAGAUCUAAUUCUACUCACAUUGGAUGCUAAGCCUAAAAGAAAUUUUAUUUAGAGGAGAGGUAUUCCUCGGAGAGGUAUUCCUUCGAGGGCUCCUCUCAACUCUAUGAUGAACUUGUCUCCUCUAGGGGCCAGGGGGUCUGGUUUUAUAGUCCCCUCAAGUGAACUUGAGCCAUUGGAUCAAACCGACAUUGAUUGGACGGUUAUCCUUGAUCCUUUAGGUCGGUGGAGAUUGAUCCCGAAAGAGAGUCCUGAUCCAACUCUGCAAGGGGGCAGGCGCCCAGGUCAACUGGGCGGGCGCCCGGUGCCUGGCCCCGUUCGGCCUUCGCUUCCUUCCCGCGGCUUCUGGAGUCUUCUAGAUGUAAGAUAAUUGCGCAGCACGUUAAUAUCUCUAUGUAAACCCGAUGUGUGGGCCUUUCUUCUGUAUUUCCUGAUAACCCCCUGCAGAAAUAGUCAAACAUCAAAACUCGUGGAAUUCUGUCAGAUAAAACCCUAAGUCUGGGUGUUGGUUGCAUUUGGAUCCUUUUCUUUAUUUAUUUGAUGAUUAUAUUUGGUACUUAAGGACCGUCAACAAACGCCGCACUUCGAACUACUGGGCAAACGAAGAACAUGGGUGACACCGUAUCAAGAGGUGUAGACGUCAAGGUCCACACCUGAAUCAAAUGAUGCACCUGAAGAAUGAACUCGGUGAGAAGUCUUGUUCAGAAGACUUAAAACAUUGAACCCUCACCGAAAGGUAAAAUCAGUAGUUAUCCAUAUUUAUCCUUUCUGCAUUCUCUUUUCCCAUAAAAUUAUUUACAUUCCUUAAAUGGCUUGUUAGUUAAUCAUGCUAUCUUGAAAAGAAAAUAAAAAUGAUAAAAAUAGUAAGCCCCAUAUGAGUAUGCUCGUGGCAUAAAACCUAGAAGUACAUUCACUAUGGUGGCGUAAAAAUAAAAUAAAUAUAUUACUAUCCUAUAGAAAUGAAAAUAUAAAAAUAAAUUUAUGAUCCUACCAAAGCGAGUAAUAUUUAUUAGAGGAAGCUCAACAUGAUAAAGGGAAAGAGAUUUUAUGCUAACACUUAACCAGUUCCACAAAGCUUUGUUGUCUAUUUGAGCUCCACAGGAUUCAAGGAUCAAAGAAGACUAGCAGACGGAGGACAUCCUAAUCGCUAUCAGGGUGCUGCCGACAUUCGAAUACACCUCCGCCACCUGCUAGCUACAUCAGAAGAAAUUACAUCAAAAUCCAGCUUGGGGGAGAGCACCCCCAUUUAUCCAGCUAAGUGUUUCUACUCGCGUUUAUACUUUACUCAAAUAAUAAAAAGAUGCAUAAUCAUAAAAACCCAAAUAAAGAUUUUGUGCUUAUAUAUAUAUAUAUGUCUUUGCUUAGUUUGCUAAAUAAAUAAAUAAAUAAAGUUUGCUAUGAACCCUCAUGAUAAGCUCUCACAUGGAAAUGAUGAAUAGUUGCUCUGCCAUGACUAGUUCUCAAAAUUGAAAUCUCUCUCAAGUUUAAGCAUGACUGUUAUUAAUUAACAUUUGCUCUGAGAAUUUUAUCUUUGAAAAUCUUUAAAAUGUUGUAUGAUAAUUUCCUGUAUGAUGAGAGCUUAAAAUCCUACCACAGCCAUAUAUACAUGAUUAUUAGACUAUGAACCAUACAUUUACUUUUUACUACUUAUGAGCAUUGAGUGCGGUCAAGCGGUGUAGACCCUUAGGAGCUUGUCAUGCGGUUAAAAUCAAGAUUCACUUGCACGUUCACUCAUACAUGCUGCUUCUACUCUAGAAGUACGCAUCCACAUACAUCCACUCAUUUCCAUCUCUAGAUUCACCCAAAAUUAUUCUACUCCUAUCCAGGAGAGAAUAGCCAAAAACAUUAUCCUAUCCCUGUUAUUCCCCGUGAAAUAAAUGCUCGAGAUAUUUUGGUUACUACCACUUGCUACAUUAUUCCAGGAAGGUGAGUGCUCUGAAAAAAAAGUGAAUACGUGGAAAUAAAAAGGGGCAAGUACCUGGAACCUCGAAGAAAAGAAAAAGUGAGACGAGAGGUAAAAAUGGACAAGUGUCCGACAGUAGAUUUAGGGGUACAAGAUACCCACCUAGGAGAAAAGAAAAAGAAAAUAUAGAGCAUCUCAUUCCCCUCAAAAAGCUUCAAAGUGCAAGAAAGGUAUGUAUCCCCUCAAAAGAGCAAACGUAGAAUUAGACUUUCACCAUUGUUUUCACCAUUAUCACCAUCAUCACCAUACACCAUUCAUUCGCCACACAUGCACAUCUUGAUUUGACUUAUUGACUUGUUCUUCUAGAUCCAUGGUUUGACUAAGCAAUAAAUGUCUUGUAAGUAUGUAUACUUUAUCUCCCACCUAUGAGCUCCAGAUAUCAAGCCUUAUUAGAGUAGGAUGAGAGAGAAGGCAAUGUCACUAUGCCUCAUACCACAAAUACCACAUACUUUGAGAGAAGGCAUAUACCAUCACUACCUUGCUAAGGAUCC